Molecule: long non-coding RNA, 99824 nt
Filed under: Malus domestica (apple)
Lineage: Eukaryota; Viridiplantae; Streptophyta; Magnoliopsida; Rosales; Rosaceae
Description: long non-coding RNA (MDOM_LNC009719)
Source: RNAcentral
AAUAUUCCACAUUCGAUCUAUAUUCGAAUGGUGCGAAAAAAAUAUUGGAUCCCUUCCAGCGGAGUAAAAAUUCCCCAUGUCUUCAAAUUAGGUUGCGUGUUAUCUCCGGUCCAUAAAUGAACCGGACCAUGUGGGGUCGUUUCGAUUGAACCGCCCCCUGGAUCUGGUUCAGUGCCAGCCCUGUAGGGCGAACCAAAGAACAACAGCGGUUUCUUGGAGUUGGAAACCAUCUGCCUAUACAUAAUUUUGAGGUUGGCUUCGAUUUGAGCAUCGUUGGACAUUGUUUCAUCCGUGCCGUUGAAGUCAAGAUCGAUGAGAGUCGGCGGCUGAUGGCUGGCAGCGCGAAGCUCGUCGUAAAGCGGAGAGUCCGGGUUAGCGAACAAGGCAGGGAGUUGCAUGCCAGCUGGCGCGUCCCAGUUCCAAAACGGCAACGCGAACGUCGGAUCGUCUAUGAGUUUGGCCAAGAUUCUUUCGUGGAAGUAUAGGUAGUAACGAUGGAAGGGGAAGAAAAGCCAGCAUUGAUGGAUUUGGAGCUCGAGGUUGGGGAAGCCGACUUGGUCGUACGCGCCGUCGCAAUAGGCACAGUGGAGAUCGGCUUGCUGGGUGAAGCUACGCGGAUCGUCGUCCGGGAGGGCUUUCAUGAGCUCGAUGGCUUUUGAAUAUUUUUCGAUGUAGGCUUUAUCCACGGUGUGAGCUGCCGGCCUGACGCGGAGUUUGGUAGGGGAGGGGAAUUUGAAGUCUACGAUUUUUUGGGACGUUGGCGGGCAACAGUUGGUCGGGACUGCUCCACUUGGAAAGUCCGCAGCUCCGCAUUUGGCUAGGUCAGGCGGCGACACUGGCUUUGCAACAGCGAAGGGGUCGCUGCCAAGACCAGCCACUCCACCGUAUAGGCUUCCGAGACCUAUAAGUACAUUUCUUCUGUCUAGGUUUACUGGAGAAGGGUUUUCAUGGUCGUGAUCGUUGGAGCUAGUGGAAGGGUUUUUGUUUUGGUCACUACUAUUAUUUGUGGCUUUGCAUGAGACAGCUUGUAAAUUGGAAUGCCUAGGGUUUCCAAAUGAGGAUAUUCGGUGAUACUUUUGGGAGAAAGGGGAGAGGAAAGUUGUGGGGAUGAUACUUGUGGCGGAGGUGACGAGUGGAGCUGACAUAGAAGCCAUGGUUACUUUUGACUCUGAAUAAUACGUUGUAUUGGCUUUGCUUUUAUAAUGUGUUCUAGGUUGUACUUUUCUUUGCACAGGUGGCAGGCCGUACACACGUGGUCGGUCCUUAAGGGUUUGACGAGGAAUACUACGUAGUCAUUUAGUACAGGACAACCAUACACUAUAGCAAGUGGCAUGUAUUUAGAGAUCGAGAGAGAAUUGGGUAAGGUUCACGAGGGAUUUGUAGUUUCAGAAGGUGAAUUGGUUUUGGUCUUCUUGUGUACCAAUAAUAUUUACUUAGUCAUUUAGUGCAGGACAACCAUGCACUAUAGCAAGUGGCAUGUAUUUAGAGAUCGAGAGAGAAUUGGGUAAGGUUCACGAGGGAUUGUAGUUUCAGAAGGUGAAUUGGUUUUGGUCUUCUUGUGUACCAAUAAUAUUUACUUAGUCAUUUAGUGCAGGACAACCAUGCACUAUAGCAAGUGGCAUGUAUUUAGAGAUCGAGAGAGAAUUGGGUAAGGUUCACGAGGGAUUGUAGUUUCAGAAGGUGAAUUGGUUUUGGUCUUCUUGUGUACGGCUGUGGGUCUGCUGUCCCGGACUCUCUGUCUCAUUUGUGUCUUAUUUUUUAUUUUUUCACACGUGUCUUUUACUUAACGUCAAAUCAUGAUAGCAAUGUUAUGCAAUUGGGAGCUAAACGACCGAUGCUUUUAUUUUUUAGUUUGCUUUUUUUCCAGAUCUGAUCAAAUCAUGAUAGCAAUGUUAUGCAAUUUUCAAGAGGGAAAGAUGCACCUGGGAGAGAAACGGUACGGUGACUUCUAAAUCACCGUCCAACAGAACAAUUCUCAGUAGAGACUACUAGAGAGAGAUGCACCUCACCAAUGAAAAAUUUAACUGCAAAAAUUCUGGGUAUUGGGUAAGGAAAUUCGGUGAUACUUUUGGGAGAAAGGGAAGAGAGAAGUUGUGGGGAUGAUACUUCUCGUGGAGGUGACGAGUGGAGCUGACAUAGAAGCCAUGGUUACUUGACUCUGAAUACUACGUUGUAUUGGGUUUGCAUAUAUAUAUAAUUAGGAUUGAAGGAUGUAGAGCUUAUUUUGUUAUGUAUUUUAACGAUUUAAGUGCUUAUCUUUUAGGUUUUCUCUUAAACAUCAUGUCUAUAAAAAAUCACCAAAAUUCAAACCAUAUGACCAUUAGAUCCAUAGUCAUUUUAGUGUUUAUUUGUAAAAUGUAUUCAUUCAUUUUCUUCACUACAAAUGAGUGAAUUAAUGAUUUUAGAAUUUGUCUAAUUUUUUACAUUGAUUAUUUAUGAAUGUUGAAUUGAAAUUUAGACGAUUCAAAAAUAGUUGAUAUGCAUUACAAAAUGAACUCCACAAAAUAAGUGUCAAAAUAUGUAUAAAAAAUGGACAGCGUGAAUGGCUUGGAAAUUGGAAUAGGUUUGAAAAUUGUGCUUUUUGUAGCAAAUUUUAGCAAAGUUUGCUUGGACUUUCACAACCGUAUAAAUUAAAGGGAAACUUGAUAUAACUCCAAUUUUUUGAGCCAAUAGUAGGAAUAGUCCAGUUUAUUAAAAUAAGUUCAAUUCUUUAAAUUUAAUUAUUUAGUUAUCAAUAAUUAUCUCUUAAAAGAAAAAACUUAUUGUAAAAAUCAAAUUUCUUCCUAAUUAUCUCUUUGAUUAUUUCUUUUUAUUUAUUUAUUUGUUAUUUCUUGUUCUUCCUCCUGCUUUAACCCAUUUAUAGAUUUUUUUUUUAAUUUUAUAAUCAACCUAUGUCACAGGUUAAUUGUAUUUAUCUACCUAUAUGACAUAUUCUUUUUCAUAGUCAACAUUUCACAGAUUAAUGUGUCUUGCUUGUAGAUAUAUUAUGUUUUUUUCUACCUUUUAGUUAGGUUUCAUAUCUCACUUAUAGGUAUAAUAUACAUUCAUAUAUUUGCUACUUGAGUUAGGGUAGAAUGUUUUGCAGAUAGAUUUAUGUUAGUAUAUUAAUUUUUUUUUGUUUAUAAGAUAUUAAUUAGAUAUUUUGGAGUUGAAAAAUGCAUAAUAUUAAAAGCUUUUAAUUGAUUUUUAAUAUUUUUAGAAAAUAUAAAAGGAGUAUAAAAGAAAUCAAAACAUAUAAUUAGAUAACGGGAGUCACUCCUAAAAACACUCUAUGUUUUUUGACCUGGAUCUUAAAGCCCCUAAAUUAAACUGUUCGCUUUGUUGGGAAAAAGAAGUGGCCCUAGUUUCCCUUUGAUUUUUCAAGCACGGUGGGAGACUGGUCAUAGUUUCUAGAUUGAUGCUCUAAUUCUAAUGUUAUACAACGCGUACGCUAUAAUAUUUUUAUCAAAAUAUUAGUUUUAGUGUUAUCAAAACAAUAUGUUAUUCUUACCAUGUUUUUGUAUCACAAUUAUAUACCACCUUAGAUGGUAUCUGAUGUGGACAGCCACAUCAUUUAAAUUAAUAAGCAUUUAAUUUCAAAAUGUUAAUCAAUAAUUAAUAAAAAGAUUGUUAAUUAAAUGAUGAUUGUGGUAUACAAGGAGUCUCCUUCUUCCUUCCUCUUUCCAUUCUGCUUUUUCUUCUUACCUCUUUUUUUUUUUUAAUGCCAGUUUUGUAUUGAUUUCUGUUGAUUUCCAUGAUUAUGGUCAAUCUUUAUAGAAUUUACUAGUAUGCCACAAUCACCAUUGAUUUCUAUCUCCAGACUCAUGCCCCGUAGCCCUAAUCCUCAUUCCCCUUCAAGUAUUUCUGUCUCCAAUCUUCUUUGGUACUCCAUGAUUGUUCAUCUCGUGAUAUUUUUUUUUUUGAUUAUUUCAUUAAGUAACGCUUAUUAGCUUUCAUGCGAAUUAGGAGUCAAAAUCAAAUUUGUCUAUCGGAUUAGGGUUCAUACCCAAUUAAGUUACUAACGCCAGAGGGAUUUUGAAGUAUGCAAUUUUCCUUAUUUAAGUGUUUUAAUUAAUAAGAAAAUUGAAAUUAAACAAUUUAGCUUGUCCAACUCAUCUGCCACCUAAGAUGGUAAAUAAAUGUGGUAUAAAAUUGUGGUAAGAAUAUCAUUACUCUUAUCGAAAUUACAAAAAAAAAAAAAAAAGCUGAUUCAAUAUUUAGUUAUUAAAAAAAAAAUGAUCAAGUAACUAUCCAAUACCCAUGUAUUGGGUGCUUUGUUUGAAAAUUUUCAAAAUGAUAUUGGGCUCGUUUGGAUAUGUUUUUAAAAUGACUGAAAGCAUUUUUAGAGAAAAUAUUUUUUUGAUUCCAAAAGCACUUAAAGUGCUUUCUGCAAGAAGCACCCGUUAUGUGCUUCUUCCUGGAAGCACUUUAAGUGUUUUUCCAGCAUUUACUUGCUUUUUUACUAAGGACUGGUUCCAAAAACAUUUUCACAAAAAGUGUUUUCAGUCAUUUUAAAAGCACAUUCAAACGAGCUCAUUGUUUUUCCUAUUUUAAUCGAGUGCGUCGUCCUCUGUUGAGAAUGAAUCUCAUAUUAUGGGAGGAGGGAUCUUGCAUGAAUGGGAGGAGGGACCUUGCAUGAGCUUAUAAGUAAGUUGGGUUACUCUCCAUAUUGCCAAAAGAAAUUUUAUUUGGACCCAGUUUUCCUCUCUCUAAACCCAACUUUAAUAUUUUGUUACCUAUAAACUCUCUAGUUUACCCUCAUAAAUUAUAAACAUAAAUAAACUAGAAAAAGAAAAACUCAUCAAACCCAUUUCCCAACUGUUCUGGCGUCUCUUCCCUGUAUUUGUUGGGUCUGUCUCCCUCCCGACUGUUUUUUUUUUUCUGAUAUCUCUGUGUGUUCCCCCACCUCUCCCACACCCACCAAUUCUUUGUGGUGGCUAUUCCACCAAACGUCCAGUGAAUCUUUCCAUUUUUCUUCUAUUGCGCGUGAUAGGGCCUUGCUAUUAAUAGGCAAAACUAAGCGGCAUCGUCGACUCCGUAAGCGACUUGUUGCAUAAGUCCAAAAUGGAGUCAAAUGGAUUUUGUAUUGGGUCGGGUUGUUGAAGGCGAUGGCUGAUUUAGCAAUCCCGCCUAACUAUUUCUAUAUGUAGGAGAAGGAAGAGGGAGGGAGGUCUGAAGUGGUGGUUGAGUGGUGGCGAUGUAUGUGGGUUCUCUCUCGGUUGAAUGGGUGUAGAAAGAUAUUUAAUUUUCAAUAUCUUAUUUUAUUUUGUAUAAGGGAUAAUAUAGGAAUUACAUAAAAAGUUUUUUUUAUAGCUAGGUGUAGAAAUAGUAUUGUUGGGUCUAAAUAAAAUUACCCUAUUGCCAAUUAGUUUUAUGGUGAAAUCUUAACUUUGUUCAUGCUUUCAUAGUAGGUUGUUCCACGUGUGAAGUCAAACAUCCACACGCGCUGCACGUCACCCCGUUGUGUUGUUCACGUGUUAAGCUUGAAAAUUCAUCACACAUGAGGGAGCGUGUUGAGAAUAAAUUCCACAGUUUAUAAGUAAGUUGUACUACUCCGUAUAUUACCAAUUAAUUUUGUGGAAUUCCGUCAAAGCUGAAUUUGACGGAAAAAAAUAACUUCAUGUUUGUUCUUAACUAUAAAGUCAGUGAUACACUAAUUCUGGUUUGUUUGUUUUUUCCUUCCUUCUUAAGGAAAUUCCCAAUCCAACCAAAAAAAUGAAAUUCCCAAGAGAAUAGUAGCACGAACAAUCGUAGCUUUCUUCUUCGAUAAGCCUUGGGGAAACAGAAAAGGGAAAACCGGACUUUAACCCUAAUUUCUCCCAAUGCCGCAGCACUCUCUAUUUUCUCUCUCGCUCUAUAUCGCGGUCCCUCUCUCUCGCCGUCCUCUAUUGCUCAAACUCAAUGUCUCCAACUUCCUCUGUAUGGUUCCCGAGGAAGAUGGUAAAACAGUAAGGGCAAGAAAUUGUGACAAGGUUAGAUUUGGGUAUUAAUCUGGUGGGGCUACAAUUCUCCAAUCCACACCCCUUUCAUCUGUGCUAGUGUUUGAACCCAAUAUUAGAUAACCGGUCCAUGCAAUCGAUGCCGUUGAAUGAGAAAAAUUCUAGGCCGUGGGAUCAAAUAUAAUGAUGUGGAUUAAAUAAGGAAAAUUUAAAGAGUAAUGAUAUUCAUACCAUGUUUUUGUACCACAUUUUCAUACCACCUUAGGUGGCAUUUGAUGUGGAUAGCCACAUCAUUUGAAUUAAUCAGAUUUUAAAAUUUAGUUGAUUAUUUAAUAAACUAAUAAUUAAGAAAAACUAAUUAAUUAAAUGAUGAUUGUGAUAUACGAGGAGUCUUUCUCGUUCAUUUCUUUGGGUUUUGCAAAUUUUUCAAAUGAUGUGGCUGUCUACAUCGGAUGCCACCUAAGGUGGUAUAGAAAUAUGGUAUAAAAAUAUGGUAUGAAUAUCAUUACUCAAAUUUAAAUGUUUAUCUUGGUUAAAUUACCAUGAUAAUAUUGUGGAAUUAUCUUUUGCAUAACGGAAGAGCGAGAAAAGUCCAAGGGUGUAGGGAAGUUGUGUGGUUGACUACCGCUAUUUUGAUGGUAUAAUCUGUAGAGUAAUAUUACAUUUAACAUCUAUUUGUAUCAUAUUUCUAAUAAAGAUAAGGACCAUCAAUGCAUAAAUAAUUAAACAAAUAUAUAAUAAGAGUAUCAUUUUUGUAACUAGAAUAGGAGAAGAAAGACUUCAAGAUGGGAUCAGCCAAAUAAUUAGCGUUAAGAUAAAAAUAUUGAAAGGAAAACUAAUGAAAAUGGCUUGAAAACUUUGAGUUUUAACGAUAAGGACAAGAUAAAGGGUAAAGUGAAUAGUACCAGGAUUGACUUUUUAAUGUAAAAAUAUAGUUUUUCGUUAAAGUGAACAUUACCGGGAACUUUUCGUUAAAGUUUCCAAUGAGAUAAUAUUGCAACAGCUGGCAUGAGACAAUGAUGGUAUAAAGAUGGCUACUACGGCCAAACUACUACAUAGGAUUCCAUACAUGCGGUCAUUAUUUCGACAAAUCAAUGGCUGCCGCAAUCAUGUGCUCAUUAUUCCGACAAAUCAGUAGCUACUUGCAUUGGAUUAGGAUUGCAUGCGUGUGGUCAUUGAAUGAGGAUUGCGUGCACGUGAUCUUUAUUCAAACAAAUCACUAUUGACCAUAUAUUGCAAUUGGUUAAUGGUAGGCAAAUUGAAUUUUUACAUCAAAUAAUGUGAUUGCUGAUAAUUGAAUUAUUAUUUAAAUGUUGAUUAAUAUGCUUAUUUUUUAUUUGUGAUAUAUCAUUUAAUUUGUACAUUUAGUUUACCUAACAUUACCAACUGUAAUUUGUAUAAAUGGACUGGUACCUAACAUAACCAGUUGUAAUUUGUAUAAAUGGGACUGUAAUUUGUAUAAAUGGACUGGUGCCUAACAUUACCAGUUGUAAUUUGUAUAAAUUUACUGGUCCCAAGAGCACAUGCUACUGCUCAAGAAGCAAAGUUCUUAUUUGCCCAAAAAAAAUCAUGGUUUUUUAAUUGAUGCUCUCAUUUUAAUUUACUAGCCCCUUACUUGGCCUUUUUUAUUUAUCAUUUUAUACAUAUUAAUAUUUUUUUGUAAAAUAUAUUAGUUUGAGUUUUAUUAAAAUUAAAAAUAAAUAAAAAAACUUAGUUUUAGUUUUAUCAAAUUAAAAAAAAAUGACUUAAUAUUUAGUUAUUGAAAUUGUAAAAAAGUGAUCAAGUAUUGGGUGCUUUGUUUGAAAUUUUUCAAAAUGAUAUUGUUUUUACCAUUGAAACCCUGUUAUAUACAGUGAUGGCUAAUUUGUCAAGUUCUACGAAGUUGGGAUACCCAGCGUUUUAGCAUAUAACAUAGCUUAGUAUUACAAGCAUAAUUAAUUAAAAUAAAGGCAAAAUAAGAGGAUAGCUUAGUAUUACAAGCAUAAUUAAUUAAAAUAAAGGCAAAUUGUAACAGCCCGUCCCUAAAAAUGACGAUUUUAUAAUCUUAACACGUGAGUUUAUGAAGAUGCCCUUCGAGGCAAAGUGUUGACUACCGCGUCGUGUCAUGUGAGACUCAUCUUCUUGGCGUAUUCUCGUUUUACUCGUCGCUACGGAUGCGUGGGCGCAAACGACACGUGAUUUGGAGCUAUAACAAAAGAGUUAUUAACAUUUAAAGUUAAGGACAUUUUAGUAAAUUAAUUAAUUUCAGAUUUUGUUGAGGGGAAAAUCUGGAGUGCCAUGUGGGUGGCCCAGAUUAAAGGAAAUGAGGAAUGGAUGGUGGAGGUGUAAAGGAAAGAAGAUAAAAGAAAAAUGAGAGGAAAUGUGUGACUAAUAGGGAGAUGAGAGAGUUAGGAUGGCCCAAUUAGAAACAAACGAAAGGAGGAAAAAGGAGAGAAGAGGGGAGCAGGGGAUCCCUUCAACCCGGUUCCACUUUCCGACCCGACCCGAUCCUUUUCAUCUUUUCCGGUGGUUUUUCGUCAGUUUUUCCGGCGAACCACGUUAUCUAACCCCGUUGAAAAUGUUCCACGACCUUCCCUCUACCAUUACAACCCAAAAUUGUAGAAAUUUAGCCAUGAAAGUAUGAAAACCGCACCGGUGGGUGCGGGAAACCUUUGUCGUCGAUUCUCCCAUUAUUGAAACGAUUUUCACCAAUUAUCACCACCUACAGCAUCCUCUUGAGGUCUGGAAUAAAGCCCAAACAAGUUUUGGGGCGUUGGAGUUCGUUUAAGGUCGAAUUGAGCACACCCAAAUUCAAGGGUUCCGUACCGUUCAUGGUGAUUUGAGGUGUUUCUCGGCCAAAUUGGCCUUAGUCACAAGUAUGAAAGUUGCUCCACUCGUUGAGAUCUUCAUUUAUGUGAAAUUUGAGAAUUUUUUGAAAUAUUUGGAUUUUCCAGCGAGUCGGGGUGGCGGACCGCCACCGGCAGCAGCGCAUGGCCAGUGGUCCACCAAUGUCAUUUUACGUUAAAUUGAUAUCUUGAUUUUAGAUUUGAUGUCUAUAUGUUAUGACUUGAUUAUGUGAACCUAGUUUGAUUAAGGUGCGUUAAUUGGUAAAAAUAUGAAACGACGAUCCGACCGUGGGAUCGUCACCAAACUUUAAUAUGUUAUAGUACAUAAUAUUUGAGAAUCAUAGGGACUGACAGAUAGGAAAUCCGAGAUACAGAUCUUCCCGAAAUGGAAUUGUAAGUUUGAAGAAUAAACGUUAACCGCCACUUUGUUUUGACUAUUGGUGGAGAUCCAACCGUUGGAUCAUAAUGAAAUUUUAGGAUGAUGUUUUAGAAGCAUAAUGUGGAUCUUUGGAAGUUACUGAUCGGAAAUCCGAGGAGUGAAUCUUCCGAAUUGAAUUACGUAGGGUUGUGGACCUUACCGUCGAUCGUUGACCGAUGAUCGACUUUUGGUCAAUGGGGCUUAAAUCAAUCUAAAACGUUUUUAGGGAUGUGUUUUACGUAAAUUACAUGAUCUAUUGAUAAGAAUUAUGAGAUGUGGUUUGAUAAUUGUCCUAGGUGCCGAUCGUUAGGAACGCUUCGAUGGUUAUGCUAGGAAAUUGUAGCACAGACUCCUUGUGAGUGAAUCUUUUCCUUCUUAUCAUAUAUAUAUAUAUAUAUAUAUAUAUAUAUAUAUGAUUGACAAUUCCACAAACGUUUAUAAAUUGAUUAUUGCAUAUAACUACUGUGAAUACUUUGAAGUACUUAUGCGAACUACGAAUGGCUUGAUCCGUGUUUAGGGUACGUAGGCAGUCUAACAAGACGUUAGAUGUAGUCAUACAAUAAUUGAGAUUAAACAAUUGAGAUAAAGCCUUGUUUGGGGAACUGGGCAAGGUGAAGGAAUUUGGUAAAAAGGUGAGAUUUAACCUUAUGAAUUGGUGAUUAAAUGUUGGUCAUAAAUCAAUGUGUAAAGAAUCAAGAAUUUGAAGUAAGGAAACGUAAGUAAUGAUAAUUAAUUAAACUAGUGUCUAGUUGGGCUUGUCACCUAUAAUUAUCCCCGAAAAUGAAUAAUUCGGGAGUAGGGCGUUACAGCUUCUGCAUUUUUAUGCCACAUUAUAUAUAUAUAUAUAAUUGGAAAUGCUAUAACAUGGUUGAGUAUCAGAUUUCAUCAUGGUUUAUCUAUAUGUAUAUUACCUGCACACAAUUAUUAUGAACGCGUUGAAGUGCAAAGGUGAAUGCACGACACCCAGGUAAGUUCAGGUGAGUUUAUGGUAUUAGUUGAAAUGAUGGGGUUAUGGUAUGACUACAUGUAUGUUUAGGUUGCAAUGAUAGGCAACUCCAACACUGUCGUACAGGUUGCCCAUGAAUUGUACAUGUUACAAUAGAUACAGUUAGAGCUCAUAAACCUACACCCCGGUGUUAGUACUCCCGCUCGUGGCCAGGGCACAGUCCUUCACGUGAUGUUCACCUCCCGCACCUUACGCUCACCUUGGAUCCAAGGUAGGUGCACAAUCAUGUCGUACCACUAUAGGUGGUUCCGACUCGUAGAUGACCCGCGAUUAUUUGCACAGUCUUCACGUGAUUGUAGCACUUGAGCGUAUUUAUUUACACCCAGUUCUAUUGUACAGACCACUUUAGGUGGUUCCGACUCGUAUGCAGGUAUACUUAUUAAGCUAUGGAUAAGUCGUACAGGUCACUAGAAGUGACUCCGACUUAUGAGCUAGCAUAUGUGAUGAGCUAGCAUAUGUGAUGAGAUAAGUGAUGAGUUAGUAUAUGUAAUGAGAUAUGUGAUGAGCUAGCAUAUGUGAUGAGAUAUGUGAUGAGCUAGCAUAUGUGAUGAGAUAUGUGAUGAGCUAGCAUAUGUGAUGAGUUAGCAUAUGUGAUGAGCUAGCAUAUGUGAUGAGAUAUGGGUAAGUCGUACAUGUCACUAUAGGUGACUUCGACUUGCGUGCUAGUAUGGGUUAUUAAUCACAUGAUUAUUGAUAUUACUGAUGAGAUGCUGUGUUGUGGUAUAUUUAUGAUCUUUCUGGAAACUAUGCAAGUGUUGUAACGAGGGGUUAUAAUGAGGUGUUGUAACGAGGGGUUAUAAUGUUUUAUAUGGUUUCUGUUAAAAUUUUAUUUCUAGGGUCACUCACCCUUAUUUUGUUUUCACCCUCUAGGUUUUAUUAGCUGAGCUUUCUUAUCGUCGAAGAUUCGUGGCGAUUCUUAGUAUUGGAGAUUAUUUCGAGAGUACGAUUCUUAAUUCACUUUACUGUACUUGCUUAAGCUGUAACGUCACGUGUGAAGUGGGUUCAUUUCCGCUUACCAGCGCAUUCUGGUAUUUAGGCACUCUUAGGUUUAAAUUUAUUCACAUUUUUCCACAUCAUCAAACUUUAUGGCUUUGUCACUCUUUAGGUGUCGGCCAGCACAGCUCGAUUUGGAGUCCUAGUGGACAUUCCGGGUCGGGGUGUGUCACAAAUGAAGAGGAUGGUUGAACUUGUUAAGUUUCUUAAGUGUGUCUACUUGAAGUGUGUUGCUAAUAAAUAUUUUGUUGUAGGCAUAAUUUACUGAACAAUUAUGGAGGCAGAGAGAGAGAGAGGGAAUAUGCGGCAUAGAGAGAGAAGAGAGAGAUGUGUAAUUGUGAGGUGUGUUCUAUUCCACCCCAUUGUACCUUUAUUAUAUUAGUAGGGAAAGUUAAUUCCUUACCCUUUUAGGAUUACAACUCUAAUAGGAAAAUAUCUAGUCUAAGAGAUAUGAUAGAAUCUCAUAAGGAUAUCCUAGAUAUGUUAGGAUUUACACAAUCAUAUUCCUAUUCCAAUAAGACUGCAACACAUUUGUAUUUUUUUAGAAUUUUUUUGAUAAUUUGUUGGUAUUCUCAAUUUUUGUUAACAUUGAAAAUAUAACGGUUCAGAUGAAAAACCUUUGGAAAUCCAACAGCUUGCAAGACGUUGGGCUGUGCUGAAGGAAGCUGGGCUGUCACGUGGAUGGGGCCCUCCCUCUCCCUCUUGUUGAUUCAAAGGGCGCAGGCCCGUGCAACAAUUGGCGAGGCAGCCCAUAGAGAUCCUGCGAUUCACCCAUUCGCCAUUUUUUCCACCGCUGGAGCACCAAAAUUCGGUCAAAAGGCAGGGGUAUCAAUGGCAAGGGCAAUUUGGCUUCCGCUGGAGGUGCUCUUUGUCGACUUUGUUUUUUCUCUCAUUUUAGCUUUUGCAGUAAUAUUGAAGUAAUCACUCCAAUUUUAUCCAAACUUUUGUUGUCCGUCAAUUUUUAUCAAAACUAUUGGUUAAUUUACAUAUUCAGACUAACCUUCUCAUUAUUUUUAGUAUUUUUAUCAUAAAUAAUAUCUGAAAUAGUCACAUUUUAUUCAACAACCACUCAAUUAAAAAUUAAUUAGUGUUGUUUCUAAACCAUUACAUCAAGCUUUUGUAGAUACACAUCAAUAUUGCAGCGAUCCGAGGCAUUGUUUUAGUGACGGUAGUACUUUCUACUCCUUGGAUUUGGUGAAUCGGAAAAGAGAAGAGUUACGAGUAAAAGUCCCUCGCAUUGUUUUGGGGAGAUGAAGAUGAUGAUCUUUUGUUUUUGUUUUUUAAUGAUUAAUCCACGCAGCAACAUAUAAUUAAAUUGUUGGGAUCUACUCAAGUUCCAUAUCACACACUAACAUAAAAUUUGACAAACGAAACGAAAUAUGUGUGUAGACAUCGAAAUUUCGUAAAUAAAUGUUGACCGAUAAAUCAAAGUGUCAACGCUCAUGUAUUACAUAAAUUUUACACGUAGCGUGUGACUCAACGAAAAUUGAAAUGAGUUGGAAAAGUCAUCAAAUAGGACACGUGUCAACACCUGGCAGAAACGACUUAUUUCAUCUGGGAUAUUAUAUUCAAAAUUAGCCAUUGGAAAAUUCUAUAAAUACAAGCCCAUUUCAUUCAUUUAAGGAGAGGAAUUCAUAUUACACCUUGAAGCUCUGAAGCUCUGAAACUCCGAAGCUCUCAAGCAUCCAGGUUCCCGAAGAAUCAAGAAAGUGUUCUUCGUUCUUCGUUCAUCGUUCUUCCAAGAUCAAGCCUCGACGGCCCUUGGAUCAACAAUCAUCCACCUUCAAGAUCAAGCCCCGACGGCCCUUGAAGAAAGCGUUCUUCGUUCUUCGUUCAUCGUUCUUCCAAGAUCAAGCCCCGACGGCCCUCGGAUCAACAAUCAUCCACCUUCAAGAUCAAGCCCCAAAGGCCCUUGAAGAACUUCCACCAAUUCAAGAUCAAGCCCCGACGGCCCUUGAAGAAAGCACCAUCGUUCAUCAUCCGUUCAUCCAAGAUCAAGCCCCAACGGCCCUUUAGAUCAACAACGUCGACAAAUCCACACAUCCAACCGUUCUUCAAGAUCAAGCCCAAAAGCCCUUGAAGAUCCGUUCAUCACUGUUCUUCAAGAUCAAGCCCAAAAGCCCUUGGAGAUCCGUUCAUCACUAUUCUUCAAAGAUCAAGCCCAAAAGCCCCUUUGAAGAUCCGCUCAAAUCCACCUUCAAGAUCAAGUCCACGGCCCUUGAAGAACGUUCAUCCUUAGAUCAAGCCCAACGCCCCUUUGGAUCAAUCGCACAUCCACAAAUCAACACCUUACGGAGAUCGAAUCAGAGGAUCAAAAUAGAGAGAGAUUGUAACCCAAAAUCAUCAAAUACAAAUAUUUGUUUGUGCGCGUUGUUCUUGUCUCUUUCGUUUCAGGAAUUUUCCGUGUUCACAAUGUGCUCUUGAAAUCAAAAUGAGGGCACUGCUCCAAGAACAAGAAGGGCACCUUGUCGAGGUCGCCAUCCGCCGUGAGGGAAAACCGGAAGAAGUUGGACAACAAUGAUAACAUCAAUUUGCGGCACCCAUAUCGGGACAUCACACUGUGAAAUAAAUAUUGAAAUAAAUACUCAAAACUCCUGGAAAGUCCUCGAGACAACAAACUUUCAUCUCCUUCAAACAUUUCAUUUUACUAAGUUUUAUCUUUGAAGGGAGGGAAAAAAAGAGAAGAGAGAAUCCUACUCCUUAUUCCUGAAUAUAUUCAAGAAUAGCUAUUGAAUAAAGAGAGAAUGGAGGGUGAUCGAAAGAGGAGGGAAGAGAAUUCUAGUUCCAAACAUAAAAAGGACCACAACUUUUAAAUUAUCAGCACAAUCAUCACCUAAUUGAAGAGACCAUUCACUGUGAAACAUAUUGUCAAUCAGUCUAUCUAUAUCUAUUUAUAUACCAUAUUUUUAGAGUAAGAUUCUCUCACCUCCUAUUACCAUCCCCUUCCAUCCUUUCAUCUCAUACUCUUUUUUUGUUGUCUUAUUCUCUAUAUAAAAAAAUUCAAAACAAGAUGUAUACGUGACGUAAUCGUAACCGUUUAAAUAAGAGGGGAUAGAAGAGAAGAGAGAUUAGGAGAAGGGAGAAUCCUACUCCCACAUUUUUCUUCUUCAUAAACAAAAGAGAGGUUCUAGAUUACUUGACUCUAUGCCUCAUUUUUUUCAUCAAGUAUUUGUGAUAAGUGGGUUCAUUUUCAAGUAUUUUAGUUUUUUUGUCAAAAUUGAGAAAACUGAAAAUCAAACAUUAAUAUGAAAAAUUAAAAAAUCAACAUAUAAUUAUUUAGAAAUCGCAAUAGAAAAGAAAAAAAAUGGAGGUUUGUGAUGAAAAAUCUUUUAUACUAAGUAAUUUAGUAUCCUUAUGCAUGAAGAUAAAUCAAUUUGUUCGUUACGGUCAUACUCUUUUUUGAAUUUUUGAACACAUUCUCCAUAGGGCCUUCUUAUAUGUUCCUUCUCCAAGCUCGGGUUAUGGAAGAAGUAAAAGAAGGAAUCGAAAAGAAAGUAUUGGUAACAACCGAUUUCAUUACGAGACAACUCUUGAUAUUCAUAUCAAUCUAUUAUGUACCUUUGCAUCUAGCAUUAGACAAUAAUUGUCAUAGCUUUACCAUAUUUUUUUGUUUCAUUUCUUCUGAAACAAUCUCACACACUUUUUUAUUAUGUGUCUACUACUAGGAAUUCAAUACGUAAUCUUAGCAUUCAAUAGUUAUUCCUAAAUAAUUUCAAUUUUCAAAUGAUCAACCAUUUCAUUUUACCAAGUUCAAUCAAUGUUAGUCAGAUUAGUCAACAUUUAUAUAUUUUGAUGCAACAACAAGAUGUUAUUUGUAACAAGUGAUUUUGUUAGUUGGUUAAUUGGUCACAAGUUAAUGUUCGGUUCAGUUUAGUUUUUCUCUCGAUUUUUUGUGAUUCGGUUUUUUCAAUUCUCUUUAGGGUCGGUUCGGUUUUGUUUUUUUAUUUAUACUUGAAUUUUAUUUUAAUUUAUUUUAAUUUAUUUUAUUUUAAAUCUGGAAACACCAAGAACAACACAAGCACAUAGUCAAUCAAACAACUAUCCUUCUCCACAAAUCAUAGUAAUAAUUACAUUCAUUGAGCUGAAAUGCAAAUAACUAACAAACUCACAAAAAUCAAAUAAAAACUACAAAUUGCUUACUCUUUUUCUUUGGGUUUCACUCGAAAAGUGUCGGUAAAAUUUAGGGUUUGCAAGAACGCAACUGAAAUCUAAAACGGAGGCCUUGUGGCCUAUGGGUUGCUAUUGAGUUCCAGUACAGAGAACCUUGCUUAAUCUCGAUCACGGUACAAAGUAUCGAGUACCUUUAGCACUGUAUUUUGGUAUGAUUGGUAGAACCAAAUUAAAAGCUAACAUCAACAACAACUACCAGAGACAAAAGCUCUUAUCAAUGCUUUGGAAACAUUUAUGUAUCUCCAAGUGUAAUGAUAUAAUUGGUUGGAAACUUGUGAUUUCGUAUCAAAUCAAUAAAAAGUUACAAUAUUGACAAUAUAUUAGCAAUUUUUAUGUUAAUUAUGAACAAGUCAAUCAUGUAGAACCAAAUUAAAAGCUAACAUCAACAACAACUACCAUAGACAAAAGCUCUAAUCAAUGCUUAGGAAACACAGUCCUGUAUCUCUAGGUGUAUUGAUAUAAUUGGUUGGAAAUUUAAAAGAAAAAUGGUGAUUUUGUAUAAAAUUGAUAAAAAGUUACAAUAUUGACAAUAUAUUUGACACACCCCGACCAAGAUCAAGGCAUGCUGGCCGUCACAUGAGAGUGACGUAACCAUGUGCACAGUGCGGAAGCAAUAAUGAUAAGAAAUAUAUGAAUAAUUAAAAACCGAAUCUACUAGAGUGCACUACUAAACAGGAAGUAUUAGGAGUAAGAUACAAAAGUAAAUACUCCUAAUCAGAGCAUAGAAAGUCUAGGUGCAAUCCAGUAGGACAAGUACUAAUUAUACAGUAUAAAAUGUCUUACAAUUAUUUAGAUAGGUCAGAACCGCCGAAGUCCUCACACCCAACAACUGCAAACUUACUUAAAACCUGAAGGGGCGCAAAAUAGAAAACGUGAGUGGGAAAAAACAAAUGUUUUACAAAACCAUUUCAUUUAUCAAUAUAUCUAACCCCUCGCUGUAAACAUGUAUAAUUUUUCCCAGAAUCAAGAUAUAAGCAUAUACAUAAAUAUAUAUAUAAAUAUAUCAAUUCAAAUCAUGCUUCACAUAAUCAUAUUCAUAUGUAUGUCAUGCCAAGAUAUAACAGAGUAAGCAACUCAGGUAAGAGUAAUUUCAUAGAAAUAUAACAUGUUAGCCGGAACCCCUGUAGUAGUCUGUACGGCUGAAUUCAUAGCUCAAAAGUCAAUCUAGCCGAAGUCACUACAAUGACCUAUACGGCAAUAUACUGCACAAGAGUCGGAACCAAAUGAAAAGAUCUGUACGACAAUAAUGGGUGUUGUUGAUGCACAAAAUCAGUGAGGACUUUGGUACAACAGAAAGUGUUAAGUUUGUGACAUUCUCUAGAUUACUCCGAUCACUAGUGUGGAUAAGUAUGUAAAUGGAUAAAGACAGGGAAGCAAACACAAGAUGUACGUGGUUCACCCAGAUUGGCUACGUCCAUGGAGUAAAUGAGUUCUUAUUAAUUGUGAAGGGUUUACACAAGUAUAUAGGUUCAAGCUCUCCUUUAGUGAGUACUAGUGAAUGAUUUAGUACAAAUGACAUUAGGAAAUAUUGUGAGAGAAUGAUCUCUAUUUAUAGAAGAGAGUUUCUAGUUUCAUUCUGACAUUGACACGUGUCAUGUUGUGAUUGGCUUCUGAUGUUGACAUGUGUUGCACUAUGAUUGGCUUUAGAUGUCAACAUGUGUCGCGUUGUGAUUGGCCUCCUGGUUUGAGGGAAACUCUUCUGGCUCCUUGACGGUAUAACGUUGAUCGAUGCUCAGUAGUUUCGGGAUUGGUCAAGUAUGGUACAAACAGGUGUAAUAUAAUCAUACUCAAUACUACUCUCACAUAAUAGCUGGGUGAUAAAUCGCUAGUCACCUAUGAGUCAGAACGAUAAUAAAGGUCUGUACGAAGACUGUGCACCUAAAUUGGAUCCAAUAUGACCAUAUGGUGCGGGAUGUGACAUUAUAUACAGGCUUGUGCCAUCACUGGCGGAGCUACACCCACGGCUACAGUAGGCUGUAGCCUAGGGAGGAUUUUAACAAACUGCUGGUAUAAUAGUUUAUAUAUGAGUUUGUUGUUGCUUAUUGUAUGUAUAAUAGCCCACAUAAAUCCUGCCAAAAUUAUUAGUUAAUGUGUUUCUUAAUUUAUAAAUAAUACUUUUAUUACCUUUUAUUAUUUUAUUAUUUUUAGGCUAAAAGUAAAAAUGGUAAAUUAAUACAUAAUUAGGUUUCUCCUAUUCCCCAUGCUUUUUACCUAUUCGUUCAAAACAAAAAAAUUAAACCCUCUACCCUAAGAAAAGAAAAACUAUGAAUCACCAUCAAAUUAUUUUCUAAUGAAAUUCAACACUAGAUAUGCUCUUCAUGUCUUCAUUUAACCUAUUUCUUGAUUCAAUUGUUCAUUCCAUAUAUCUACAGCACGACUUGAAUUGGUAUCCCCUAACCUUUUUUCUUUUGGGUACUUGUUAUCAACAAAAGUGAUAAUAUUUGUUCUCUUUCUAUUGCUUUUUUGUAUGCAUGUUUUAUUUGUGUAAAAAUUAGUUGGAAAGUAAUUAAUAAACUUGUUUGGAUUAUUAGUACUUCAUGUUCCUACUUUUAUGUAGAUUACUAUAUAAUUUUAUGUAGGCAAAAAAAAAAUUCAUAAGAUUAUAUGCUAAUGAUUUUAGUUAGCCCACCCAAGAAAAAUUUUCUGGCUCCGCUAUUAUGUGCCAUAACUCUGGCAAAAUCACAAUCACCCUAAGUGCAGUUUUAUGAGUUCAACGUUAUUCUAUCACAUAUCACAUCAUCGAUAAUUCACAUAACCAAACAUAACUCACAUGAGCUUACCUGAGCGUCCACAGUACCAUAAUUAUAUAUAAUGCAUCAUAUACGAAAUAUAAAUUCAUAUGCAUGGCAUUUAAGGUAUACUUUCAUUUAAACACAUAUUUCUGGGAAAAUAUCAAGUAUAUAAAUAUAUACUGAAAACCAAAAGCCCACUCAUUGGUAUGUCGAAGGGUCGUAGCCCCCGAGUCGCCUUUGAAUACUCUCGUCCUCGUGAUAAGUCUCACCUAUAUGCGAAUUAACUAUAAAAACGUUAUUUUAGAGCACAUACAAAAAAUUAGCUAAUAACUCUCAUACAAUGCUCAAUUUUUGUAUUUGAAUAUAUCACAGUGACCUACACAACCUCAAGAUCAUCCCUAAAUUUUUACAAUAUUUUUCUGACCCCUCACGCGCUGCCACGCACCGGCAAGGGCAACGCCUUACUCGCCCCCACGCGCGGCCACGUGACAAGCAUACUGAUGGCGUCAAUCAACAUCAUCAGGAAUAUUCUAGGGAAUAUUCUGUUAAAACCCAAUGGUAACUGUUAAAGAUGACUGACGGCAUGAGCAUAUUCUGUCAACCUUGACGGAAUAUACUCCUUUCUUCUCCGAUGAGUCGUCGGUCGCCGGCGACUUCGCCGAUUUCUUGGUAAAACUUUAAAUCGCUUAUUCUUCUUCGUUUCUUCGCCAUUUUUCAUGAAAUUGGUACCAAAAUGAAGCUAAUAACAUGUAGAAUCACUUUGUAUAAGUUUCAAGGCUUAAAAUCUACUAGUUUUUCCCUGAGAAAGCUCGAUAGUUCGGCUUACCUAGAUAUGCGUCGAUCUCAGCCCUCCGACGUCCAAUUCCUUCCAACGAAGUACCCCAAGACUCGUGAGGACCUCCUUAAGCUUCCUAUAAGCUUCAAAUUCCCUGAAACACAAGAUUUUACGUAUGCAUGAACAAUGCACAAAGUCGGAGCUAGGGUUUCCACGUGAAAUCGAAGGUUUCCUUACCUGAAAAUGGUUCCUUUGAAUUCGUAUGGUUCUCACGAACACAAUGGUGAUCUUAAAACCUUCGAUCUACAAGGUUUAAGAGGGUUUCUGGGUUGGUCCGUACGAAGAAGGGAGAGAGAGAAUGAGAAUCUGCGAGAGAGAGGGCACGGGAAGGAAAGAGAAAUAAGAUAGGUGUGUGUAUGGUCCAAAAGCCACCAAUCAAAACUAAGAAAAGUCUUAGUUGUAAUUGGGUCACCAAUCUAAAACAAUUUAACCCAAUAAUAACUUACACACAUCAUUUAACAUCCGAGGGUAAUUCCGUCAUUCUACGUCAUCGAGAAUAAUCUUCCGGGACGGGCUGUGACAAUAUCAGCAAUAUUUAUGUUAAUUAUGAAUAGGUCAAUCAUGUAUUUAAUACUUAAAUGUAUUUAAAAUAAACACCUUAUCAAUGUUUUCUGAACUGUGCUCGAUUUUUCUCCUUCGCUUUGGUUCUGUCCCAUUGGAUUUUUCAAGCAAGAUUUUAUCAAGGCAACUAUCAUUAACUGUGAACAUAAUUUAUCAUUGAGACACGAACAUCCAAGGGGGAGUGUCGUGGAAAAAAAUGUAGAUAUCUUUAUACGUUGUAUGGUAGUAAACCAUCAUAAACACCAUAAAUAUGUAGAAACGCCCUUGCGGUACCUUUGAAUGAUAACUCAUGUAUUUGUUGCCCUAUGUAAAGAUGGCUAAUGAUAAUGGAAGACUAAUUUUCUCAUCCCAAUCUCUCCUGUCUCUCUUAUUCUCUUUUCUCUAUAUUUUAUUUCCAACAAGUUGUGUUUUUUUUUUAGUAUUGUUAAGCAACCCAAUAGAUUUUAAUCGUAGUCUUUGUUUUUUUUCUUUUAUAUUUUUAAUCAAUUUCAGUUGCUUAUCAGUUCUAGCUAAUUGAGCUCUUUUACAGCAAUUUUUUUCUUUAAAUAAAAUUAUUAUUAUUAAAAAGAGUGAGAAAAUUCGAAAUUGUUACAAUAAUUUAAAAAAAAUAGGAGUUUCAAAUCAUGAAGGUAGAGGGAGUUAACAACAUUUUAGGGGGGGGUGUAGUCAAACUAGGAUUUUGAAGGAUUUUAAAAGUGAUAGAUUUGAUAGGAUUUAAGAUGAUUAAAGACUCUUACAAAAUUCAUAUGGAUUUUAAAGAAUAUGAAUGGAUUGCGGUGGAUUGUGGGGGAAGGAUUUGAAAUCCUAGGGGGUGAGGUUUGAUUCUUUUUAGUUUUGGUUAUAUAUGGUAUGCUUUCAAAUCCCAGAAAAUCCACAACUUUUUAAAAUCCUUUAAAAUCUUAAUUUUUUUAAUACACUUAGAUUUGGAUGGAUUCUAAAAUCCUUUAAAAUCUUUUAAUUGACUACACCUAGAUUUGAAUGGAUUCUAAAAUCUUUUAAUUGACUACACCUAGAUUUUAAUGGAUUCUAAAAUCCUUUAAAAUCUUUUAAUUGACUACACUAUGAUUUUAAAGUCUUUAAAAUCCUCUCAAAUCCAAGUUUGACUACACCCCCUAAAGAUUUUAAGGAAAACUAAUGAAAAUGGCUUGAAAACUUUGAGUUUUAACUAGGGGUGGGCAAACGGGUACAGGAACCGCGGGUAGGGGUGGGUAAUUCAAGUUCGGGGCAGGUAUGGGACAUGUCCAAUAUUUCUAAACACAAAACGGGGCGAGGCUGUUCGGGUAUAUGAAAUUAUCGGGGCGGGGCGGGUCUUAAAAUAGAAGGGAACGGGCCCCCAGCCUGACCCGUUUCUUUUCCUCAUCCCUAGUCUUCUCUAUCUCUCUUCCCCGACACUUUUCAUUUCACUCAAACCCGGCCCAUUUCUUUUCCUCAUCAGUCAUCCCUAGUCUUUUCAAUCUCUCUUCCCUAACUCCUUUCAUUUCACUCGUACCUCGAGACCUCCUCUUAACUCGCUCCCAGCCUCCCACCGUCCUAGCUCCGUACCUCGCCAUCAUCAUCGUCAGACCUCCAUCUCUCCUGAUUUACUCAUGUCUUCCUCGCUGCGUCCGCCGCCAUGUCUCUCUUUCUGUGACGAACUUAAAGGGACGGACGAAGUUGAACAACUCGAAACGACGCCUCUUCUGUCUGAAUUAGACCCAUAUUUGCAGCGCACGACUCUGCUCAUAGUCCUCUUCGGUUUUAAGGUAUUACGUUUUAGAGAUUUAGGAUUGAAAAUUAAAUUAGGGUUUUCUAGAUUUAGGGAUUUUGUUGGGUUCUUGAACCUUGACCUCUGUUAUGUUCCAAUUUCAAAUAUAUAUUGAAUUGAAUUUGAAUCGACUGUGUUUGAAACUUCUGUUGAAUUAAAUUGAAUUUGAGCAGGAGAAGAGGCAGAUGUGGGUUGGGCAAUGUCGAAUCUCAUUGUGGGUGGUGAGGUGGGCAUGGCGGGCGACAAUAUUGACUGGCAAUGGUACGGGCGGUGCUAUUAAGUUGCAGAAGAAUACGAAGGAGGGGGUGUGGGCAUGGGUGGAUAUCGCAAGCUCAAUUGAAUUUUUUCUGGUUUUGUUUGUGAUUAAUUGCUUGUAUAUGAUAGUUAUUGAUGGAUCUUGACAUGCCCAUUUAAUUGUUAUUGGCAAUGCUAGUUUGAUUGUAACAAAUUCAAACCGAUUGAAUUGUAUCCCAGAAAAAAAAAUCAAUAAAGGAACUGAGGACCCGGCCCGAACCAGCCCAUUUCAACCGGGCCAGGUUAGGUUCGGUUCUUAUAUUAGAAAAUGUUGUUCCCGGCCCGUUUCUCUUAAGCCCGGAUCCAGUCCGAUCACUUCGAAAUUGGCCCCAACCCGGCCCGGGCCCACCUCUAGUUUUAACGAUAAGGACAAAAUAAAGGGUAAAGUGAAUAGUACCAAGUUUGACUUUUUAGUGUAAAAAUGUAAUUUUUCGUUAAAAUAAGAUUUUAAUGGAUUCUAAAAUCCUUAAUUAAGAAAUUAGGCUUCAACCCAACUCAUCUUUGCAACGCCGGUUCCACUUCACAUCAACAGGCAAUGUUUUCUCCUCAACAAAUAGUAUUCUUUUAUGAGACAAAGACUAAUGAGGGUGAUAUAUAUAAUUAAUAAUAAUACUUGUGUUCCCUUUGUGAGUGAAUGCACUUAUUUUACCAUUCUCUAAUAAUGUAUCUUUAUUAUAUAAAUUUAUAUCAUGUGGAUAUCUUCCUAUAAAAAAGUUAUUCAAAUUGGAAAUCCUUACGUCAUCAAAAUAUAUAAAAAAAUGGACGAUCUCAUCGUAAAUAUGUUAGUUACUCACACUAUAACUUUGUAUAUUCCCUCACGUAGGAAACGCAAUAAUUAUCCUCUAAUUAAUUCUUCUUGAGAGUAGAAUUUUUAUUGUUGGUUUUUCGCAACCUUCAGACCUAAAGCUGAUAUGGACCUCUCAUUGUUUUUUGGGUUGCCGUUCUUAUUUUGCUUGGUCCUUUUACCUUUUCUAUAGUUGUUUAUCUAGUUCUUUUGAGCCUCGUACUAAUUUUUAAUGUAAUGAAAAUUAUCUUCGUGAUAAAAAAAAAAAUCAUUAGUCCUCGUAUGAACAUGCGAUGUAACACACUUUCAUGGAACAACAGAUGAUAAAGACGAUAUCCAAAUUUUCUCUGUGUUAUGUGGACUUUCCCAACCAAAUAAAUAAUAACCAAUAAACAAAUAAAUAAGAGUUUAACUUCAAACAUUGAGAAGCGAAAUUCCAACACUACGAGCCUAACUUUUGUCUUCAUCAUCAUCAUAGACUAGUCUCCUAUCCAUCAACUCCUACAUCAAUUUUUUUUUUUACUAGAUUGUAGCUCACUUUCAAAAGAGUUACGUAAAGUAUUUAAGCACCAUAAAAGAAAAUUAAACGACAACGAUUGACAUAAUAUUAGUAGUAUCAUGGUCUAAAAUAUUCAUAAUAUCUUGAUAUUUUUAUUGAAAUUUUCGUGUUUUUAGACUACCUAUAUUUUCAAUAUCAUCGAUAUUUUAAACCUUGCUAAGUCACUCAUGUAUCUUACCAUGCAAUGUAUAAAGUGUAAAAUAUUGUACUAAUUCAUUAUAUAUAAAUGAUUAUAGUGUGUUUAAACUUCUUUCAUUAAUUACUACAUAUUUUCUACACUCACAAUGUUUGCCAGCUCGCUAUAUAAUCAACUUAAAUCAAUUAUAUCUAUCAUGUAAUGCAUUUCCUUCCAAUUUUUUGUGAUAAACUAAUAGAUAAUUGACUAAAUAAACAUCCUGCAAAGUUUCAAUAAAAAUUUCCAAGUUUUUCUUACAAUUUCCGUAGUUUUUAUUCAAUUUUUAUCGAUAUCGAUAAUAUCCCGAUAUUUCCAUCGAAAUUUCCGUAUUUUUAGACUACUGAUAUUUCCGAUAUCAUCGAUAUUUUAUACCUUGGUAGUUAUACAUUUUAUCGGCCUCAUUUUUAUGCAACUUAUACAUUAAAUUAUUGUCAAAAUGUACAUAUAAAGUAGCUGAUCAACGAUGAGAUUUUAGGCAACCAUUUUCUUCUACGACGUCAAAGGUUGUAGAGGUGGCCAUGUGCACUACAUGCGUAAAUCAACUAGGGACUUGGAUCCUCUCUUAAGCCCAAGGAGAGGAUCCUCCUAACCAAAUGACUUGGAUUGUUGGAUGAAAAUCUAACGAUUACAAACAGAUGAUCUCUUUAAAGUUAUAAUAUUUAUUACCGUUGAAUUUUCAUCAAACGGUCAAAUAUCAUUGGUCAAAAGGGUCCUCUCAUUGGGCUCAGAGAGGACCCAAGUGCAUCAACCAGAACUAUUGCUAUUAUAACAAUUCAUGAAAUCAAUUAAACAAUAAUUUUCCUUCUGGCAGGCAUGUUAGUUAUUUCUUAUUUGGCCAAUUGCCUAGUGGAUUUGGUAGAUUUAACCUCUCCACCACAAACACAUUUAAAAAUUUCCAGAAAUCCGUAACGUAAAAUUUAAAAAUAAAUAUUAAUAACAGCAAGUUCUUUUCACCGACCGUGACCGAGAUCUGUCACAUAUCCAAAAUGUCACCUCCUUAUCGCAAAAACCAAAUUUGACUUGGGAUAAAUACCGUGUACAAAUUAAACGCGUUUCUCUAGCUUUUGCGUAAAGAGGCAACCCAACACUAAACUAGGAAAACGUUGGGUUGACAAAGAUACCAUGAAGAAUAAAGGGGUUAUGCAAUCCACUUUGCAAGAUAAUCAAAGUUUCCCGUUGUAGACUUGUCUUAACCCAACACUAAACUAAGAAAACGUUGCUUUCCCGUUGUAACAUGAAACAACAUUAAACAACAUUAAACAAUAUUAAAUAACAUUAAAUAACAUAAAAAUUAUACAACAUAAAAAAAACCAUUUAACAACAUAAAACUUAAAAUGCGUACUUCUUGCUUCUUGUGGCCUAAAGAUGUGCAACAAGAUCUUGAUGUAGGUACUUGUUUGUGGCACGAAAACGUAUCAUCCUAGCCGUUGGAUUUGAAUUUUUUUUGUUUUCGGCCAAAAAAUUUUAAAUUUAAAAGUUGAAGAUGGUGAGAAAUAUGAUCCUACACUGUUCAUUAAAAUAUUAAUUUCUUGAAUGACCAAAAGGCUAAAACAAGCCAUCCUUCGGUUGGAGAUGCCUAAGGAGAGACUAGAGAUAGAGAGUUUCCUAUAUAUGAUUUUCAUUAACAAGAUUGAAAUGAUUUCAGAGAGAAGAUCAAGUAUGGUUAUUUUUAUUUUGUAGAGUGUAGACAUUAUAACUAUACAUUCAUAAUAACAUGAGUAAUGUUAUAUUUAUCACAUUUGUACUCUUUCUCUGAUAAAGGUAGGGUUCAUCAACACAUGUGGGUUCUAUUUGCCCAUCAACACAUGCGGAUCUCAUUUUUAUUAGAAAAAUAGUACAAAUAUGGUACGGAAAAUAUGAUAAGAUCGCAAUUUUGUAAUAACAUAUAUACUCAACUAUUUAUAUACCGACCCAUCUCCUUUUAGUGUAGAUAAUAUCGUUUGUUAAAAAAAAUGUUGAACUUGUCAUAAUCAUUGAAUCCAUUUACCAUGAACAAACGGCAGUUUACUAAACUUGCCCUCAGAGUAUAUAUAAAAGGUGAAUCACAAUCUAUUGCAUUAAUAUAAGGAAACAAUUUAUAGGGUUUGACGGGUGACUUAAUAUGCUAUAUGGCACAAUGAAAAUUAAGUUCACACUUUAUCCCAAAUAAGGUGUUGCACCUUUAAUUUAUGGAUGCUGGUUUGACGUGUGACCGAAAUAAUCAAAUUGUAGCCAUUAAUCAUUUUACAAGUAAUAAUAUGUAGUUUUUACUGUUUACGAUUCACACAACAAUCUGCUAGGAAGUAGAAAAUGCAGUACUUGUCCCUCUCACAGAAGUCAUGAAUAAUUAUCAAAUUCAAAGAUAAAGAAAAACCACACAAUUUACAAGAGGAAAGAAAAUGAAGGGAUAAAGAAAGUAAGAAAGGAAUACCUCUAUGGGAGGACUCUUAUUUGCUUCAGAUGCCUACAAUAUUCAUCAUAUAAACACUGAUUAAGUAGUCAUCGAAAACCAAAACAAAUGUCGAACAUAGGGUGAAAAACAGAAAGAAUAACCGCAGCUCAUCAUACCAAUAGAGAUAGAACUGCCCGAUGCCCAAGUAUGACUGAAAAAUGGCAAUCCAAACAUGGCGCCUUCUAGCUCAUCAAACUGUCAAAACCUAGGUUCCACCAAAAAGAUACAAGUCACCUAGUUACUUGUAAAAUAAAAAUCUGUUUCAAAAUAGUGGAAAAUAUUAUUAACAUUGUUCAAAGUCCACAUUGUUGUACCUACCAAGAAACAAGAAGGAUUGUAUCUUAUCAUGAAAAAGAACAUAGGUACCUUUUCAAUUGUAAUUGUACAAAAAUGAGAGACCACUUCCGAACUUCUCUUGGAACUUCAAUCAAUUUCUGCCCACUUUUAAAUGCCUUGACAUACUUAAGCCUAUUUCUUUGAGCUUCAGUUUUGGCUUCUGAUGCCUUUAAAUUUCUUAAAGAUUCUUACCAAGUUUUACAAACUCACUUCUAUACAACCAUUUGUCAGUAUACAUACCAUUUUCUUUGAGCUUCAGUCUUUGCAACACCAAAACCCCCCAAAUAGACCCGGAAUUUUGCAAUGUGCAGGGAAUAUACAAAAAAAACCCUCCUAUCCAUCUAAAACGAAAUCAGAACCCAAACCACAAUCAAAAUCCGUAAAAUUAAUUUAGCCAACCCUAAAUCUAAUAAUUCUAACAAAUAUUAUAGUAUCAAUUGAGAGAGAAUUUGAGAAGAUACCUAGAGAUGAAAGGAAGAGCGUUUCCUCUGAUAGGGGUUCCGUGAAAGCAUCUGUUGACCAGAAAAGAAAAGGCAAAAAACCCCAAAUUACAUAUCAAGCAAUUAUAGAUAGAUCGAACCUUGAAAAUUGAAAUUUCAAACAAGAGAAAGGUUAUAAACUUACAACGAUCUGGGUGUUGGUUACUGGGUUUGGAUUUGGGUUUCUGAUAAGAGAGAGAAUCGUAUGAGGAACCGAUAGAGGAACUGCACCGGCAACAGAGAGCAACUGAUAUGGUGGAGAAUAGAGAUGGGCAAAAUAUCCCGGUUAUCCGCCCAUUUAAAGUUCACAGUUACGGUUAUGGUAAUUGAACGGUUAUGGGUACUACCCGUGGUUAUAACGGGUAUCUAUUGGUUAUGGGUAUUAUCCGCGGUUAUAACAGGUAUUCAUUUACCCAUUUAAUUUCAUAUAUGUAAAAUUUAUAAUAUUUUUAACAGUUAUAACGCGUUUUUGUAUUUGUUGCCAAACUUUUCGUAUACAAAAAAUUUGAAGCACAAGAAGCCAACAAGGAGAAAGAUCAAAGAGCUUACUUGAAGCUUAUGAUCUAUCCUGCGGUUAAUAGAAAGUACUGGUAUUAGUGUAGAAAAAUGUUUGUUUUUAGAAGCUUUAUUUUGUAAUCAUAUGAAUUAUAAUUAAAGACUUGCUUGGGUGUAGUAAAAAAAUAUCGUUUGUAAACUAUUAUUUCAAUUAUUAGAAUUGUAUGAUGACCUAAAUGAUUAAAAUAGAGAAAUGCAUGCUAAAAUGUAUUUAUAACAGUGUUUAAUUGUCAGAUUUUUUUUUUUUUUGUAAUUUUCAAGUUGUUAAAAAAAACAUGCAGAGAGGUGAAAAAAGGGAUUAAAAAAUGAUAAACGGGUUCAAAACGGGUAAACGGGUAAAUGAUUAUGGUUAAAUAGGUAAACGGUUAUGGGUAAAUGGGUACACGGUUAUGGGUAUGAGUAUAACCGUUUAUGCAAUUACCCAACGGGUAAACGGCUAUGUGGGUAUGAACAUAAAUGGUUAUGAGUAAAUAACCGCGGUUACCCGCCCGCUAUAACCAUUGCACAUCCCUAAUAGAGAACAUACGAGAAUAGCCGCUUGGAUGGUCAAUCCAAGAAGAGAAAAUCUUGCCACAAUCACGGUACUUGAAAAAAAAAACAAUUUUAAAGGAGGGAAACAAUCGCGCCUUUUUUUUAAUAGACUCUGUCGACGAUAUUCUUGACAAAUAGUCGGGUGAGCUUAUUUUUCACAACAUUUUAUUUAGGACUAGGUUCGGUUGGCAAAUCGUGUCAAAUUUCUUGUGCCAUUUGCCAGCCACAUAUACAUAAUUACCAAAAAUCAGUUACCGUUCGCCAACCAUCUUCUUGCGGUUGCCAAAAAUCGGUUCAACCAAAAUGAUUGGCUGGUUCGGUUGGUAAAUGGCACAACCGGUGGUUUCCACUUCUUCCUCGCUAUCUUCUAGUUGCAAGGGCUCAAUUUGAUUUUCAGAUUGGGAUGCUUGUUCGGUUGCAUUGUGUGGUUCAUUUUGGGUUAAUCCAUGUUGUGCACUAGCAAUUAAUUGGCUAGACUCCAUCAUCCUAAACAUAAGCAACACAUAUACAUUCAAAAUCAUAUAUAUGUACGUGUAUAUAUAGUAUCAGUAAUCAUCAUGUUAUCAAUUUUGUUAACAAUAUUUUCUAUAUUGAUUAUGGCAUGAAUCAUAUACAUAUACAUAUAUUUUUUAAACCCUAAAACUAAGGAGUUAUUUAUUUUCUAAGCCCUAAAAUUGAGGAGUCAAGCAUGUAAAAAAAUACUUAAAAUAUCUAAAUAGAAAAAGAAAAAAAAAAAAAAAAAUAUAUAUAUAUAUAUAUAUAUAUAUCGGUAGGUAUGGCAUACCGCCGACAUACAAAAUCAAUUACCAAAGCCAUGCCAUUAAUUGUCGGUUCGGUAAAAUGCCAACCGAUUAUGAAAAAAUGCCAAAACUAUACCAUACCAUUUUGAGCCAACCGGUAUGGUUCGGUCGGUAAAUCGGCUUAUGGCAAAAUUUCUCACCCCUAAUUUUAUUUGUCGCCUUAAACCUAUUGGUUUCUAGCCUACAAUUUGGAUAUUUUGUUGGGGAAAGAUUUUUGUACCAAUAAAAUUUUGCUUUGUCAGCUUAGGAUUUGUCGGCAAAAUGACAUUUUCUAGUCGUUAUAAUAUUAGGUAGAUCAAAUUUGUAAACUAUGUGAUGUGUCACCAAUAGGAAAAAAAUUCAGUGUGCUGAAAAUACAGUCUAGAACACCAAGUGUCAUAAUAUAUACUUGGUUGGAAAUUUUUUAUUUUCAAGUUUCCAACUAAUUGUAUUGUAACAGUUGGUGUUCCAAGCUAUUUUCUCGAUGCGUUGGAAAAUCUCUUCACCAAUUAAAAAUAAACAUAUUAAUUAACACUUAAGUAAUAAUCAAAGUAUCAACAACUACGUCAUAAAAUUUACGAAAUAUGAUCUUAAUUAAUGAUCUCCAUGGCAUUACCCUUUAUCUUAGCGUAUACGUACGCCUUCACAUGUUUAUUUGCUGAUAUGCAGCUUGAGUAAAAAUUUCUUUUUAAGAACAUAUAUGUGAAUAUAAACAUAUAUAUCUAGUGAUCCAUGUUGCGUUAUUUAAAAAUAAACAAAUUAAUUAAUUAAUAAAUGAACUGUGUGCAUGUCUGUGUAGAGUAAUCCAUAUGCAUGCUUGAAUCCUGAUCACCACGAAACCAUAAUAUAAGCUACUCAAGGCCCGGAAGCUAGGAUUGAAGAGAAAAACACCCAGUCAGAUUAAGCCAAUAUAUCAAAGUUAAUACUUCGAAAUGUAAGCUUUAAGAUAGAAAAAUCACUUACUACCUUGAGCAGUCGAGCUUCUUCAAUGGCAUGAAGCUUUUAGCAUGAGAUUGACUGCAUCACAACUAAAAUUUUCUCUUGGAAACUACAUAAGGAAUAGCAUGUAUACCUAUAACGUUGAGAAAGUACGCCAAUUUUUUCCUUCUGCACAUUCAUGUUUAAAAGUAAUCCUCAAAUGAACUUGCCCACAAUGAAAUGCAAUUUGAGGUAGUCGAGUGUGUUCCAUUUCCAUUCCAUGGGAAUUACUACUAAACUUUGAGAUGGUAAAGGAUUCAUGAAAUUUUUUACUUUUGAGAUAGCCUCUUUAACAUUUCUCGACUAUAACAAUGAGGGAAUACUUCACCUUGUAUCAAACAAGGGAGAGCGAAAAUCAACUACUAAUAGCAUCACAGAGCCAGCAGAAGAUUGAGGAGGCCAUGAAGAGGAGAGAGAAAAUACACUCUUUUUUUUUGUAAGGACAGAGAUAAUACAUUCAGUAAGGGGUACUGAUGUUUAUAUGCAAUGCUGAUUAGGUUUAAAUAGUCCUAUUUAUUCUGUACAGUGCCAAUAUUACCACCCGUUAGUACACUUUCAAGACACUGUACUCCAGUGUGUGCGCUAUGCAGUACGUAGUACUCCUCAUUUUUUGGGGAAAUUCAUUAUUGGUCUUCAUAUCUUCUUUAUUUUCCUUUUCCUCAUUGUGCCACGUGUUUAAAUCACUAAUUGUAGGUAAUCUUUCAAUUUAAUUAAAUCUUAUGUAAAAAAAGAUAUUUAAAUAUCAUUUAGUAUUACAAGAUAGUGAUAUUCCUCUUUAGUAUAAAAUUUUUAUAAUUAAAAGCGUUCAGUUUUUUAAUCUUCAUUUGAAUACUAUCUAUAAAGAAAAAUUAUUCGAAUAAGAGAUCGUUUAUGCAUUCAAAUGUACAAAAUGCAUCGACAGUGUGAGAACGAAUUAAUAUAUUUUUGAUGAAGUACAAUUAUUGAAUACAUUUGAAUGAUCAAAUGAUAUAUGAUUCAAAAUACAUAUUAAGAUAAUAAAUAUAAGUGAAUUGUUAUUAGCACUCCAAGAAUCUUAUUAUACACUCUAAAUUUUCUAUAUUUUGAAUGAAAAAUAAAUUUAUGAAGAGUGUAGAAUGAGAUUUUUUAAUGCUAAUAACACUUCUCUAAAUAUAAUUAUGAAAUUAAUAAAGUAAAGAUACAUGACCUCGUGAAUGAUGUAUGUAUUAUUCAAAAAAUUAUUAAAAACAAAUUGAAAAAGGACGCUGUUGUUGCCACCACUUAUGCAAUGAUCGUCGCUGCCAUCACCAACCCCCAACACCCCAUUACAGCUCAUAAAAGCACAUCAUAAGCAAUUUAUGAAAUAAAUUUACUGGAAUACUAAUUUCCCCCUUAGUUUAGGUCACCAAUGUUUAAAUUUAGGGGUGUGAUAUGCACAUACCUUUUUUUGCUUCUCUCACACUUUUUUUGUUGUUGUCGAAUCAGAUGAAUUGAAGAAGAUCAAUUGACAGAAAUUAACAAGGGGUGUAUGAAAAGUAAAAAUGGAUGUGUAGAUAACACAUCCCUAAAUUUAUCACAACUUUCAUUCCAAAUUUAAUUUUUAUGCGUAGUUUUGUUUGUUCAAAUUUACUUUGACAUUUCAAUUAGUAUUAAAAUCUAAUUUAAAUUUUAGCGUUCAAGCUAGAAAAAGUGUUCCAUUUAAUAUUUAAUCUCAGUUUUUCUCUUUAUUCUUUUAUUCCGAUUUGGUUGCAUCGUAUCUCCAUUUUUCUCGGUGUUGUAUGUUCAUAAGGCCUGGGAAACGUUGGCACGGAGUGAAGGGUACUCACUUUUUGGCCCAAAAUGCAUAAGGCAUGUAGAUAUGUUAAUCAAAUUUUGUAAACUAAAGGAUAUAGAAGUUGAUACUUAGAUUAUAAUUUAAGAUAAUACUAAAGAGACUAAAUUUGCAAACUAAAUGAUGUGUCACCAAUAAAAAUAAGCACGUUUAUCAACGCUUAAGUAAUAAAUCAAUCAUCAACUUUCAUGUCCUUUAGUUUCCAAAAUUUAAUAUACAAAUUUAGUCUCCCAAGCAUUACUCUAUUACUUAAGUAUUGAUUAACAGACUUAUUUCUUAUGGUGACAUAUUAUUUAAUUUACAAAUUUAGUCAACCCAACAUUACUCUUUUGAAAUUGUCUUGUCCACUGAUAUAAUUCUAUUUUUCUUGUGAUCAAAACUUCAAAUGUUAGCAAGUCGCACGUAAAGUCACUUCUGAGAGAAUGUGCUCACAUUGUAGUUGAAAGAUUAUGUGGCUAGCAACAUUACAAAUUUAAUUUGGUAUAAUUUAAAAUAUAGAUUGAGGAAAAAAUGAUCACAUUAACUAGAAACUGAAAAGGUUUCAGCACAGUUUGUUCAAGCAAGAAACUCAAUUUUGAUGCUACCGAUCUUAACAGCCUGAGCGCCGUACCUGGGCACUAAAGUCACCACCACACUCUCAUCAUCUUCAGCACCCAAAUCCUCCAACAGGUCCGUUAACCCCAACCUUAAACAACUCUUGCUCUUUUCCUUCUGCUUAUGUGGAACACUCACAAAACUCCCAGCAAACUCGCUCUUGUCGGGUCCACUCGGUGCCGCAUCCUCAUCGUCCACGUCAUUCACAUACACAUCAAACUUCACAGCCACAUCUUUGUCAAGCUCAAUCCCCUGAAUCACCAGUAUCUCCUCCUCAUCCUCUUUCUCCUUCUUGCUCCUCUUCUUCGGCUUCGGCCUUGACACCACCGUACUUAUCUUUGUCUCCAAAUUUAUUGGAAAAUCUUUACCCGCCACCACCUUCCCCGAUGACGUCGUCUCAGCGGCCUUCGCCACUCCAGCCGCCUUUGCCUUUCUCGCAAGCUUUGUCCGACGUGGCGUCGGUCUAGACUUGAGCCAUGGAAUCUCAACAUCUUCAUACGUAUACCCUAGCUUUUUAUUAUCAAGAGUGUCCCUCACCGUGACCCUAACAAGCUCAGCAUUCUCGUCAUAAAACAAAAACCCCGUAUCCAACCAAUCCUUAUCGUUAAUAUCUUUAUUUUUAGUCCCUAUACUUUUCCAAAUAUUCCACAUUCGAUCUAUAUUCGAAUGGUGCGAAAAAAAUAUUGGAUCCCUUGCAGCGGAGUAAAAAUUCCCCAUGUCUUCAAAAUUAGGUUGCGUGUUAUCUCCGGUCCAUGUAUGAACCGGACCAUGUGGGGUCGUUUCGAUUGAACCGGCCCCUGGAUCUGGUUCGGUGCCAGCCCUGUAGGGCGAACCAAAGAACAACAGCGGUUUCUUGGAGUUGGAAACCAUCUGCCUAUACAUGAUUUUGAGGUUGGCGUCGAUUUGAGCAUCCUUGGACAUUGUUUCAUCCGUGCCGUUAAAGUCAAGAUCGAUGAGAGUCGGCGGCUGAUGGCUGGCAGCGCGGAGCUCGUCGUAAAGCGGAGAGUCCGGGUUAGCGAACAAGGCAGGGAGUUGCAUGCCAGCUGGCGCGUCCCAGUUCCAAAACGGCAACGCGAACGUCGGAUCGUCUAUGAGUUUGGCCAAGAUUCUUUCGUGGAAGUAUAGGUAGUAACGAUGGAAGGGGAAGAAAAGCCAGGAUUGAUGGAUUUGGAGCUCGAGGUUGGGGAAGCCGACUUGAUCGUACGCGCCGUCGCAAUAGGCACAGUGGAUAUCGGCUUGCUGGGUGAAGCUACGCGGAUCGUCGUCCGGGAGGGCUUUCAUGAGCUCGAUGGCUUUUGAAUAUUUUUCGAUGUAGGCUUUAUCCACGGUGUGAGCUGCCGGCCUGACGCGGAGUUUGGUAGGGGAGGGGAAUUUGAAGUCUACGAUUUUUUGGGACGUUGGCGGGCAACAGUUGGUCGGGACUGCUCCACUUGGAAAGUCCGCACCUCCGCAUUUGGCUAGGUCAGGCGGCGACACUGGCUUUGCAACAGCGAAGGGGUCGCUGCCAAGACCAGCCACUCCACCGUACAGGCUUCCGAGACCUAUAAGUACAUGUCUUCUGUCUAGGUUUACUGGAGAAAGGUUUUCAUGGUCGUGAUCGUUGGAGCUAGUGGAAGGGUUUUUGUUUUGGUCACUACUAUUAUUCGUGGCUUUGCAUGAGACGGCUUGUAAAUUGGAAUGCCUAGGGUUUUCAAAUAAGGAAAUUCGGUGAUACUUUUGGGAGAAAGGGAAGAGAGAAGUUGUGGGGAUGAUACUUGUGGUGGAGGUGACGAGUGGAGCUGACAUAGAAGCCAUGGUUACUUGACUCUGAAUACUACGUUGUAUAGGCUUUGCUUUUAUAAUGUGUUCUAGGUUUUACUUUUCUUUGCACAGGUGGCAGGCCGUACACAUUGGCGGUCCUUAAGGGUUUGACGAGGAAUACUACGUAGUCAUUUAGUACAGGGCAACCAUGCACUAUAGCACGUGGCAUGUAAUAUUUACGUAGUCUCAGAAGGUGAAGCGGUUUUGGGCUUCUUGUGUACCAAUAAUAUUUACGUACUCAUUAUUCCACUGGAUGGAUUGCGUGCACGUGAUCUUUAUUCAAACAAAUCACUAUUGACCAUAUAUUGCAAUUGGUUAAUGUUAGGCAAAUUAAAUUUUUACAUCAAAUAAUGUGGUUGCUGAUUAUUGAAUUAUUAUUUAAGUUUGAUUAAUGUGCUUAUUUUUUAUCGGUAAUACAUCAUUUGAUUUGCAAAUUUGAUUUACCUAAUAUUACCAGUUAUAAUUUGUAUAAAUGGACUGGUACCUAACAUUACCAAUUGUAAUUUGUAUAAAUGGACUCGUACCUAACAUUACCGGUUGUCCCAAGAGCACACGCUACUGCUCAAGAAGCAAAGUUCUUAUUUGCCCAAAAAAAAUCAUGGUUUUUUAAUUGAUGCUCUCAUUUUAAUUUACUAGCCCCUUACUUGGCCCUUUUUAUUUAUCAUUUUAUACAUAUUAAUAUUUUGUUUGUAAAAUAUAUUAGUGUUAGUUUUAUCAAAAUUAAAAAUAAAUAAAAAACUUAGCUUUAGUAUUUAGUUAUUGAAAUUGUAAAAAAAGUGAUAAAGUAUUGGGUGCUUUGUUUGAAAAUUUUCAAAAUGAUAUUGUUUUUACCACUGAACCCCUGUUAUAUACAGUGAUGGCUAAUUUGUCAAGUUCUACGAAGUUGGGAUACCCAGCGUUUUAGCAUAUAACAUAGCUUAGUAUUUCAAGCAUAAUUAAUUAACGAAAAAUUAGUAUCCGGUCCCUAGUUUUUACUGUUCAUUGACUAAGACCUUAUUAGUUCUCAAAUUUUGAUUCAAGUCCCUAGCAUUAAUGUGAUAAUGAAUUUACAUGUUUAUUAUAUAAUUUUUUAAUAUAAAAAUUAGUAAUUAAUUUAGGGUUUAAUACUCACACCUCUAUUAAACUUCUAAUUAAUUUUCAAUUCAGACAUUUCCAAAAUAAUAAAAAAUUAAAUUAAAUUAAGUUUGUACCUAUUAGUUUUUUUUUAUAUAUAAAAAGAUUCUCAAUUUUUAAUCUUAAAUGUACAUCUUAAAUGUACCCAUUCUCAAAUAUAUCAAUUUGUUAUAUGUAAAAUGUACCCUUUUUUAAUAUAAAAUCCAUUCAAAAUUUUUAAUCCAUGUUUAAACUUAUAUGGGUACAUUCUUUUUCGUUGAUUUGAGAAUGUAUCCAUGUUUUGGUACAAUAAAUUUUUUGUUAAUUUUGGUUAAUGUACCCAUACAUAUAUGUACACACACACACACACACACACACACAAUAUAAUAGAGAGUAUAAUUUAUAUUUUAUUAUUUUUAAUCCCAUAAAUGAUGGGUUUUAUUUAAAAUCUCAUUAAUAUAAACAAUUAUAAAUUUCAAUUUUUAAUUUUUAAUUUAAAAAAUAUAGUAACUUACAUUAUUACAUUAAUGUCAGGGACCUCAAUAAAAAACUAAAAACUAACAAGGUUUCAAUCAAAGAAUAUUGAUAGCUAGGGACCACAUCCAAAGUGUCCCUUAAUUAAAGGGUAAAUUACAUAGUAACCCCUCAGGUUUGAUGUCUAUUACAACCCCAUACAACAUCUUUAAAACAUUUCACUUUCAUACCUCAAGUACUAUUUUAUUUCAAUAUAAUACAUCUGUUAGAUUUUCCAUCCAUUAAUCCGUUAAAUGCUGACAUGGAUACCACAUUUGUGCCACGUGGCUGCCAAAUGCGUGUCAUGUGGCAAAAAUAAUAAUUUUUAAAUUUAAAAAAAAAUGAAUCUUCAACCCAAAAAAAAAAAAAAAAAAAAAACCCCAAACCCAGAUCCCAUCAACCCCCCCCAAACGAUUAUCCCUUCCCCAUAUCCCCCAUCCCACCCCCCAACCCCCCCUCUGCGACCAACCUUACCAUAGCGCCCCCCAACCUCGCGACCCACCUCACUCAAGGCCCUAAUCCACACUACCUACAACCCAGAAACGAAAAAAAAAAACAAAAAACAAAAAACUCAUCUCCCUUUCCCUGCAACCCAAAUCCCAUCUUCCCUAAUGGGUAUGGAUUUAAGAAGUGGGGUGUGUAGAGGAGGGAAGAGGGUGGGUGCGGAGGAUGGGUAUGGUGGGUUGCAAGGAAGGGGGGUCGGGUAAGAUGAAGAUGGGUUUUUUUUUUCUCUCUCUCUUCUUCUUCUUCUGGGUUGCAAGUUGUAGGUUGGGGUUUUUUUUUGGGGGGGGGGGGGAGGGAGGGAGGGAAGACGACGUGGGGUUUGGUUUUUUUUUUUUAAUUUAUUUAGAAGAUUUAGGUUUUUUGAAAAAAAAAAAAAAAUUCCACGUGGCACAAAUGUGGCAGCCACGUCAGCAUUUAACAGAUUAAUAGAUGGAAAAUCUAACGGAUGUAUUAUAUUGAAAUAAAAUAGUACUUGAGGUUAGAAAGUGAAAUGUGUUGAUGCACAAAACCGAAGGUCUUUGAACAACGUAAAUCCGAUCGUGAAUAUGCAAGUAAUGUAAAUAACACAAGAUGUAUCGUGGUUCACUCCAAUGUUUGGGCUACGUCCACACUGAUUAUUGUAUUUCUCUGAGAGGUGAGGGGGAGAGCUUUGAGAAAGCUUAGAGCUUAGGGGAUGUGAGAAGGCUUAAGAAUUGGCCUCCCUUAUUUGUGAGGGUGAUGAGUCCUUUUAUAGAAUAAGGGAUCCUCACUUAUUACAUAUUUGCCCAUUCCUUUAUUACAUAAUUACAUUUAAGUCCCCUGAGUACUUGUACAAGGUCUAAAUACGGAGGCCCUAAGUAUGGUACAAACAGUAGUCCCCCAAGUCUUCAGUCAAGAGAGUCUUUUGGCUAGAGACUUGAAAUUCUGUCCAUGUGUGAGCCGAAAUAACUAGAUGUCGUCUAGAACUGAUAUUUGAUAUGCGGCAGUGCCCAUUUUGAAAUAAUGCUCAACUAGAAGUAGCACAUGCUGCGAGGCUGCUCUGCUUGUGUUGCCUUGGUUGGCUCGACUUGUGGCGUUGAAGGUGAGAGAGUCCCUUUUAUAGAAUAAGGGCUCGCUCCUCAUUACAAAGAUGAUGGGUUAGUUGGUGCUUGCGGUGAGGCGGAUGCUCAGCUGGCGGCGAUGCUCUCUAAUGAUAGUGAGGGAGUCCAUUUUAUAGAAUAAGGGAUCGCUCCUCAAUACAUAAAUAAUAGGUGCUCUCUAAUGAAAGUAAGGGAGUCCCUUUUAUAGAAUAAGGGCUCACUCUUCAAUACAUAAAUAAUGGGCUAAGUCCCCUAAGUAUUUUUUAUGAGGCCUAAUUGAGGCCCAAUAUAUGGUACAUAAUGUAGUCCCCCAAGUCUUCGGUCAAUAGAGUCUGUUGGCUGGAGACUUCAAAUUGAAUCCAUGUAUGGGCCGAAGUGGCGGUUGUUCGGAAGCGGUAUUUGUAUACCCUGCACUGAAGCUUUAUAGGUGAAGCUUUGCAAGUGAAGCUUUGAAGCUGGAGCUCAGUAAAUGAAGCUUUUGAAGCUAGAGCUUUUGUAAAUGAAACUUUUGAAGCUGGAGCUCUAUAAAGGAAGCUUUUGUAAAUGAAGCUUUUGAAGCUGAUUCACAUGAGUGAUGCUCAUGAAUGUUUAUGUUGAUUGAUAUGAGUGAUGCUUAUGGAUGUUGACAUGAGUGAUGCUCAUGGAUGUUGACGUGAUGCUCAUGAAUGUUAACAUGAGUGAUGCUCAUGAAUGUUUAUGUAUGAUUGAUAUGAGUAAUGUUCAUGAAUGUUUAUGUAUGAUUGACAUGAGUAAUGCUCAUGUAUAAUUUGAAGUACUGGGCAUACUUUUGAUUACCUGGUUGGCGAUAAUAGCGGCAGGGUGCCGAAUAAUUUUUUGUAGUACUGGGCGUACUUUUGGUCACCUGGUUGGUGAUAAUAGCAGCAGGGUGCCGAAUAAUUUUUUGUAAUACUGGUCGUCCUUUUGGUCACCUGGUUGGUGCUAUUUUGAGCUUAUGGGCCUUCGCCCUCUACACAACAUUCCAGCCUAUUUAUUUUGGGCUUUACCGUUUUUUUUAAUUACCCUAUGAUGGGGUUUAUACAGAUGUCUCCGAAAGAUAUGAAAAAUAAAUUACAUCAUUCAAAAAUAAAUCCGACCCUCUGCUCAAUGGGUCACGCCAAUAAUUCUUUUUUUUUAUGCAUGCCAUCACCACCGCAAUUAUGUCUGCUUCUUUUUAUCUUCUUUUGCUUUCUGCUUUUGCUUUUACUUUAUCUUUCUCUUUUGGCAUAUGGCAGACAACGCCAAAACGGAAUAAUGAAUUAUUAUGAGAACAUGAAUCUUAUCUUUUGCCUGGUUUUCCACUAGUGCUCGUGGUAUUCUCAGGAGAUUGGAUCUGGGGGUAGGCGACUACCCCAGCACCUUGCCCUGAUACGUAAUAGCCUGAUGUCCCACUGCCAUCUCCAUACUGGAAGGUGUACGAACAAUGGUUAUUCUGUGUGGAACAAAUAGAAUCCGAUUGAGAUUCAAGACUGCACCUUCGAUCUGAGCAAGAAAUGAAUUGUGACGUUGAUGAACUUCUAGGAGGAGAAGCAGAGGAUCUUUGACUAUGAUGAUCUUUGAAUUCCAGAUGAAACUGAAUAAAAUGCAGGUUGUGGAGCUUGAUGUGGGCCCAGAUCUGCUUGACAGCUUUGGGGCGGGAGGAUUCCUUGACACUGAGGAAGAUUCCCAGAGCUGGAGGGAUGAGAAUCGACUUCAUAAUCCCGAUGGUGGGUUUGUGCUUGGUCGAAAGAUCAUUUCUGGCAGGGGAAAACAUGUACCAUACCUAUUGCAAAUCUUGCAAAUUCUCUGCUUCUCCAUGGAAGAUGAAGAGCAUCGAAUCUCUGUUUUCUCUCUCUCUCUCUAAAACGUUUUCGUUAUAGAGUGCCCCAAUAGAAGUGGACGGGCAGUGAGCAUGCCAUUUAGUGCCUCCUCCAAGACAGUAACUGAUACGGUGGUCUUUAUUGGCACUCCAAGUUUACUAAAAAGGGCAGCAAAAAUAGUAUUUACAGCACCCAAACUUGAAAGAUCUAGCUCCAACUAGUGGCUUUCUGUUUCAACAGCCUGAAAGCCGGCAGUGUCAUACCGACGCCGUUUGUCUGGAUCAAAUAAUAUAUUAUAAGAAAACAUGACCUUCUUGAAGAUAUCAGCUGUUUUAGAGUCAUUAGCAUUUUUGUCAGGAUGGUACUUGAGAGCCAUUUUCCGGUAAGCACUUUUGAUUUCCUGGUUGGUGGAAUUCCUAUUGAGGCCGAGGACCGCAUAAGGGUUUUGUCGGAGCUGCUUCUUAGCUUCUUGCUUCUCCGAUUUUGAUCGGCUGCCCUGCAUUUUUGAAAUUGACGGUCAAUUUCUUCACAAAACCCUAGAAAUUGCCUCUCGAUUACCUCCGAAACACAUAAUUCACGACUCUUGGUUGAAAUUUUUUUUUUUCAUUUCAAAGAAGUGGCGGAGGUAAAUCAGUUGUCACAUAGCACCGGAGCAUGAGGAAAACCUAGAAAACCAAGAGGCAGAGAGACUCCAUGCACAUCUAACCUGGAACCUUGCAGGAGAGAGCAGAGAGAAAGAGACAAGAAAGAUUGAGGGAGAAGCGAUCUUGGUGCAUCGUCUGUGAUUCCUUGGUGAUUUGCUCGAUCGGGACUCUGAAUUCGUGCAAGUCAUUGCUGUUAAGCAAGAAUCGCGAGGAGUCGGAGAGCUUGGAAAUCGAGAAGGAGAGAGGGCCUUUAGUCAGGGCUUGGAGGGUGUCGGACUCCGUCGGCCAAGAUUGGUGCACGGUCACGGCGUCUGGGCCCAUGGCGGUUGUGUAAAUGGGGGAGGUUCUAGGAGUCCAAGAAAGAAGAAGAAGCAGCGACCAUAGAUCUGGGAGUCCAUGGCGCUUGAAAGAUACGGCGAACAAGUCGGACUUGCUGCUGGGCAGCUGGCGGUGAUAAUGUUGGUGCAUGGGUUUUGGAGUGGGAGUGUUUGGAAUGGGUUUUUUGUUUAGUUUCUAUGUGUUUUUUCACAGAGAGAGAGAGAGAGAAGUGAUGGUGUUUAAGGGAUGAGUUUUGGAGCUUAGUGAAUGCUUUUUCUGGAAAAGCCCAGUGAGGUUUGUGGGUUUUUGCAGAUUUUGCAGAUUCGCGGUGGAGGUGAAAGAAUGAAAGAGAACCGACACAACUUUUCGUAUUGAUUCCCACAUACGGCGCCAAAUGUUGAUGCACAAAACCGGAGGUCUUGGAACAACGCAAAUCCGACCGUGAAUCUGCAAGUAAUGUAAAUAACACAAGAUGUAUCGUGGUUCACCCCAAUGUUUAGGCUAUGUCCACACUGAUUAUUGUAUUUCUCUGAGAGGUGAGGGAGAGCUUUGAGAGAGCUUAGAGCUUAGGGGAUGUGAGAAGGCUUAGGAAUUGGCCUCCCUUAUUUGUGAGGGUGAGAAGUCCUUUUAUAGAAUAAGGGUUCCUCACUUAUUACAUAUUUGCCCAUUCCUUUAUUACAUAAUUACAUUUAAGUCCCCCGAGUAUUUGUACGAGGUCUAAAUACGGAGGCCCUAAGUAUGGUACAAACAAAAUGUUUUAAAGAUGUUGUAUGGGGUUGUAAUAGACCUCAAACUUGAGGGGUUACUAUGUAAUUUACCCUUAAUUAAAAUAAGGGCAAAUGAAGAGGAUGGUUGAACUUGUUAAGUUUCUUAAGUGUGUCUAAUUUAAGUGUGUUGUUAAUAAACAUUUAUUAUGGAGGCAAAGAGAGGGAAGGUGCGGCAUAGAAAGAGAAGAGAGAGAUAUGUAAUUGUGAGUUGUGUUUUAUUCCAUCCCAUUGUGCAUUUAUUUAUAUUAGUUGGGAAAGUUAAUUCUUUAACCUUUUAGGAUUACAACUCUAAUAGGAAAAUAUAUAAUCUAAAAGAUAUGGUAGAAUCCCAUAAGAAUAUCCUAGAUAUGUUAGGAUUUACACAAUCAUAUUCCUAUUCCAAUAGGACUGCAAAACAUUUGUAUUUUUUUAUAAUUUUUUUGAUAAUUUGUUGGCAUUUUCAAUUUUUGUUAACAUUGAAAAUAUAACGGUUCAGAUGAAAAACCUUUGGAAAUCCAACAUUGAAAAUAUAACAGUUUGACGUUGGGCUGUGGUGAAGGAGGCUGGGCUGUCACGUGGGUGGGGCCCUCCCUCUCCCACUUGGUGAUUCAAAGGGCGCAGGCCCGUGCAACAAUUGAGGCAGCCCAUAGAGAUCCUGCGUUUCACCCAUUUGCCAUUUUUUCCACCGCUGGAGCACCAAAAUUCGGUCCAAAGGCAGGGGUUCCAAUUGCAUGGGCAAUUUGGUUUCCGCUGGAGGUGCUCUUUGUCGACUUUGUUUAUUCUUUCUUUUUAGCUUUGCAGUAAUAUUGAAGUAAUCACUCCAAUUGUAUCCGAACUUUUGUUGUCCAUCAAUUUGUAUCAAAACUAUUGGUUAAUUUACAUAUUCAGACUAACCUUCUCAUUAUUUUUAGUAUUUUUAUCAUAAAUAAUAUCUAAAAUAAUCACAUUUUAUUCAACAACCACUCAAUUAAAAAUUAAUUAAUGUUGUUUCUAAACCAUUACAUCGAGCUUUUGUAAAUACACAUCAAUAUUGCAGCGAUCCGAGGCAUUGUUUUCUACGCCUUGGAUUUGGCGAAUUGGAAAAGAGAAGAGUUACGAGUAAAAGUCCCUCACAUUAAGAGGGCUCCUCCUCGGGGAGAUGAAGAUGAUGAUCUUUUGUUUUUGUUUCUUAAUGAUUAAUCCACGCAGCAACAUAUAAUUAGAUUGUUGGGAUCUACUCAAGUUCCAUAUCACGCACUAAUAUAAAGUUUGACAAACGAAACGAAAUAUGUGCUCUCGAAAGCAAAAUGAGGGCACUGCUCCAAGAACAGGAAGGGCUCCUUGUCGAGGUUGCCAUCCGCCAUGAGGGAAAACCGGAAGAAGUUAGACAACAAUGAUGACAUCGAUUUGCAACACCCAUAUUGGGACAUCAAACUGUGAAAUAAAUACUCAAAACUCCUGGAAAGUCCUCGGGACAACAAACUUUUAUCUCCUUCAAAUAUUUCAUUUUACCAAGUUUUAUGUUUGAAGGGAGGGAAAAAAAGAGAUGAGAGAAUCCUACUCCUUAUUCUUGAAUAUAUUCAGGAAUAACUAUUGAAUAAAGAGAGAAUGGAAGGGGAUCGAAAGAGGAGGGAAGAUAAUUCUAGUCCCAAACAUAAAAAGGACCACAACUUUUAAAUUAUCAGCACGAUCAUCAUCUGAUUGAAGAGACCAUUCAUUGUGAAACAUAUCGUCAAUCAAUAUGUCUAUAUCUAUUUAUAUACCACAUUUUUGGAGUAGGAUUCUCCCCCCUCCUAUUACCAUCCCCUUCCAUCCCCUUCCAUCCCCUCCUUUCAUACUUUUUUUUUUCUUAUUCUCUAUAUAAAAAAUUCAAAACAAGAUGUAGAUGUGUCGUAAUCGCAAUAGUUUAAAUAAAAGGAGAUGGAAGGAGAGAUAAAUUACGAGGGGAGAGAAUCUUACUCCCACAUUUUUCUUCUUCAUAAACAAAAGAGAGGUUCUAGAUUACUUGACUCUAUGCCUCAUUUUUUUCAUCAAGUAUUUGUGCUAAACGGGUUCAGUUUCAAGUAUUUUAGUUUUUUGUCAAAAUUGAGAAAACUGAAAAUCAAACAUUAAUAUGCAAAAUUAAAAAAUCAACACAUAAUUAUUUAGAAAUCGCAAUAGAAAAGAAAAAAUGGAGGUUUGUGAUGAAAAAUCUUUUAUACUAAGUAAUUUAGUAUCCUUAUGCAUGAAGAUAAUCAAUUCGUUCGUUAUGGUCAGACUCUUUUUGAAUUUUUGAACACAUUCUCCAUAGGGCCUUCUUAUUUGUUCCUUCUCCGAGUUGGGGUUAUGGAAGAAGUAAAAGAAGGAACCAAGAAGAAAGUAUUGGCAACAACCGAUUUCGUUACGGGACAACUCUUGAUAUUCAUAUCGAUCUAUUAUGUACCUUUGCAUCUAGCAUUAGACAAUAACUGUCAUAGCUUUACCAUAUUUUUUUGUUUCAUUUCUUCUGAAACAAUAACACACACUUUUUUAUUAUGUGUCUAAUACUAGGAAUUCAAUACAUAAUCUUAGCAUUCAAUAGUUAUUCCUGAAUAAUUUCAUUUUUCAAUUGAUCAACCAUUUCAUUUUUCCAAGUUCAAUCAAUGUUAGUCACAUUAGUCAACAUUUAUAUAUUUUGAUGCAACAACAAUAUGUUAUUUGUAACAAGUGAUUUUGCUAGUUGGUUAAUUGGUCACAAGUUAAUGUUCGGUUCAGUUCAGCUUUUCUCUCGAUUUUUUGCGAUUCGGUUUUUUCGAUUCUCUUUAGAUUCGGUUCGAUUUUGUUUUUUUAUUUAUACUUAAUUUUUUUUAAUCUGAAAACACCAAGAACAACACAAGCAUACUCAAUCAAACAACUAUCCUUCUCCACAAAUCACAGUAAUAAUUACAUUCAUUUAGCUAAAAUGCAAAUAACUAACAAACUCACAAAAAUCGAAUAAAAACUACAAAUUGCUUACUCUUUUUCUUUGGGUUUCACUCGAAAAGUGUCGGUAAAAUUUAGGGUUUGCAAGAACGCAACCGAAAUCCAAAACGGAGGCUCUGUGGCUUGUGGGCUGCUAUUGAGUUCCAGUACGGAAAACCUUGCUUACUCUCUAUCACGGUACAAAGUAUCAGUACCUUUAGCACUGUAUUUGGUAGAACCAAAUUAAAAGCUAACAUCAAUAACAACUACCAGAGACAUAAGCUCUUAUCAAUGCUUUGGAAACAGUCAUGUAUCUCCAAGUGUAAUGAUAUAAUUAGUAAGAAAUUUAAAAGAAAAAUGGUGAUUUCAUAUAAAAUCAAUAAAAAGUUACAAUAUUGACAAUAUAUCAACAAUUUUUAUGGGGUAAAUUACAUAGGACCCCCUCAGGUUUGAGGUCUAUUACAACCCCAUACAACAUCUUUAAAAUAUUUCACUUUCAUACCUCACCUACUAUUUUAUUUCAAUAUAGUACCUCCAUUACAUUUUCCAUCAAUUGAUCCAUUAAGAGCUGAAUUGGUUGCCACAUUUGACACGCCCCGAUCCCGAUAUCCUCGGGAUAUCAGGAUGGUCACGUGCUGGCCGACACCCGAGGGUGACGAAAGCCAUUUAUUGAGUGCAAUUGCUGAAAAUAAAGGAUAGAUAAAACUUAUAAAUGUAAAAGAAUAAGGAAUAUGCAUUUAAGGAACGUGUUCAGAGCAUACAACUAACUAGAACACUAAAAGAAUGAUAUAAAAUGGAAUGAAUAAAAGAAUGAGUCUUACACCAAGAGGACUCGAAGAUGCCGAUGCGGAAGUACCUUGAUUGUCGGGAUUGUACGCCUCGAUCCUAAAUCCUGAAGGGGGCGCAAAACAAACAUGAGUGGACCAAGUUGAUAUAUAUAUAAUAAAACAGUUAUCAAUAUACUAACCCCCAGGUUUAUGAAAACAAAUAUAUAAUGAUGAACAUAGGUUUUCCGAAACCUAGCAUGAUGUGCAGUAUCUCAAAUCAUAACUCAUAUAUAAUAAUCACUAGUGAAUUGUCCGAUAACCUGCAGGCCCCAUGCCGGCUCCCCGUCUCUGAGCAGACAGUCAGAGGAAAAUACACUUCAGGCCCCAUGCCGGCUCCCCGUCCCUGUGCUAAAUAGCCAGAGGAAACACACUCCAGGCCCUAUGCCAACACCAAACCGUCGCCCGGGACGGACCGGAAUCUAUUCCUACGUCCCGUAGCGGAAAUGACCACUAGGUAAGUACAAAACCAUUGAACAUACAUAUAUUGAAAAACAACUUCAUAGUAUAAAGUCAUCCAUCAUCUAUACUAUAAAGAGGUGUUCGAAACAUGUUCUAAAUAUCAUAUCGUCAUCCAUCAGAUAUUCUAUAAGAACACGGGUUAUAGGAAAAAUAGUAAUAAUUCAAGGUAGCCUCAGUAAGCAUGUUAUCUCAAAACGUUUCAUAAAACGUAAUCAUUAAAUCAUGCAUUUCAUGUAUGCAUUUCUACUAUUAAAACAUGCUUUUGAAGGGGUCCACUCACAGUACUUAGCCGCCGAAGAGCCACGCAAACUAACGUCACCAAUAUUGCCCCUAAGCACAUAAAUGGUCCAAUUAAUAAAACUAUAUAAUAGCAAUUGGAUUUGGGAAAACGGACGUUGGAAACGGAUUCAGAACGUCGAAUUACCCUAAGAAGGGUCCCGGACGAAAACCCGAAAAGUCAACUCUAAAGUCAAUGUUGACCGGAGGUCAACGGUCAAAUUAGGUCUAACGGGUUUUAGGCUUGAAAUCCGGAUUAGGGUUUAGGUUAAAUAGGAUUAGGAUUUAUUGGGUUUUGGAAUUCUAAGGUUUUUGGGUUAAAAGGGUUUAGGGUGAAAAUGGGUGGUUUGGGCUUAAUCCCAAACUCACACACAACACACACACACACUACACAAACCCUAAAACACACACACACACACGGGCUGCACUAGGGCAGCCCUCACAACACUUCACAAAGGCCCUAAGGCCUUAUUAAAGGACAGGGCUUUAAGCCCUUUAAAGGAUACUGGCCCAAGGCCCGUCAAAAUAAGGCCCGAGGCCUUUGGGUUUUAAAAAGAACAAGAACAAAUUUAAAAGAAAAGGGGCUGGGGUCUACUGGGCUAAGAUAUAACGGGCUUAAGGCCCGUGGGGUUUUCUAAAGGGCCUGAGAGGCCUGGGUUUGUCGAAGGAGAAGGCCGGAAUUUCGGCCGGAAAACCACCCAACUUUAAAUGGCCAUAACUUUGUCAAUACUCAACGAAAUCAAGCAAGACAAAAAUGAAAGUUGUAGCCCUUGAAGCGACGAAGAGAAUGGUUCCUCACACGACGUCUAACUCGCCGUGGUUUGGCCGGAAAAUGCCUCGAAAUCCGUCGGACUCGCCGGAAACUGGGUAAGAUUCAAAUGAGUAUAACUUCUUCAAUACUCAACGAAAUUAAGUGAAACAAAAAGGAAAGUUGUAUUACUCGACGAGACGAAGAGAUUGAUACCUUACACGCCGGCCAACUCGCUGUGGUUUGGCCGGAAAUGGCCUCGAAAGGGGCGGUGCUCGCCGGAGCUUACUCCGUGCCGUCGAACUCGCAGGGUAGGGUCCGGGGUUCGUUGCAAGCCUCUCUUCGAUGGUGACUCGGUCCUAGUGAGUCCAGGGGAAGAGAGAGAUGCGAAAGGUUGAGGGAGAGAGAGACGGGAGAGCUGAGAAAGAGAGAGCUACGGGAGGGAGAAACGAAGAAGAAGAAGAGAGAGAUCAGAAAACAUAAAAAAAAUAAACAAGGUGGGCCCCACGGGCUCACCAAUUAAGGCUUUAAAACAAUUUUAAAAUAUAAAAGAGGGUUGGGGUGUUUCAACAUUUGUACCACGUGGCAAAAAAAAAACCUAAAUCUUCUAUACAAAAAAACUAAAAAAACCAAAAAAAGCAAAAUCGAACACUCCACCCCGCAAAAAUCCUAGCAUCUUCCUUUUAUUCCCCACAACCCCAAAUUCCCCCCCAAAACCCCUAAAACCCAAACCCUAAUUCCUCCCCCACAUGAAGAAAAUCCCAGUCCAAUUCAAUCCCAAUUACCUCAAAUCCCACCAUAGAAACCCUAAAUUUUGGUUCCUCAAUCCCUAGAUUUCCCACGCCUCUGUUGCCUACACCUUAUCAAUCUUUAGCUUUCUCCCUCAUCCCCUCCAUGAACGACACUUUCUCUCAUCCGCUGUUCCCCAGCAACGGCACCGAUACCUACGAGGCCUGGUACGGCAACAUCCAGUACCUUCUCAACAUCUCCGCCAUCGGCUCAUUCUUAUGUGUCUUCUUUUUCACCUUGGUCAAGCUUUGAAGCGAUCGCCGCCGCAUGCCCGGCUCGUCCUCCCUCGUUGCUAAGCUCUUCGCAGUGUGGUAUGCUACCUGUCGAGAGAUUAUGCUCCCAUGUGGCGCUGAGGCCAUAAUACUCACGCACCCAUCUACACACCCACACCACCACUACCGUGGACUCUCUCUCACUCUCCCUCGUCUUUGUAGAGCUAGGUGAAGCCUAGAAACCGAGAACUAGCUCCAGCAAACCCCGUGAGUUUCGAGCCAGAUCCCUGCCGACUCCGACCAUCCCAUGACCAAUCUAAGGUACAAAACAUUUCCCCUUGACUCUAUGCUCUUUUUCGUAUGUAGAUCGUAGGGAAAAGCCCACAGAAUGAGAGAGAAUAGUGACCUGAGAGAGUCCACGGUGAUGGUGGUGUGUAGAUGAGUGCGUGCGUGGGUGUACUGUCGGGGAUAGAGUCUGAGAGAGAUAGAGAGUGAAAGAGUCUGAGAGAAGAGUGACUUGCGAGAGUGAGAGAUUCGAGAGAGACUCGGGAAAAGAUUUAUGGGUUUGGGUUUUUCUGGUUUUUUAUUUUUAUAAUAAUAGGGUUAAUAUUAUAAUAUUUUUAAUGUAUAAAAAUUUCUUUUUUGCCACGUGGCAGCCACAUCAGCACAAAUGUGGUAGUUGUAGAUGCAAAUUUCUUCCUCUUGAUCUUGGACAAUUUUGCACCUACAAAACAAUUAACACCUUAGGUUAAGGCCAAAAGCCUCACACACCCACAAUGAAUGGGGGGCUUUGGCCGAAGAACCUCUGUUGCCAAAGUUAGAAUUUAGAGAGAAAGAGUCUUUACAGAAUUUUGGGAUUUUUGCCAAAGUGUUGGAAUGGCUUUCUGGUGAGAACGGGAUCACUUUUAUAAGGAUAGGAAGUGGUCGGCCUAGCUAGGGUUUUUGGGUUUAAUUUAGGUUUAAUUCUUCAAUUUAUUUGGCUAAUUAAACCCUAAAGAAUAAAUUGGUGGUUACAAAAUUGAUUAUUUGUAUAAAUGGGGUAAUAAAAUGGAGAAAAGUGAAAAAGGUUAGGAAAAGGGAGGUAGCUAGCUUCUUAGUAGUUUUAGGUGUGAGUGGGUGUUUUAAUUGAUAAUUAAGGGAUUGAUUAGGUAAUUAAUCCCUUAAUUAAACAAUUUUUAGGGAAUAUGAAAGGAAAUUAUUAUUUAGCUAAUUGAUUAGCUAAAUAAUGGAAUACAAAAUAUAUAGAAUAAAUUAGGCUUUAGGUAUUACCUUAUAGAAAUGAUUUGAUGAAAUAGGCUUUAAAUUGUUAACUAUUUUGGGCACUUUUGACUUGGUUGAGGAUGAUUGUCUGCCGCUCGCACGUAGGAAUCUCGAUAUGCCUUAAGGGUAUUUUUGUCCUCUUUUACCCAAAAAUCCACGUGUCGCCUUGUGAUUAUUUUUGGCUCCACAAAUGCCCCCACACCUGUUGGGCUGCUCGCAGAAAAUGGCAGCAGGUGUAGAGAUCAUCUUGCUUUAGGAAACGUAGGACUACUUCCUCUUUAGAUGUAGAUUCUCUCUUUAAUAGGAAAUUAGGUUCUUCUAGGAAAGGGAAAUAAAUUUCUGUUAAAGCCUAUUUAAGUCUACCUUAAGUGGGUUAUUAAAUCAACUUUGGAGAGCGAUUUCUUAUACCCUACAAGAGAGAGGGAGCUUAGAGAAUAUUUGUUCCCCCUCUUCUAGCAAUCUUCUACAUCUUUCCCGUGCAAAGGAUCGUCUUUCGUUGAUUUCUUCGUCUUCUCCGUGCCGCACCGAUGUAAGAAAAAUUUAAUUUUUUGCUUAUCUUCUUCUUGGAUAGUACUAUUACAGGGCAACCGUUAAGGUAGUGCGGCACGUCUACUGGCAGGGGCUAGGAGUUGGCUCGGCAUCGGUCGAUGAGGCAUUAUGGCAGGGGCCACUGCUUAGGCUGUUUGGCUUGGCUAGAGCCAAUGGCAGCUUGUGCGGCUGGGGUCGCGGAUUGUGGCGUUGGGGCGCAAUGCUAGGCGAGCCACAUGGUUAAUGUCCUUUAGGCUCUUAGACCUUACUCGGGCCAGGCUAGCGACUGAAAGAAAUGAGGAGGUCGUGGGCCUCAUGGGUUGUUGGAAUGUUGGGCAUGCAGGCCUCCUGUCUGCUAGAAUGCUAGGUUGAGCUCCUCUGCUGAGUACCGUGAAUGGCGUUGGCUGCUUAGUUCUUUUUACAGAGAGAAAGGUGGGCUGCUCCCGAAAGAGGAAGUAAAGAGGAUCAAGGUGGAUGCAUUGGCUCGUCUAAUCGCUGUCGUGGAACCUCCUAUGAAUGAAGAUGGAAAUAAGAGAUCUUCCCUGCCUACUCAAGAGAUGCCGAUCGAGAAAAAUUGAAGACUUUCUCCACUGCUGCUCAUGAUGAUUUGUCUGCUGUCGAUAGGCCUGUGAUUGGCAUGACUUCUUCCAAUGGGAAGAAAAAUGAGGCUGCUAGAUCUGAUCAUGUGGUGCCUUCCAUGUUGAGAAUUGCUAGUACAAUUGUUGAUAAGAUUGCUUAGCGCAAAGGUUUUAUCAUGCCCCCAGUACCGAAGUCUGUACCAGGACUUUCGUUUGGAGCAAAGUCUGGUUCACCUUUGGAGAUACUUGCUAUUAUGAAAAGUGGUAAGGUGGACUCUGCUGCUAAAGUGGCGUCAAGGCCCACUCCCUUUGUUGCUGAGACUGAUUCGCCUGCUAGGAAGGAAGAUACUACUUGUAUGGGCAGCUGUGAGAAAUCCACUAAACUUGCUUCUGGGGAGGCUGCUGAGAUCAUUGUGCUUUUGAAACUAUAUCUGCUUGAAGACAUGGACGCUUGUGCCAAGUUUGUUGAUGGCGGUAGAAAGGUUGUUUACCUAAGUUCCUUUGCGAAACAUACGACCCAAUAUAAAAUGACUGCUCUGCUUACUAGGAUGCAUAAAUAGCAAGGUUGUCAAGGAGGUGGCGAAGAUUAUGGCAGCUAAAGCUUAUUCCUCAGUCGAGGAGAUCAAAAGGUUGAAUUAUGAGCUUGUUGCUUUGAAAGAAAUGGAAGAACUGCAACACGUUCGUGUUAGUCUGUUUGAGAAGAAUGAGCAGCUAAACGGUAAGAAUGAUGGGCUUGAGGUUUCUCUAUUUUUCCGGAAGACUUGCUUACUUUUACUUUUGAGGCUUCCAUUGGUGAAGUAGUUGGAGACGUUAGUGCCCAGGCUUAGGCAACCGGGGGUGAAGCACCGGAUGAUGCCGCUGCUAAGAACGUUACGGCUGCUGAAGGUGUGGAGACCAAGUAGUCGUGGGAUGUCCAAGCUGCUGUAGUGUAGUAUUUUAGGUAGCUUUUAUGAUUUUCUUUGUUUUUCCUUGUAGCUCUUGUUUUGCUUGAACUUCUUCGGCCUUUGCUAGUUGUAUAAACAUGUUUUCCUUCGCUUUUCUUCAUCUUCGCUUCUUUUGUUCAUGCCCUAACCUUUAGACUUGAUAGACCAAUGGCAGGCAUGCUACUUUUUUAUAAGCAGACAAGCUCGCGUAGCCUAUGCAGCCGUAAAUGUUGGUGUAGAACUUUGCAAAGUUGUUAGCCAUUAGGUUGGUAACCAGAUACCUUACUUACAGAAGUAGACAAGUCCGCAUAACCACUAGGCUAUUAACCUUGACUUUCUCCAAUUCUGUAGGUUGCGUAGCAAGUAUCACAACACUUUAGGAAUUGGUAUAGGUUGCUCCGCACUUGGCAGAGGUGAAGCCUAUCGACUACGUAGCAUGUCGGCAGUGGAUAAAACUUCCAUAUAUGCGCGCUAGCUUGUUUAACCUUUCACAAGAAUGUGCGGUUGUAUAAGUCUAGCACGGUUUUACUGCUUGAAGGGCAAGCCGUAGGCAGUCUUCCGGAAUCCGUAGGCUACCUUAAUGUACUCGGUAGCAGCUUUAGGGUUCCAGGGCAGCCGUCUAUAGAGCGUACUGCGUAAUGUGCCCCAUCCGUCUCUAGCUCCCGGUUCCCCACAGAUUAGACCAAGAGACCCAAAAUCCUUCAGUUAGUUAAGCCUUGAAAAAGACCAUUGUGGCUACUUCUAGGAAUCCCGGCUCAAGCCAUCGUACAUCUAGUUAUACUAGGGUAGCCAGGCUCAUCAGCGUCUGGAUAUUCGGAGUGUAAAGUUUAUCCUCCCGUCUUAGAGAGCUGACCCAUAUGAGUGUCGGGGAAUUGGUUUACCCUCUCACACUAGAGAGUAAUUAAUUUACCCUCUCGCACUGGAGAGCAAUUAGUUUACCCUCUCGCACUGGAGAGCAUGGUUGGUCCAUCGGGGGGCGCAAUUCCUGCGAUGAGUCCCUAAGAAGGGCGCAGUCUUCUUUUGAAGUGCAGGAAUGAUUAGUUGUUAUAAGCAUGUGAUCGAGUCAAGUUGUGAUUACUUCUAAAUUCCUCAUUGAAAAACGAGUGAAACGAACGAGAACUUAGCCGUAAGGUAGGAACUGCAUAACAACUGGAUAGUCCUCAACUUGUGUGGUGGUACCCAUCGAGCUUCUUGAGUCUUCGGGCUUUGAUGUAGUGGGAGGUUACACAUGGCACCUUUUCAGAUUGUAGGCGCUCUACUGCUUUUCGAACUUUUUUUUUGUUGUGUAAUUGCUCUUGCUGCCUACUCGGCUAAUCUUAUACAGACUUUCUCGGAUGAGAUUCAUCUUUUUGGAGCUUCUCUGCUGGCAGUGAUGAAGGCUUUUCUUAGGACUAGAUCUCUGGGCUGGAACUGCCAGAUUUUGGCCUUUUUGUUGUGGCUGGAAAAGAACCACUGCUGGUAAGUUGUAAUGCAGAUGAUAGUCUGCUCGCACUUCUCCUCUGCCAAAUUUAAGCUUGUGGCCAUCUCCUUUCGGUUGCUCGUCUUUUGGUGUUGCGAUGUGCCCAUAGACAUCCAGGGAGUUUGUCUGGCCAUUUUCUUUUCUUAUUGGUAGGGGAUUUCUUGUGGCAGUCGAGGAUCAUCUUAGUGGAUGUUUUGGCCAGCCUAUUGCCUUGAGGAUAUCUUGGCGUAGACAUGUGCUGCUUGAUGCCAUAUUUUUAGAAGAAUUUCGCCAAAUCUUUGCCCACGAAUUACGGGCCGUUGUUGGUGACGAUGGAUUAAGGUAUGCCAAAUCGGCAAAUGAUGCUCUUUCAUAUGAAGCGCUCUAUGUCCGUUUGAAUUGUGAUCGUCAUGGGCUCUGCUUCUACCUAUUUGGUGAAAUAGUUGGUUGCCACGAUCAUCAUGCAUUUGCCCUUAGUAGUCUGGCUGGUGAUUAGCUGGGAAUCAGAAUGAAUUGAAAGCUUUUUCACCACCAAGUCUUUUGUCACUCGAAGGCCUGCUAGUGGGGCUUUGUACUCUGCUUCGUUGUUAGGUGCUUUGACGCUUAGAGUGAUCGCUUACUCGAGCAUUGAACCGUCUGGGGUGGCAAGAACCACGGUUACUUAUAAGCCUUUGUAGUUGGAUGCGCCGUCGACAUGCAAAUGCCAGAAAUUUCCAUUGAGGGAGUAGGUAUGGCUAAAGUGUGCUCGGCUACCUUCGAAGCGUCGUUGGGCCGCUUUGUUACAUUGUCAAGGCUAGGUUUGAAGGCGCGGUAGAGAGUCGUGGAGCUGGGGCCAUGUUACAUGUAGCAGGAGAUGCUCAACUUCCGGUAUUAGGCCACUCUAGAGCUGAAUAAUGGAGCAAAGGUCGGCUAGGGUCGUAUGACGCGCAGCAGAAGGUAGUGCUCGACUGCUAGUACAUGUUGCUCUUACGUAGAAUCUUCUGAGGCGACGAGGACAAAACUUGCUUUUAAGUGUUCCUUCUAGUGUUCGUCUGCCCUUGGCGUGUCUUUUGGGCUGAGUUGUUGCGUUCGUCAGAAAACUUUGCAUCUGCCAGGGUUUACGUCUUUAUCAUCACGGGUUUGGAUUAGGCGGAAUAGUGCGUCAUGAUGAUGACUGCGUACAUUUGAAGGUAAAACUUAAGCUUUUGGGUUACAACAACUAUCACCAAAGUUAGCUUUUGAAUUUUUAAUAGCAUCGAGGAGAGCUUUUGAACUAUAAAAUACAUGUAGUUGGGCCCCCAACUCUUCUCGCAUGACGGUACAGCUUAUUUCUACUUUAGAUACCGUCAAACAUGCGAAUAAGUCCUCUGCUGCUUCUAGGGAGGUGAUGUUGGGUACUUCUUCAAGCCCUUGAAUGUGCAUUGGCGAGCCUCAUCCCAAAGUGCAUGCUUCUCUGCCAAAGAAAAAGAGUCUACCAGAGUUAGAUAUUCUUUCAUGAUCAAUUUUCUAAAUAGCGGUGGUCUGCUGGAAGGCCUUUUUGGAAGGCUGCUCUAGCUAUUGAGUCGCUGCAUCCGACUAUCAUUGCCUUCUCUGUUUUGAAUCUCUUCACAUAGUCACGAAGUGACUCCUUUGGGUUCUUUUUUACGUCAAACAAAUGGUCGGACUUCUUUUUGAUCGAGCAAUAAGAUGAAUAUUCUUUGGUGAAAACCAAAGAAAGUUCGUAGAAAUUCUAGAUAGAUUGUGGCGGCAGGGUGUAGAACCAAUCUUGUGCCUCGCCUUCAUAGUGGUGGCGAAUAUCUUGCACAUGAGAUCAUCGUUGUUUCGAUAAAGGAUCAUUGUGCUUCGGUAGCGCUUUAAGUGUCUCUUCGGGUCUUCAUCCCCUUUGAAAGAUAUGAAAUGUUGCAUACUGAACUCGCAUGGAGGCUCUGCCAGCUCGAUCUCAUCCGUGAAGGGUGACCUGCUUAUGUUGGUCAUGUUCCGUCGUAGUGCCUCGUCGGUGACCUUGUUGCGUUAGAAAUCAUGCAAUCGCUUGAUUAAAAGUCUCUCUACUUCUUCCUGAAUUUUCAUUUGUUAGGGUAGCAGAGCUCUCGGCUGCCCCUAGCCAUAACUUACUGGUCUAGGAUGCUCUUCCAUGUGUUUGGCUCGUAUACCGUGGAUGCAGUGUAUGUGGUGCGGUCCUAGUAGGUGAGCGAGUUCUUCGCAGGCUGCUAGUUGAACUUGAGCUGGAUUGAGUGACUACUUCUCUCCGUCCGUCGUGCUGCCUACUCCAAUGUGAGGUGAAAGAUGCUCCUUGCAGGCUUAGCCACGAAUGAACACUUUACCUGGAAGGUUGCUCAUGUUGACUAUCAGAGUAUGACCCUAACCGUGAAUGUAUAUUCACCCGUGGGCUUAGUCGAGAGUGCACGCUCCUCCGCGCGCUAAGACGAGAGUAUACGUUAUCUCGGGAGCCCAAUUGGGAGUGUACACUGCCCGAACGCUCGGCUCGUGGCUGGUCGAGUGGCUGCUUGCCGAAACGCUGCGGGAAAGGUUCGUCUGCCCUUGUCCUACUUCGGGAUACCUUGUUUGGGGCACGUUGGAUUCUGGUGCAUUGCAAAAGUUGAUUCACCAAGGUUGUCUGUUGUGCAAGGGUGCUCGUAAACGCUACGACUUGUCGAGACAAGUGUUGUUCGUCAUUUGGAUUGGAAUAGCUUGGAAGGAAUGUGCCUUCUUGGGCAGUGGAAGGGUGGUAGACUCCGGGCUCGAGAUUUGAGUUGGGAAAUGUCAAAUCUACGAAAAAAUGUGGUGAGAAUGCCCCCGGCUCGAUGGUAGGUCCGGAUGGUUGAGAUAGUCUUGGGCCGACUUGGGCUGCUUGGAAAGCCACGGGAGCAGGCUGGGCCACGAGAGUGAGCUGCUCGGCAGGAGUAGGCUGGGCUACGAGAGUGGGCUGCUCGGCAGGAGCAAACUGCUUGGAGUGUGAUGCACAUGGGUGCGAGGCUUGGGCUCGGCUUGGUAACACAUUGAGUUCGGGUUUGGCUUGGAGUGACAUGACUUGGGCCGUGGCCUUGGUGUCGUGAGCCUUGGAUGGCACGGCUCGGGCAGUGGUAGCUGUGCCAUGGACCUCGCCGCGGGUAGUGGUGACCGUGAUGGCCACCGCGGUGGUUGCCAUGGUGGAGCCCCGUAGUGAUGGUGCCGCUCCUAUGAUCACAUUUAGCCUCGUGGAUCGUCGUGGUCCCAUUUCUUGAAUAUUAGAAUUUUCACUUAUGGAAUUUUCUAAAUUUCUAGCCAUUAUAUUUUUCUUAUACGUUUUAUCAAAGAACCUUUGCAAAUAAAAAAUUCUAAUAAUAAGAACGUAUGAAAAAAUAUUCAAAUGGACUAGAAAAUAGAGAAAAACCUUUUUAUGCGAGAGUCUUCUACGAGUAUAGAUCUCAACUCUCAAUGAAAGCACCAAUUUGUGGAUGCAAAUUUCUUCCUCCUUGAUCCUAGACAAUUUUGCACCUACAAAACAAUUAACACCUUAGGUUAAGGCCAAGAGCCUCACACGCCCACGAUGAAUGGGGGGGCUUUGGCCGAAGAACCUCUGAUGCCAAAGUUAGAAUUUAGAGAGAUAGAGUGUUCAGAGAAUUUUGAGAUUUUUGCCAAAGUGUUGGAAUGGAUUUUUGGUGAGAAUGGGAUCACUUUUAUAGGGAUAGGAAGUGGCCGGCCUAGCUAGGGUUUUUGGGUUUAAUUUAGGUUUAAUUAGUCAAUUUAUUUGGCUAAUUAAACCCUAAAGAAUAAAUUGGUGGUUACAAAAUUGAUUAUUUGUAUAAAUGGGGUAAUAAAAUGGAGAAAGGUGAAAAAGGUUAGGAAAAGGGAGGUGGCCGGCUUCUUAGUGGUUUUAGGUGUGAGUGGGUGUUUUAAUUGAUAAUUAAGGGAUUCAUUAGGUAAUUAAUCAAUUUUUAGGGAAUAUGAAAGGAAAAUAUUAUUUAGCUAAUUGAUUAGCUAAAUAAUGGAAUACAAAAUAUAUAGAACAAAUUAGGUAUUAGGAAUUACCUUAUAGAAAGGAUUUGAUGAAAUAAGCUUUAAAUUGUUACCUAUUUUGGGCACUUUUGACUUGGUUGAGGAUGAUUGUCUGCCGCUCACGCGUAGGAAUCUCGAUAUGCCUCAAGGGUAUUUUUGUUCUCUUUUACCCAAAAAUCCACGUGUCGCCUUGUGAUUAUUUUGGCUCCACAACAACCACGUCAGCAUUUAACAGACCAAUGGAUGGAAAAUCUAACGGAGGUAUUAUUUUGAAAUAAAAUAACAAGUGAGGUAUGAAAGUGAAAUGUUUUAAAGAUGUUGUAUGGGGUUGUAAUAGACCUCAAACUUGAGGGUCCUAUGUAAUUUACCUAUUUUUAUGUUAAUUAUGAAUAGGUCAAUCAUGUAGAACCAAAUUAAAAGCUAACAUCAAUAACAACUACCAGAGACAAAAGCUCUAAUCAAUGCUUCGGAAACAUAGUCUUGUAUCUCUAGGUGUAAUGAUAUAAUUUGUUGGAAACUUAAAAGAAAAUUGGUGAUUUUGUAUAUAAUCGAUAAAAAGUUAUAAUAGUGACAAUAUAUCAGUAAUAUUUAUGUUAAUUAGGAAUAGGUCAAUCAUGUAUUUAAUACUUACAUGCAUUUAAAAUAAACACCUUAUCAAUGUUUUUUUAACUGUGCUCAGUUUUUCUCCUUCGCUUUGGUUUUGUUCUAUUGGAUUUUUCAACUAUCAUUAAUUGUGAACAUAACUGAUCAUUGAGACACAAACAUCCAAGGGAGAGUACCGUGGAACAAAAUGUGGAUAUCUUUAUACAUUGUAUGGUAGUAAACCAUCAUAAACACCAUAAUAAUGUAGAAACGCUCUUGGGGUACCUUUGGAUGAUAACUCAUGUAUUUGUUGCCCUACGUAAAGAUGGCUAAUGAUAAUGGAAGUCUAAUUUUCUCAUCCCAAUCUCUCCUGUCUCUCUUGUUCUCUUUUCUCUAUAGUUUAUUUCCAACAAGUUGUGUUAUUUUUUUUUUUUAGUAUUGUUAAGCAACCAAUAGAUUUUAAUUAGCAGUCUUUGUUUUUUUCUUUUAUAUUUUUAAUCAAUUUCAGUUGCUUAUCCGUUCUAGCAAAUUGAGCUCUUUUACAGCAAUUUUUUUCUUUAAAUGAAAUUAUUAUUAUUAAAAGAGUGAGAAAAUUCGAAAUUAUUACAACAAUUUAAAAAAAAGAAGUUUCGAAUCAUAAACACAGAGGGAGUUUACAACAUUUUAAUUAAGAAAUUAGGCUUCAGCUCAACUCAUCUUUGCAACGUCGGUUCCACUUCACAUCAACAUGCAAUGUUUCAGAAGGUCACGCGGUUUUGGGGUUGUUGUGUACCAAUAAUAUUAUAUAUAUAUAAAUUAGGAUUGAAGGAUACACGCAUUUUGUAGAGCUUAUUUUGUUAUGUAUUUUAAUGAUUUAAAUGCUUACGUUUUUCUUCACUACAAAUGAGUGAAUUAAUGAUUUUAGAAUUUGUCUAAUUUUUUACAUUGAUUAUUUAUGAAUAUUGAAUUGAAAUAUAGACGAUUCAAAAAUCGUUGAUAUACAUUACAAAAUGAACUCCACAAAAUAAGCGUCAAAAUAUGUAUAUAAAAUGGACAGCGUGAAAGGCUUGGAAAUUGGAAUAGGUUUGAAAAUUGUGCUUUUUGUAGCAAAUUGUAGCAAAGUUUGCUUGGACUUUCACAACCGUAUAAAUUAUGCCGCAGCACUCUCUAUUUUCUCUCUCGCUCUAUAUCGUGGUCCCUCUCUCUCGCCGUCCUCGAUUGCUCGAACUCACUAUCCUUUAUUGCUCGAACUCACCGUCCUCAAUUGCUCGAACCCACUGUCCUUUAUUGCUCGAACUCACUGUCUCCAACUUCCUCUGUUUGGUUCCCGAUGAAGAUGGUAAAACAGUAGGGGCAAGAAAUUAUGACAAUGUUAGAUUUGCAUAUUAAUCUGGUAGGGCUACAAUUCUCCAAUCCACACCCCUUCCAUCUAUGCUAGUGUUUGUACCCAAUAUUAGAUAUCCGGUCUGUGCAAUCGAGAUCGUUGAAUGAGAAAAAUUCUAAGCCGUGGGAUCAAAUAUAAUGAUGUGGAUUAAAUAAGAAAAAUUUAAAUGUUUAUCUUGGUUGAAUUACCAUGAUAAUAUUGUGGAAUUAUCUUCUGCAUAACGGGAUAGCGAGAAAAGUCCAAGGGUGUAGGGAAGUUGUGUGGCUGACUACCGCUUUUUUUUAUGGUGUCAUUAGUAGAGUAAUAUCACACUUAACAUUUAUUUGUACCAUCUCUCUAAUAAAGAUAAAGACCAUCAAUGCAUAAAUAAUGAUACAAAUAUAUAAUAAGAGUAUCAUAUUUGUAACUAGAAUAGGAGAAGAAAGACUUCAAGAUGGGGUCAGCCAAAUAAUUAGCGUCAGGAUAAAAAUAUGAGUAAUGAUAUUUGUAAACAUCGAAAUUUCGGUAAAUAAAUGUUGACCGAUAAAUCAAAGUUUCAACGCUCAUGUAUUACAUAAAUUUUACACGUAGCGUAUGUCUAAACAAAAAAUCGAAAUAAGUUGGAAAAGUCAUCAAACAGGACACAUGUCAACACCUGGCAGAAACGACUUAUUUCAUCUGGAAUAUUAUAUUCAAAAUUAGGCAUUGGAAAAUUCUAUAAAUAGAAGCCAAUUUCAUUCAUUUGAAGGAACCAAAAUCAUUAGGCAAAAUUCUUGAAGCUCUGAAGCUCUGAAACUCCGAAACUCUCAAGCAUCCAGGUUCCCGAAGAAUCAAGAAAGCUCUCUUCGUUCUUCGUUCUUCGUUCAUCGUUCAUCCUAAGAUCAAGCUCCAACGGCCCUUUAGAUCAACAAUCAUCCACUAAUUCAAGAUCAAGCCCCGACGGCCCUUGAAGAAAGUGUUCUUCAUUCUUCGUUCAUCGUUCUUCCAAGAUCAAGCCCCAACGGCCCUUUGGAUUAACAAUCAUCCACCAAUUCAAGAUCAAGCCCCAACGGCCCUUGAAGAAAGUGUUCUUCGUUCUUCGUUCAUCGUUCUUCCAAGAUCAAGCCCCAACGGCCCUUUGGAUUAACAAUCAUCCACCAAUUCAAGAUCAAGCCCCAACGGCCCUUGAAGAAAGUGUUCUUCGUUCUUCGUUCAUCGUUCUUCCAAGAUCAAGCCCCGACGGCCCUUGGAUCAACAAUCCACCAAUUCAAGAUCAAGCCCCAAAGACCCUUGAAGAACUUCUACCAAUUCAAGAUCAAGCCCUGACGGCCCUUGAAGAAAGUGUUCAUUGUUCAUCAUCCGUUCAUCCCGAAGAAUCAAGAAAGCCUUAUUCGUUCUUCGUUCAUCGUUCUUCCAAGAUCAAGCCCCGACGGCCCUUGGGUCAACAUCAUCAACAAAUCCACACAUCCAACCGUUCUUCAAGAUCAAGCCCAAAAGCCCUUGAAGAUCCGUUCAUCACCGUUAUUCAAGAUCAAGCCUUAACGGCCCUUGAAGAAACACUCAUCCUCAAGAUCAAGCCCCAACGGCUCCUUGAAGAUCCGCUCAAAUCCACCUUCAAAGAUCAAGCCCACGGCCCCUUGAAGAAACAUCCAACAGUUCAUCCAAGAUCAAGCCUCGACGGCCCUUGGAUCAACGAAACAUCUACAAAUCAACACCUUACGGAGAUCGAAUCAGAUGAUCAAAUUAGAGAGAGAUUGUAACCCUAAAUCAUCAAAAUACAAAUAUUAUUUUGUGCACGUUGUUCUUAUCUCUUUCGUUUCAGGAAAUUUUCGUGUUCACAAUAUUCUUACCAUCUAAAUAUACUAUAAUUUUAUACCAUCUUAUGUGGCAAUUGAGAUGGACUUCCACAUAAGUUUUAAAAAAAUCUCAUGUCAGCUAAGGUGGAUAUUUACGAUUUUACGAUUUUACUCAAUGAUUUUUAUUAAUAAAAUAAUUAAAAAAUAAUAAUGAAACCUACUUGCUCCCGUUUUCAAGCCUCAUCGCUGGGCCUCCUCCCUCUUCGCUCUCCAAUUUCACCUUCCUUCACCAACGAUCGAUGGUGCUCGACCCCCUUCAUCAUUGCCAACUGGCCGAAUAUCUUGAUGGUGCUCCCAGUGAUUGUUUUGCUCUGCCACCAAAUCAAGUUUGCAAUUUUAAUGGUUUAUGCCUUCUGGCCAAGUGUUGGAUUUGAUAGGUUUUUAAUUCCAGCAACAUUGAACAAAAAUAUGAAAAGGAUUGGAUACGAUAUUUUCCUCUGUUCUACUGCUGAGGAUUUUCCGAAUAGAAGAAGAUUUGGAAGACAACCUCUUUUCUUUUUUCUUCAUGGACUUUUGGUUAGCACCAAAAUCUUUUCCUAAUCCUCUAUAGGAAUGAAAAUUUCAUUCCAUGUUAUAUCCCGAUGUUGUCCAAGGUUUUGGCUUGAAUUUUCAUUGGAAUUAUCAUAUGUUGGAUCAGAUCAGGUGGAGAGAUGAAACGUAUCUAACAAGGAAGUUGAACGGGUAGGGUUUGAGCAAAAAUAAACAGAAAUUCCACCUAGGUUGACACCUAAGCUUCCACAUCAUGUGGUAUACUAAAUGUGGUAUAAUAAGAUGGUAAGAAUAGCAUUAUUGAAUGGGUAAUGUUAAGAGAAAUUUUUAGUUGUGACGGGAACACGGAUGGUACACCAUGCGUUUUUAUGUAAAUGGUGGAAAAUUUUAAUUUUUAAAUUAUUAACCUUUUAGCACACAUAUCCCACCAUUUAUAUGAAAACACGUGAUGUAUCACCUCGUGUGAUAGUCACAUUGAAAAAUCUCUCGUAAUGUUAGGAAAACUAAAUUUAUAAACAAAAGUUACAAAUUAAAUGAUGGGUUACCAAUAAGAAUGAUUACGUUUAUCAAUGCUUAAAUAAUAAAUCAUUCAUCAACUUCCAGUCCUUUAGUUUUUAAAAUUUUGUCUAACAUUACCCUUUCAAAACUCAUGAAAAUAAUUUUCAAUUUUUUUAACUGAAAAGUGAAAGUUACUAAACAAGAUUUCAGUUUUUAGCUUUCAAAAAAAUAAAAACAAAAGCUAAAAAUAAAAUGGUUAUCAAACAUCCCUAGAAGUCAUUCUUAGUGAUAGUAAGGUCAUCUCCAACCGAAAGAUCCAGGGGGCUAGAGGGCCGAAAAUAGUCUGAAAACCAUUUCCAAUCAAAGGCCAUGCCAAAGGGGUCGUGGACCCCAUUAGACAAAAAAGGGCCAAAGGGCCAACUGGCUGGCCCCAGUUCCAACAAUAACUAGAUGACGUCAGUUAACCGUUAUUUUUGAAUUUUUUUUUUAACAAAUUUUAACUUUCUAAGCCAUUAAACAACAUUAAAUUAAGUAAAAAAGAAAAUUCCUAUAACUUCCUAAGUCAUUAAACAAUAUUAAAUUAAGUAACAUGAAACAACAUUAAACAAUAUUAAACAAAAUUAAACAAUAUUAAACAACAUUAAAUAACAUUUAACAACAUAAAAAUUAUACAACAUAAAAAAAAACAUUUAAGAACAUAAAAUUUAAAUGCCUACUUCAUGCUUCUUUUGGCCCAAAGAUGUGCAACAAGAUCCUAAUGUAGGUACUUGUUUGUGGCACGAGAGCGUAUCAUCCUAACCGUUAGAUUUGAUUUUUUUUUGUUUUCGGCCAAAUUUUUUUAAAUUUAAAAAUAAAUUAUGUUUGACCUUUUGGCCCUCGAUUGGAGAUAGUUUUUUUUGUGACAUGACUAUGUUUAGCCCUAUGACCCUUUGGCCCUCAGUUAGAGAUGGUAAGAAAUAUGACCCAACAAUGUUCAUUAAAAUAUUAAUUUCUUGAAGAGCCAGAGGGCUAAAACGAGCCAUCCUUCGGUUGGAGAUGGCCUAAGAAGAGACUAGAGAUAGAGAGAUUCCUAUACUUAGCUGUGAGAGUUUCCUAUAUAUGAUUUUCAUUAACAAGAUUGAACUGAUUACAUAGAGAAGAAGAUCAAGUAUGGUUAUUUUUAUUUGGGAGACUUUGGAUGUGGUCCUUAGUUAUGAAUAUUAUUUGAUUGAAAUCUUGUUGGUUUUUAAUUUUUUAUCAAGAUCCCUGAAAUUAAUGUGAUAAUUUAUUUCUAUGUAAGUUACUAUAUUUUUUUAAUUAGAAAUUAGAAAUUUUAGUUGUUUAUAUAAAUGAGAUUUUAAAUUAAAAAAACCAUAAUUUGUGGGAUUAAAAAUAUUAAAAUAUAAAUAUACUAUUGUGUGUGUGUGUGUGUGUGUGUGUGUAUAAAUAUGGGUACAUUCAUCAAAAUUAACCAAAAAAUUUAUUGUAUCAAAACAUGGGUACAUUCUUCAAAAUCACAAAAAAAGAAAGAUAUUAGGCUUAAUAACAUUAGUAAAUUUCUUCGAUUAAACUUGACAUGGAUACAUUUUAAAAUCAAAGAAAAAAAAUGUACCCAUAUAAGUUUAAAAAUGGAUUAGAAAAAAAAAUUGAAUAGAUUUUAUACAAAAAAAGGGUACGUUUUACAUAUAACAAAUUGGUAUAUUUAAGAAUGAGUACAUUUUAAGAUUAAAAAGUUUUACAUGAAUGGGUUCAUAUAAUUAGCAUGGGUACAUUUAGCAAAAUAAAAAGUACAAAUACAAAAAAAUAUAUGUGUACAAAUACAAAUAAACUUUAAAAAAUAUGGGCACAAAAAGAAAUUAAUAUAUGGGUACAAAUUAAAACCGAAAAGAAAAUUGGUACAAGUUAAAAAAGAAUUACAAAUUAAAAAUGGGUACAAACUAAAACUAAAAAUAUAUGAUAAAAAAUUUAGUCAUAAAUAUAAAUAUACUAAUUGUAACAUUUUUAACAUUAAAUGAAUAUAUUUAGACAUAAAAAAUAUAUUUUAUUAUUGAAAUAAUUAAUGAUGUUAUUAAUACCCAAGGACCUUGAUAAAAAAUUGAAAAGAAAUAGAAUUUUAAUCAAUGGAGUAGCAAAAGAAAAGAUGAGAACCUAAUUUCUCCUUUGUAUUGUGUAGACAUUAUAACUAUACAUUCAUAAUAACAUGAGUAAUGUUAUAUUUAUCACAUUUGUACUCUUUCUCCAAUAAAGAUAGGGUCCAUCAACACAUGUGGGUUCUAUUUGCCCAUCAACACAUGCGAAUCUCAUUUUUAUUAGAAAAAUAGUACAAAUAUGAUAUGGAAAUUAUGAUAAGAUCGCAAUUUUGUAAUAACAUAUAUACUCAACUAUUUAUAUACCAACUCAUCUCCCUUUAGUGUAGUUAAUAUUGUUUGUUCAACCAAAAAAAAAAAAACUGAACUUGUCAUAAUCAUUGAAUCCAUUUACCAUGAACAAACGGCAGUUUACUAAACUUGCCCUCAGAGUAUAUAUAAAAGGUGAAUCACAAUCUAUUGCAUUAAUAUAAGGAAACAAUUUAUAGGGUUUGACGGGUGACUUAAUAUGCUAUAUGGCACAAUGAAAAUUAAGUUCACACUUUAUCCCAAAUAAGGUGUUGCACCUUUAAUUUAUGGAUGCUGGUUUGACGUGUGACCGAAAUAAUCAAAUUGUAGCCAUUAAUCAUUUUACAAGUAAUAAUAUGUGGUUUUAUUGUUUACGAUUCACACAACAAUCUGCUAGGAAGUAGAAAAUGCAGUACUUGUCCCUCUCACAGAAGUCAUGAAUAAUUAUCAAAUUCAAAGAUAAAGAAAAACCACACAAUUUACAAGAGGAAAGAAAAUGAAGGGAUAAAGAAAGUAAGAAAGGAAUACCUCUAUGGGAGGACUCUUAUUUGCUUCAGAUGCCUACAAUAUUCAUCAUAUAAACACUGAUUAAGUAGUCAUCGAAAACCAAAACAAAUGUCGAACAUAGGGUGAAAAACAGAAAGAAUAACCGCAGCUCAUCAUACCAAUAGAGAUAGAACUGCCCGAUGCCCAAGUAUGACUGAAAAAUGGCAAUCCAAACAUGGCGCCUUCUAGCUCAUCAAACUGUCAAAACCUAGGUUCCACCAAAAAGAUACAAGUCACCUAGUUACUUGUAAAAUAAAAAUCUGUUUCAAAAUAGUGGAAAAUAUUAUUAACAUUGUUCAAAGUCCACAUUGUUGUACCUACCAAGAAACAAGAAGGAUUGUAUCUUAUCAUGAAAAAGAACAUAGGUACCUUUUCAAUUGUAAUUGUACAAAAAUGAGAGACCACUUCCGAACUUCUCUUGGAACUUCAAUCAAUUUCUGCCCACUUUUAAAUGCCUUGACAUACUUAAGCCUAUUUCUUUGAGCUUCAGUUUUGGCUUCUGAUGCCUUUAAAUUUCUUAAAGAUUCUUACCAAGUUUUACAAACUCACUUCUAUACAACCAUUUGUCAGUAUACAUACCAUUUUCUUUGAGCUUCAGUCUUUGCAACACCAAAACCCCCCAAAUAGACCCGGAAUUUUGCAAUGUGCAGGGAAUAUACAAAAAAAACCCUCCUAUCCAUCUAAAACGAAAUCAGAACGCAAACCACAAUCAAAAUCCGUAAAAUUAAUUUAGCCAACCCCUAAAUCUAAUAAUUCUAACAAAUAUUAUAGUAUCAAUUGAGAGAGAAUUUGAGAAGAUACCUAGAGAUGAAAGGAAGAGCGUUUCCUCUGAUAGGGGUUCCGUGAAAGCAUCUGUUGACCAGAAAAGAAAAGGCAAAAAACCCCAAAUUACAUAUCAAGCAAUUAUAGAUAGAUCGAACCUUGAAAAUUGAAAUUUCAAACAAGAGAAAGGUUAUAAACUUACAACGAUCUGGGUGUUGGUAACUGGGUUUGGAUUUGGGUUUCUGAUAAGAGAGAGAAUCGUAUGAGGAACCGAUAGAGGAACUGCACCGGCAACAGAGAGCAAUUGAUAUGGUGGAGAACAGACGAGAAUAGCUGCUUGGAUGGUCAAUCCAAGAAGAGAAAAUCUUGCCACAAUCGCGGUACUUGAAAAAAAAAAAAACAAGUUUAAAGGAGGGAAACAAUCGCGCCUUUUUCUAAUAGACUCUGUCGACGAUAUUCUUGACAAAUAGAUGCUUCGUCGGGUGAGCUUAUUUUUCACAACAUUUUAUUUAGGAUUGGGUUCGGUUGGUAAACCGUGUCAAAUUUCUUGUGCCACUUGCCAGCCACAUAUACAUAAUUACCGAAAAUCAGUUACCGUUAGCCAACCGUCUUCUUGCGGUUGCCAAAAAUCGGUUCAGCCAAAAUGAUUGGCUGGUUCGGUUGGUAAAUGGCACAACCGGUGGUUUCCACUUCUUCCUCGCUAUCUUCCAGUUCCAAGGGCUCAAUUUGAUUUUCAGAUUGGGAUGCUUGUUCGGUUGCAUUGUGUGGUUCAUUUUGGGUUAAUCCAUGUUGUGCACUAGUAGUUGAUUGGCUAGACUCCAUUAUCCUAAACAUAAGCAACAAAUAUACAUUCAAAAUAAUAUAUAUGUACGUGUAUAUAUAGUAUCAGUAAUCAUCAUGCUAUCAAUUUUGUUAACAAUAUUUUCUAUAUAUUGAUUUUGGCAUGAAUCAUAUACACAUACAUAUAUUUUUAAAACCCUAAAACUAAGGAGUCAUUUAUUUUCUAAACUCUAAAAUUGAGGAGUCAAGCAUGUAAAAAAAUACUUAAAAUAUCUAAAUAGAAAAAGAAAAAGAAAAAAAAAUAAAUAUAUAUAUAUAUCGGUAGGUAUGGCAUACCGCCGGCAUACAAAAUCAAUUACCAAAGCCAUGCCAUUAAUUGUCGGUUCGGUAAAAUGCCAACCGAUUAUGAAAAAAUGUCAAAACUAUACCAUACCAUUUUGAGCCAACCAGUAUGGUUUGGUCAGUAAAUCGGUUUAUGGCAAAAUUUCUCACCCCUAAUUUUAUUUGUCACCUUAAACCUAUUGGUUUCUAGCCUACAAUUCGGAUAUUUUGUUGGGGAAAGAUUUUUGUACCAAUAAAAUUUUGCUUUGUCGGCAAAAUGACAUUUUCUAGUAGUUAUAAUAUUAGGUAGAUCAAAUUUGUAAACUAUGUGAUGUGUCACUAAUAGGAAAAAAUUUCAGUGUGCUGAAAAUACGGUCUAGAACACCAAGUGUCAUAAUAUAUACUUGGUUGGAAAUCUUUUAUUUUCAAGUUUCCAACUAGUUGUAUUGUAACAGUUGGUGUUCCAAGCUAUUUUCUCCAUGCGCUGGAAAAUCUCUUCACUAAUUAAAAAUAAACAUAUUAAUUAACACUUAAGUAAUAAUCAAAGCAUCAACAACUACGUCAUAGAAUUUACGAAAUAUGAUCUUAAUUAAUGAUCUCCAUUACCCUUUAUCUUAGCGUAUACGUACGCCUUCACAUGUUUAUUUGCUGAUAUGCAGCUUGAGUAAAAAUUUCUUUUUAAGAACAUAUAUGUGAAUAUAAACAUAUAUAUCUAGUGAUCCAUGUUGCGUUAUUUAAAAAUAAACAAAUUAAUUAAUUAAUGAACUGUGUACCUGUCUGUGUAGAGUAAUCCAUAUGCAUGCUUGAAUCCUGAUCACCACGAAACCAUAAUAUAAGCUACUCAAGGCCCGGAAGCUAGGAUUGAAGAGAAAAACACCCAGUCAGAUUAAGCCAAUACAUCAAAGUUAAUACUUCCAAAUGUAAGCUUUAAGAUAGAAAAAUCACUUACUUCCUUGAGCAGUCGAGCUUCUUCAAUGGCAUGAAGCUUUUAGCAUGAGAUUGACUGCAUCACAACUAAAAUUUUCUCUUGGAAACUACAUAAGGAAUAGCAUGUAUACCUAUAACGUUGAGAAAGUACGCCAAUUUUUUCCUUCUGCACAUUCAUGUUUAAAAGUAAUCCUCAAAUGAACUUGCCCACAAUGAAAUGCAAUUUGAGGUAGUCGAGUGUGUUCCAUUUCCAUCCCAUCGGAAUUACUACUAAACUUUGAGAUGGUAGAGGAUUCAUGAAAUUUUUUACUUUUGAAAUAGUCUCCUUAGCAUUUCUCGACUAUAACAAUGAGGAAAUACUUCACCUUGUAUCAAACAAGGGAGACCGAAAAUCAACUACUAAUAGCAUCACAGAGCCAGCAGAAGAUUGAGGAGGCCAUGAAAAGGAAAGAGAAAAUACACUCUUUUUUUGUAAGGACAGAGAUAAUACAUUCAAUAAAGGGUACUGAUGUUUAUAUGCAAAGCUGAUUAGGUUUAAAUAGUCGUAUUUAUUCUGUACAGUGCCAAUAUUACCACCCGUUAGUACACUUUCAAGACACUGUAAUCCAGUGUAUGCACUAUGCAGUACGUAGUACUCCUCAUUUUUUUGGGGAAAUUCAUUAUUGGUCUUCAUAUCUUCUUUAUUUUCCUUGUCCUCAUUGUGCCACGUGUUUAAAUCACUAAUUAUAGGUAAUCUUUCAAUUUAAUUAAAUCUUAUGUAAAAAAAGAUAAUUAAAUAUCAUUUAGUAUUACAAUAUAGUGAUAUUCCUCUUUAGUAUAAAAUUUUUAUAAUUAAAAGCGUUCAGCUUUUUAAUCUUCAUUGGAAUAUUAUCUAUAAAGAAAAAUUAUUCGAAUCAGAGAUCAUUUAUGCAUUCAAAUGUAUAAAAUACAUCGACAGUGUGAGAACCAACUAAUAUAUUUUUGAUGAAGUACAAUUAUUGAAUACAUUUGAACGAUCAAAUGAUAUAUGAUUCAAAAUACAUAUUAAGAUAAUAAAUAUAAAAGAAUUGUUAUUUGCACUUCAAGAAUCUCAUUCUACACUCUAAAUUUUCUAUAUAUUAAAAGAAAAAUAAAUUUGUGAAAAGUGUAGAAUGAGGUUUUUUUAAAUGCUAAUAACACUUCUCUAAAUACAAUUAUGAAAUUAAUUAAGUAAAGAUACAUGACCUCGUGAAUGAUGAAUGUAUUAUUCAAAAAAAUAUUAAAAACAAAUUGAAAAAGGACGCUGUUGUUGCCACCACUUAUGCAAUGAUCGUCGCUGCCAUCACCAACCCCCAACACCCCAUUACAGCUCAUAAAAGCACAUCAUAAGCAAUUUAUGAAAUAAAUUUACUGGAAUACUAAUUUCCCCCUUAGUUUAGGUCACCAAUGUUUAAAUUUAGGGAUCGUGAUAUCCACACACAUUUUUUACUUCUUUCACACUUUUUUUUUCGGUUGUCGGAUCAGAUGAAUUGAAGAAAAUCAAUGAACAGAAAUUAACAAGGGGUGUGUGAGAAGUAAAAAUGAAUGUGUGGAUAACACACCCCUAAAUUUAUCACAACUUUCAUUCCAAAUUUAAUUUUUAUCCGUAGUUUUGUUUGUUCAAAUUUACUUUGACAUUUCCAUUAGUAUUAAAAUCUAAUUUAAAUUUUAGUGUUCAAGCUAGAAAAAGUGUUCCAUUUAAUAUUUAAUCUCAGUUUUUCUCUUUAUUCUUUUAUUGGGAUUUGGUUGCAUCGUAUCUCCAUUUUUCUCGGUGUUGUAUGUUCAUAAGGCCUGUGAAACGUUGGCACGGAGUGAAGGGUACUCACUUUUUGGCCCAAAAUGCAUAAGGCAUGUAGAUAUGUUAAUCAAAUUUUGUAAACUAAAGGAUAUAGAAGUUGAUAAUUAGAUUAUAAUUUAAGAUAAUACUAAGGAGACUAAAUUUGCAAACUAAAUGAUGUGUCACCAAUAAAAAUAAGCACGUUUAUCAACAAUUAAGUAAUAAAUCAAUCAUCAACUUUCAUGUCCUUUAGUUUCCAAGAUUUAAUAUACAAAUUUAGUCUCCCAAGCAUUACUCUAUUACUUAAGUAUUGAUUAACAGACUUAUUUCUUAUGGUGACACAUUAUUUAGUUUACAAUUUUAGUCUACCCAACAUUACUCUUUUGAAAUUGUCUUGUCCACUGAUAUAAUUCUAUUUUUCUUGUGAUCAAAACUUCAAAUGUUAGCAAGUCGCACGUAAAGUCGCUUAUGAGAGAAUGUGCUCACAUUGUAGUUGAAAGAUUAUGUGGCUAGCAACAUUACAAAUUUAAUUUGGUAUAAUUCUAAAAUAUAGAUUGAGGAAAAAAUGAUCACAUUAACUAGAAACUGAAAAGGUUUCAGCACAGUUUGUUCAAGCAAGAAAUUCAAUUUUGAUGCUACCGAUCUUAACAGCCUGAGCGCCGUACCUGGGCACCAAAGUCACCACCACACUCUCAUCAUCUUCAGCACCCAAAUCCUCCAACAGGUCCGUUAACCCCAACCUUAAACAACUCUUGCUCUUUUCCUUCUGCUUAUGUGGCACACUCACAAAACUCCCAGCAAACUCGCUCUUGUCGGGUCCACUCGGUGCCGCAUCCUCAUCGUCCACGUCAUUCACAUACACACAUCAAACUUCACAGCCACAUCUUUGUCAAGCUCAAUCCCCUGAAUCACCAAUAUCUCCUCCUCAUCCUCUUUCUCCUUCUUGCUCCUCUUCUUCGGCUUCGGCCUUGACACCACCGUACUUAUCUUCGUCUCCAAAUUUAUUGGAAAAUCUUUACCCGCCACCACCUUCCCUGAUGACGUCGUCUCAGUGGCCUUCGCCACUCCAGCCGCCUUUGCCUUUCUCGCAAGCUUUGUCCGACGUGGCGUCGGUCUAGACUUGAGCCAUGGAAUCUCAACAUCUUCAUACGUAUACCCUAGCUUUUUAUUAUCAAGAGUGUCCCUCACCGUGACCCUAACAAGCUCAGCAUUCUCGUCAUAAAACAAAAACCCCGUAUCCAACCAAUCCUUAUCGUUAAUAUCGUUAUUUUUAGUCCCUAUACUUUUCCAAAUAUUCCACAUUCGAUCUAUAUUCGAAUGGUGCGAAAAAAAUAUUGGAUCCCUUGCAGCGGAGUAAAAAUUCCCCAUGUCUUCAAAAUUAGGCUGCGUGUUAUCUCCGGUCCAUAAAUGAACCGGACCAUGUGGGGUCGUUUCGAUUGAACCGCCCCCUGGAUCUGGUUCAGUGUCAGCCCUGUAGGGCGAACCAAAGAACAACAGCGGUUUCUUGGAGUUGGAAACCAUCUGCCUAUACAUGAUUUUGAGGUUGGCGUCGAUUUGAGCAUCCUUGGACAUUGUUUCAUCCGUGCCGUUGAAGUCAAGAUCGAUGAGAGUCGGCGGCUGAUGGCUGGCAGCGCGGAGCUCGUCGUAAAGCGGAGAGUCCGGGUUAGCGAACAAGGCAGGGAGUUGCAUGCCAGCUGGCGCGUCCCAGUUCCAAAACGGCAACGCGAACGUCGGAUCGUCUAUGAGUUUGGCCAAGAUUCUUUCGUAGAAGUAUACGUAGUAACGAUGGAAGGGGAAGAAAAGCCAGCAUUGAUGGAUUUGGAGCUCGAGGUUGGGGAAGCCGACUUGGUCGUACGCGCCGUCGCAAUAGGCACAGUGGAGAUCGGCUUGCUGGGUGAAGCUACGCGGAUCGUCGUCCGGGAGGGCUUUCAUGAGCUCGAUGGCUUUUGAAUAUUUUUCGAUGUAGGCUUUAUCCACGGUGUGAGCUGCCGGCCUGACGCGGAGUUUGGUAGGGGAGGGGAAUUUGAAGUCUACGAUUUUUUGGGACGUUGGCGGGCAACAGUUGAUCGGGACUGCUCCACUUGGAAAGUCCGCAGCUCCGCAUUUGGCUAGGUCAGGCGGCAACACUGGCUUUGCAACAGCGAAGGGGUCGCUGCCAAGACCAGCCACUCCGGCUUUGCAACAGCGAAGGGGUCGCUGCCAAGACCAGCCACUCCACCGUAGAGGCUUCCGAGACCUAUAAGAAGAUAGAAUUCAGUUCUUGGCAGUAGAGGACUCUAUUGCAGGGAAAAACUGAUUUGAAUUAGGAAGGCUUAAGUAGUUUUCCAUAAGGAUUUUAAUAGGGAAUCCAUAUUCUAAUAUGAGAAGGAUAUGUGUGUACAUAUAUAUAUAUAUAUAUGGCAAUCUCUUCUCUCACAGGUGUGUGCUCUUUUGGAACUAAGCCCUAUUCUUAGUUUGAGUGAUAAAUACCCUGACAGAGAGAAGAAGAAUUGAUGUGCUUUUCAGGUUGAUCGAGAUCCACCAUGACUGCAUCAAACGGGAGUUCUACAGGUUAGUAUAAUUAGGUUUUAUUUGGAUUGAUGUUUUGUGUCUACUUGGUUGUAGUUUAAGUAACUGAAUCUUGCAGCUAGAUUUUGGUUUACAUGUGGUAUCAGAGCCAUAGAUUCAUGUUCUUAAAUUCAAUCGAUAAAAUUGAUUGAAUCCAAAAUAAAAUUCCGAUCUUCAGACUUCGAAACAGGUUCUGGUAGUUAAAAUUAGGAAAAGAAGAAACGGUGCGUUUUGAUUAAAAUAUGAUGAUUAAUACUUGACCGUUAAGAGCUAAUAAACUAUCUUCUCUUCCGAAUUGGGAAUACAAAUCGACAUCUAUCGAUUUCGAUUUCGGGGUUUGAAAAACUGGGUUAUAUGACAUCUAUCGAUUUCGAUUUCGAGGUUUGAAAAACUGGGUUAUAUGAAUUGUUAUUGAGUAUCCACAAUUUAUAUUAAUUGCUUCCGCUGCUGGGUGUUGAUGCUCAUAGAACAAACGGGUAUGUCUCCUGAACAUUGAAUUGAAAUUUGUUUUUUAAUCAAUCUUAUCUUGAAUUUCAUUAUGUUCUACAGCAUGAUUCGAAUAGUGAGCAUAAAAAUAUGCUUAUUUAUGCUGAUUAGUCCUAUGUUUAUGCGUUUUUCUCUAACCAUCUAUGGAAGGGAGUUCUUCGAUAAGAACCUCUGCAGAUUUCACUUGUUUUAUGCAGAAAGUUUUAUGAAGAACUGUUCAUUUGAUAAAGAUCUGCUAAAACUGUGUUCUUAAAUGGAAAAAUCUUUUAUUCUAUAUGUGCUUAUCAAUUCUUCAUUGUUAAGAUUAUAUAUAUGGAUAAAAGGUUUUGAUGAUAUGAUGUACAAAGGAUUGUGAGAUGAAAUCUGGAACUCUAAACGUUCUUCUGUGAUUCAUUGUGAUUUCAUUGUGCUACAGUGUCUGCAAUAUCAAUGAAGACUCUGAAUUUGGCUAACAUCCCAAUUCUUACUGGUGGGGGAAAUUACAAGAAGUGGAGAAGGGAAAUCAGUUUGCUGUUGACUCUAAACGAGUUUGAUAUAGCAAUCGAGAAUCCCAAACCCGUGGUCAAUGAUCAGAGCAGCACAAGGGCUGAAAAGGCAGAUUUUGAGAGAUGGACAAGGGCUAAUAAGGUAGCAUUGUCCAUCCUUGAGAGUGGCAUGACUGAUACAAUCAGAUGAGGAAUUAAGAAGCACGAUUUGGCUGCUGAUUACCUAAAAGCUAUUGAAAAGAAAUUUCAAGAAUCUGAAAAAGCUGAAGUGAGUCAGUAUAUGUCUUUAUUAACUACUUACAAGAUGGAGGGUACAAGCUCUAUAAGGGAUCACAUAAUGAAGAUGACAUAUGCUGCAGAAAGACUCAAUGCAAUGGAUAUAAACAUAGGUGAAAAGCAGUUAGUAUUCAUGAUUCUUCAAGCACUUCCCAGUAAAUAUAGUCAGUUGAAGAUCUCCUACAAUACUCAAGACAAAAACUGGGAUAUUGAUCAGUUGAUUGCACAGUGUGUGCAAGAAGAAACUCGUCAAAAACAAGAAAGAGGCAAAGAAGUUGAGGACAUCAACUUUGUGCAAACUAUAAAUGACAAAAAGCAGUUCAACAACAGAAGCUUUUCUGGUUCUGGUAAGAGUUCUAAGCCUUUUAAAACUUCUAAUAAGUUCAGUAAUUCUGCUAAAGUAGUUGACUCCCCUAGAAAAUCUAUCAAGUUUAAAGCUAAACCUAAAGAUGUGUCUAAAUUAAAAAUGUUUUUGGUGCAAAACUAAGGGCCAUUUAAAAGUUAACUGUGAAAUUUUCAAAGAUUAUGUAAAGAGCAAAGAAAAGGAACAAGUACUUGUCUGUAUUGAAUCAAAUUUGUGAAGUAUACCUGUUGAUUCUUGGUGGUUUUGAUAUACCGGAUGCUCAGUGCAUAUAACUAAUUCUUUAAAUGGUUUUCAAAAACAAAAGGAAUUUGGAAAUGCUACAUAUAAUGUUUUUGUUGGGGAAGGAACUAAAGUUGCAGUAGAGUCAAUUGGGAUAGUCAAAUUAGUCUUAUGUUCUGGUUAUGUUUUAGAGUUGAAAGAUGUGUGCUAUAUGUGCCUAAGAUGAGAAGAAACUUAAUUUCUGCCCUCUAAAAUUGUAAAAGAUGGUUUUUCUUUUCUUGGUGAUGAUGAGUGCCUCAAAAAUUUUCAAGAAAAACUGUCCUUGUCCUAACACUAUUUUAGGGACUGCUUUUUUGUCUGAUAAUUUAUGGAAUCUAAAUUGCACUGUUAAGGCACUCAAUCACACGAUUUUCAGCAUUAGUACUAAGAGAAUGAUAGGUCAGGAUACUUCAUACAUUUUAUGGCACAAAAGACUAGGACACAUCUCUAAAGAAAGGAUAAUUAAGCUGUAAAAAACUGACUUGAUUCCAAAAUUAGAUCUUUCUACUGCAACUGAAUGUGUUGACUGCCUAAAGGGUAAAAUGACCAAUUUUAGAAAAACAGAUGCCAAAAUGAGCCAGGGGUUACUUGAAAUCAUACACACUGAUAUCUGUGGUCCUUUUCCAGUUAAGACAAUAUGUGGAAACAAGUAUUUCAUUAAUUUCAUAGAUGAUUUUUCAAGGCUGGGAUAUACCUUUCUGAUUAAUGAAAAAGCUGAUGCCCUUAAGUGUUUUAUAAUUUACAAAACUGAGGUUGAAAAACAGUUAGGCAAGGUUAUUAAAAUUGUUAGAUCGGAUAGGGGAGGUGAAUACUUUGGCAGGUACACUGAAUCCGGGCAGCAAAAGGGACCAUUUGCUCUCUAUCUCGAGAAGAAUGGUAUUGUGGCGCAGUACACCACACCUGGAACGCCUCAACAGAAUGGUGUUUUUGAAAGAAGAAACAGGACUCUUAUUGGUAUGGUUAGAAGCAUGAUGUCCAGAUCAAAAUUGCCAGGAUUCUUGUGGGGAGAAGCUUUGAAAACAGCUAAUCAUAUAUUGAAUCGAGUUCCAAGCAAGGCAGUAUCUACCACACCCUAUGAGUUAUGGCAUGGGAGAGUUCCUAGUUUUACUUAUUUCCAUGUUUGGGGUUGUAAAGCAGAAGCUAAGUUAUAUAAUCCUAAUGAAAGAAAGCUGGAUUCAAGGACUCAGUCAUGUUAUUUUAUUGGCUAUCCUGAGAAAUCAAAAGGAUACAGGUUCUAUAUCCCUCAAGGUCACACUCGGAUCCAAGAGACACACAAUGCAGUUUUCCUAGAAGAUGAAGAUGUCUCUCAUUUGUCAAGGGAAAAUUUCAUAUUUGAAGAGAUGCAUUCAGAUGGUGGGGACCAUGUGACAAUGGAUUAUAAUAUCGGUCUCAUUGUUUCCCAAUCAAUCAUCAAUUGCCAUUGAAGAUAUGAGUGAAGAUUUAGGAGUUCCUGAUGACAACUCUGUAGGAGUUGAUUCCACAACAUAAGCUGCAACAAUUCCUUUUGCAGAAGCAUGUGAACCAGUUGCUGUUCCACCUCCAGUUGAAAUCAGAAGGUCACAAAGAGCUCGGAAAACCACUGCAAGCAAUGACUAUGUGUACUUAUAAGAGACUGAGUUCGAUAUUGGUGACAUUUGAUGAUCCUCUUACAUAUACUCAGGCAACUGAAAGUCCUCAAGCAGUUCUUUGGAACAAUGCAAUGAAGGAUGAGUUAGAUUCAAUGUCCAAAAACCAGGUUUGGACAUUGGUGGAAUCCAACUCUGAAAUUAGGCCAAUAGGCUGCAAGUGGGUAUAUAAAACCAAAAGGGAUGCUGCUGGAAGAAUUGAAAGAUAUAAAGCAAGGUUGGUUGCUAAGGGGUUUACUCAAACGGAGGGGAUCGACUAUAAUGAUACUUUCUCUCCAGUUUCCUCCAAAGACUCCAUGCGAGUUAUCAUGUCUUUAGCUGCCUACUUCGAUCUUGAAUUACAUCAAAUGGAUGUAAAAACCGCUUUUCUUAACGGAGACUUACAAGAGGCUAUAUACAUGAAACAACCUGUUGGAUUUGUUGAAAAGGGGAAAGAGAAUUUAGUAUGCAAGCUCAAUAAGUCCAUAUACGGCUUGAAACAAGCAUCAAGGCAAUGGUACCUAAAGUUUGAUCAAAUUGUCUCUGCAUAAGGUUUUGUAGAAAACAAACUGGAUGAUUGUAUAUACAUUAAGUUCUCAGGUUCCGAGUUCAUCUUCUUAGUACUUUAUGUUGAUGCCAUUCUCCUAGCUAGUUCAUGUCCCCAAUUGCUUCAUAGCAUUAAGAGAAUGCUAAGUGAUAACUUUGAGAUGAAAGAUCUUGGAGAAGCACAUUAUGUACUAGGAAUAGAGAUUGUUCGAGAUAGGAAAAUGAGGCUCCUUGGUUUAUCUCAAAAGGGGUACAUUGACAGAGUGUUGGAGAAAUUUCAUAUGGCAAAUUGCAAUUGUGGUCAGGUUCCAGUCAAUAAAGGUGACAAGUUUUCGAAGAUUCAAUGUCCAAGAUCUGAUUUGGAGGUGAAGAAAAUGCAAGCUAAGCCUUAUGCCUCGUUGAUUGGAAGUCUUAUGUAUGCAACUAUCUGUACAAGGCCUGAUAUUGCCUUCAUAGUUGGUAUGCUAAGACGAUUUCAAGCAAAUCCUGAGAAGCACAUUGGGGGUGGCAGCCAAGAAGGUUCUUCGAUACUUGCAGAGAACCAAAACUCACAUGUUAGUAUAAUGGCCGAACUGAUUCUUUGGAGCUCAGGGGGUAUAUACUCGGAUUUAGCUGGAGAUGUGGAUGACAGGAAGUCCACAGGGGUUAUAUCUUCAUACUCAAUGGAGGGGCAGUUUCGUGGAAAAAUGCAAAGCAAACUAUUAUAGCCACAUCAACUAUGGAAGCUGAGUUUGUAGCCUGUUUUGAAGGCAUGAAACAGGCAGCAUGGUUGAAGAAUUUUUUGACAGAUUUAAAGAUUGUGAAUUCGGUUCAGAAACCAGUAACAAUGUUCUGUGAUAAACAACUCGGCUGUGUUUUUUGCUAAGAAUAAUAAAAGGACUUCAGCAUCUAGAUUUGGAUGGACGAAGUUUCUUAAGGUCAGAGAACAAGUCAAGAAAGGAGUUAUUGAAGUACAGCACAUUAGCACUACUAUGAUGAUUGCUGAUCCCUUGACUAAGGCACUGCCAAUUGGAGAAUUCAAGAAACAUGUUUCUUCAAUAGGAGUACUAGAAGGUUUUGAUCAGUGGGAGUAAUCACGUGUGUGUUAAAGGCUUGGGAUUGCAGAAGCAGAAGUAUAUAUGUGUUUCAAGAACUGUAUGUGCAAUUCUGACAAGCUGAACUAAGGAUGCUUUAUGUUUUAACUUGCUUUAGUUAGUUUGUUAAGGUUGUUUGUGUUUUAAUAAGUGUCCUUGUCUGCUACUCAAUACUUUGGCUUUCAGGUGUUGAGGUACGGAUACUGGACUGAGUUAGAAUUUAGUUUCAUUAGUAACUUUGAAAGAACAGUUUGUCUGUUUUUUAAGUUUGUGGUUAAUGAUGUUAUAUAGUCAAUUACUAUGUUGCUUUUCUGUGAAGAUUAAUGUGUGUUGUGAUCUUUUGAAAAGUGGGAGCAUAAUGUUUGACGGUUUAUGUUAGUCAUGAGUCAUAUUUACAAAUUGAAUAUAUGUGAGCCUUGAAUUAAUACUACAAUUUGGUUGUGGUCUGAGAUUCUUGGUUUCUAUAUUUUGAGAUGUAAUGGGACAGUGGUCAUGAUGGUUAAAUCUUAGAUGAGGUUAUGUGAUCACUUCUUAUGAUUGGUGACGGCAAGGUUUGAUCUUUGUCUCAUGUUCAAGUGGGAGAAUGUAAGAAUGUGAACAUGAGAUAAGAUGAUCGGAUAUUAGUUGUUUGAGUCCAAUCCGAAUAAGAAAGCCUCUAAGAAGAUGGAAUUCAGUUCUUGGCAGUAGAGGACUCUAUUGCAGGGAAAAACUGAUUUGAAUUAGGAAGGCUUAAGUAGUUUUCCAUAAGGAUUUUAAUAGGGAAUCCAUAUUCUAAUAUGAGAAGGAUAUGUGUGUACAUAUAUAUAUAUAUAUGGCAAUCUCUUCUCUCACAGGUGUGUGCUCUUUUGGAACUAAGCCCUAUUCUUAGUUUGAGUGAUAAAUACCCUGACAGAGAGAAGAAGAAUUGUUGUGCUUUUCAGGUUGAUCGAGAUCCACCAUGACUGCAUCAAACGGGAGUUCUACAGGUUAGUAUAAUUAGGUUUAUUUGGAUUGAUGUUUUGUGUCUACUUGGUUGUAGUUUAAGUAACUGAAUCUUGCAGCUAGAUUUUGGUUUACAUAUUUUUCGAUGUAGGCUUUAUCCACGGUGUGAGCUGCCGGCCUGACGCGGAGUUUGGUAGGGGAGGGGAAUUUGAAGUCUACGAUUUUUUGGGACGUUGGCGGGCAACAGUUGGUCGGGACUGCUCCACUUGGAAAGUCCGCAGCUCCGCAUUUGGCUAGGUCAGGCGGCAACACUGGCUUUGCAACAGCGAAGGGGUCGCUGCCAAGACCAACCACUCCGGCUUUGCAACAGCGAAGGGGUCGCUGCCAAGACCAGCCACUCCACCGUAGAGGCUUCCGAGACCUAUAAGUACAUUUCUUCUGUCUAGGUUUACUAGAGAAGGGUUUUCAUGGUCGUGAUCGUUGGAGCUAGUGGAAGGGUUUUUGUUUUGGUCACUACUAUUAUUUGUGGCUUUGCACGAGACAGCUUGUAAAUUGGAAUGCCUAGGGUUUCCAAAUGAGGAUAUUCGGUGAUACUUUUGGGAGAAAGGGGAGAGAGAAGUUGUGGGGAUGAUACUUGUGGCGGAGGUGACGAGUGGAGCUGACAUAGAAGCCAUGGUACUUGACUCUGAAUAAUACGUUGUAUUGGCUUUGCUUUUAUAAUGUGUUCUAGGUUUUACGUUUCUUUGCACGGGUGGCAGGCCGUACACACGUGGUCGGUCCUUAAGGGUUUGACGAGGAAUACUACGCAGUCAUUUAGUACAUGACAACCAUACACUAUAGCACGUGGCAUGUAUUUAGAGAUCGAGAGAGAAUUGGGUAAGGUUCACGAGGGAUUGUAGUUUCAGAAGGUGAAUUGGUUUUGGUCUUCUUGUGUACCAAUAAUUUUUACUUAGUCAUUUAGUGCAGGACAACCAUGCACUAUAGCACGUGGCAUGUAUUCAGAGAUCGAGAGAGAAUUGGUUGGGUAAGGUUCACGAGGGAUUGUAGUUUCAGAAGUUCAAGCGGUUUUGGGCUUGUUGUGUACGGCUGUGGGUCUGCUGUCACGGACUCUCUGUCUCAUUUGUGUCUUAUUUUUUAUUUUUUGACACGUUUUAACGUCAAAUCAUUAUAGCAAUGUUAUGCAAUUGGGAGCUAAAUGACCGAUGCUCUUAUUUUUUAGUUUGCUUUUUUUCCAGAUCUGAUCAAAUCAUGAUAGCAAUGUUAUGCAAUUUUCAAGAGGGAGAGAUGCACCUGGGAGAGAAACGGUACGGUGACUUCUAAAUCACCGUCCAACAGAACAAUUCUCAGUAGAGACUACUAGAGAGAGAUGCACCUCACCAAUGAAAAAUUUAACUGCAAAAAUUCUGGGUAUCGGGAGUUGUGGGGUGGGUCUUGGCAGUUUUCUUAUUUCUUUGAAUUUUUUAUAAUUUAUUUUAUAAAAGUAACAGUGUUUUGUGGGGGUUAAAUUGUAAAACACGUGUCAUCAAACUAAAUAAAGAGACACCAAAGAGACAUGGAAUUCGGGACAACAGACCCACAGCCGUUGUGUACGGAGGCAGACUCUCUGCUCUCCUACUUUCUGUGUCCUCCUGUUUUGUGUAGUCACGAUUAAAUCACGUCAAUAUUUUAUAUUAUUAUUUUAUAGAUAUAAUAAGACAAAAAAGAAUAGUAAUUUAAAAUAUUAACGUGACUUAACUGUGACCACACGAAUAGGAAGGCAUGAGAAGUGGGAAGGCAAAGAAUAUGCCUCCGUUGUGUACCAAUAAUAUUAUAUAUAUAUAUAUAUAUAUAUAUAUAAUUAGGAUUGAAGGAUGUAGAGCUUAUUUUGUUAUGUAUUCUAACAAUUUAAGUGCUUAUCUUUUAGGUUUUCUCUUAAACAGCAUGCCUAUAAAAAAUCACCAAAAUUCAAACCAUAUGACCAUUAGAUCCAUAGUCAUUUUAGUGUUAAAUGAACUUCACAAAAUAAGUCUCAAAAUAUGUAUAAAAAAUGGACAGCGUGAAUGGUUUGGAAAUUGGAAUAGGUUUGGAAAUUGUGCUUUUUGUAGCAAAUUGCAGCAAAGUUUGCUUGGACUUUCACAACCGUAUAAAUUAAACUGUUCGCUUUGUUGGGAAAAACAAGUUUGCCGCUGGUCUUGGGUUCCAAGAUCGGCCAAUUUGACGGCACACUUUUUGGCGUUGAGAAGCAGUACGGAGAUGUGCAGAUUAACUUGGAUUGAUACUCCUCCAUCUUCGUUGGUUCGUGUAUUGAACAAAGAUGGCCUUCCUUGCCCUCCUUAAUAUUUUUUGUUCUUCCUGCAGUGGAGGCGGUGACGCCUUGCUCUUGGUGCAGCGUCUAGUGUUCUGUACCCUCCUCUUCUGCAUAUGUUUGUAUUUCCCCUCGUUGCCCCUUCUAAGUGGGCUUCCUAUUGUUUUGGCUUCGGCCCUGGUUAUGAAAUAUUUCCAAUCUUACCCAAAAAAAAAAAAAAAAAGAAGAAGAAGAAGAAGUCAAGCACGGUGGGAGACUGGUCAUAGUUUCUAGAUUGAUGCUCUAAUUCUAAUGUUAUACAACGCGUACGCUAAAAUAUUUUUAUCAAAAUAUUAGUUUUAGUGUUAUCAAAACAAUAAUGUUAUUCUUACCAUGUUUUUGUAUCACAAUUAUAUACCACCUUAGAUGGCAUAUGAUGUAGAUAGCCACAUCAUUUAAAUUAAUAAGCAUUUAAUUUCAAAUGUUAAUCAAUAAUUAAUAAAAUGAUUGUUAAUUAAAUGAUGAUUAUGGUAUACAAGGAGUCUCCUUCUUCCUUCCCCUUUCCAUUCUGCUUUUUCUUCCUACCACUUUCUGUUUUUUUUUUCAUGCCAGUUUUUGUAUUGAUUUCUAUUGAUUUCCAUGAUUAUGGUCAAUCUUUAUAGAAUUUACUCGUAUACCACAACCACCAUUGAUUUCUAUCUCUAGACUCAUGCCCCGUAGCCCUAAUCCUCAUUCCCCUUCAAGUAUUUCUGUCUCCAAUCUUCUUUGGUACUCCAUGGUUGUUCAUCUCGUGAUUUUUUUUUAUUAUUUCAUUAAGUAACGCCUAUUAGCUUUCAUGCGAAUUAGGAGUCAAAAUCAAAUUUGUCUAUCGGAUUAGGGUUCAUGCCCAAUUAAGUUACUAACGCAAGAGAGAUUUUGAAGUCUACAAUUUUCCUUAUUUAAGUGUUUUAAUUAAUAAGAAAAUUGAAAUUAAACGAUUUAGCUUGUCCAACUCAUCUGCCACCUAAGAUGGUAAAUAAAUGUGGUAAGAAUAGCAUUACUCUUAUCGAAAUUACAAAAAAAAAAAAAAAAAAAAAAAAAAGCUGAUUCAAUAUUUAGUUAUUAAAAAAAAUAUAAAAAAAGUGAUCAAGUAACUAUCCAAUACCCAUGUAUUGGGUGCUUUGUUUGAAAAUUUUCAAAAUGAUAUUGGGCUCGUUUGGAUAUGUUUUUAAAAUGACUGAAAGCGUUUUUAGAGAAAAUAUUUUUUUGAUUCCAAAAGCACUUAAAGUGUUUUCUGCAAAAAGCACUUAAAGUGCUUUCUGCAAAAAGCACCAGUUAUGUGCUUCUUCCUAGAAGCACUUUAAGUGUUUUUCAAGCAUUUACUUGCUUUUUUACUAAGGAUUGGUUCCAAAAACAUUUUCACAAAAAGUGUUUUCAGUCAUUUUAAAAGUACAUUCAAACGAGCUCAUUGUUUUUCCUAUUUUAAUCAAGUGCGUCGUCCCCUGUUGAGAAUGAAUCUCAUAUUAUGGGGAGAGGGGUCUUGCAUGGAUGAGAGGAGGGACCUUGCAUGAGCUUAUAAGUAAGUUGGGUUACUCUCUAUAUUGCCAAGAGAAAUUUUAUUUGGACCUACUUUUCCUCUCUCUAAACCCAACUUUAAUAUUUUGUUACCUAAACUCUCUAGUUUACCCUCAUAAAUUAUAAACAUAAAUAAACUGGAAAAAGAAAAACUCAUCAAACCUAUUUCCCAACUGUUCUGGCGUCUCUUCCCUGUAUUUGUUGGGUCUAUCUCCCUCCCGACUGUUUUUUUUCCCUGAUAUUCUCUGUGUGUUCCCCCACCUCUCCCACACCCACCGAUUCUUUGUGGUGGCUAUUCCACCCAACGUCCAGUGAAUCUUUCCAUUUUUCUUCUAUUGCGCGUGAUAGGGCCUUGCUGUUAAUAGGCAAAACUAAGCGGCAUCGUCGACUCUGUAAGCGACUUGUUGCAGAAGUCCAAAAUGGAGUCAAAAGGAUUUUGUAUUGGGUCGGGUUGUUGAAGGCGAUGGCUGAUUUAGCAAUCUCGCCUAACUACUUCUAUAUGCAGGAGAAGGAAGAGGGAGGAAGGUCUAAAGUGGUGGUUGAGUGGUGGCGAUGUAUGUGGGUUCUAUCUCGGUUGAAUGGGUGUAGAAAGAUAUUUAAUUUUCAGUUUCUUAUUUUAUUUUGUAUAAGGGAUAAUAUCGGAAUUACAUAAAAAGUUUUUUUUAUAGCUGGGUGUAGAAAUAGUAUUGUUGGGUCUAAAUAAAAUUACCCUAUUGCCAAACAUAGUAUUGUUGGGUCUAAAUAAAAUUACCCUAUUGCCAAUUAGCUUUGUUUGAAAAUUUUCAAAAUGAUAUUGUUUUUACCAUUGAACCCUUGUUAUAUACAGUGAUGGCUAAUUUGUCAAGUUCUACGAAGUUGGGAUACCCAGCGUUUUAGCAUAUAACAUAACUUAGUAUUACAAGCAUAAUUAAUUAAAAUAAAGGAAAAUGAAGAGGAUAGCUUAGUAUUACAAGCAUAAUUAAUUAAAAUAAAGGCAAAAGUAACAGCCUGUCCCUAAAAAUGACGAUUUUAUAAUCUUAACACGUGAGUUUAUGAAGAUGCCCUUCGAGGCAAAGUGUUGACUUGUGUUGACUACCGCAUCGUGUCAUGUGAGACUCAUCUUCUUGGCGUAUUCUCGUUUUACUUGUCACUACGGACGCAUGGGCGCAAACGGGACAUGAUUUGGAGCUAUAACGAAUGAGUUAUUAACAUUUAAAGUUAAGGACAUUUUAGUAAAUUAAUUAAUUUCAGAUUAUGUUGAGGGGAAAAUCUGGAGUGCCGGUGGGUGGCCCAGAUUAAAGGAAAUGAAGAAUGGAUGGUGGAGGUGUAAAGGAAAGAAGAUAAAAGAAAAAUGAGAGGAAGUGUGUGACUAAUAGGGAGAUGAGAGAGUUAGGAUGGCCCAAUCAGAAACAAACGAAAGGAGGAAAAAGGAGAGAAGAGGGGAGCGGGGGAUCCCUUCGACCCGGUUCCAUUUUCCGACCCGACCCGAUCCUUUUCAUCUUCUUUGAUGGUUUUUCGUCGGUUUUUUCCGACGAACCACGUUAUCUAACCCCUUGGAAAAUGUUCCACAACCUUCCCUCAACUAUUACAAUCCAAAAUUGUAGAAAUUUAGCCAUGAAAGUAUGAAAACCACACCGGUGGGUGCGGGAAACCCUUGUCGUCGAUUCUCCCAUUAUUGCAACGAUUUUCACCAAUUACCACCACCUACAACAUCCUCUUGAGGUCUGGAAUAAAGCCCAAACAAGUUUUGCACUACUACAAUAUUAGCUUUAGAUGGCAGAUGAUGGUGGCGGAUUUAGAAAAAUAUUGUCGGAUAAAUUAUAUCUGACACAUUAUUUAAUUAGUGGUGAAUAUAAGAAAAAUCAUGUCGGUUAUAACCGACAUAAAUUCGUGGCAGAUACUAGCAGAUAUUAAAAAACUCAUGUCGGUUAUAACCGACAUAAAUUCCUAGCGAAUAAUUACUGACAGAUAUUAUAAAACUUCUGUCGGUUAUAACCGACAAUAUUUUUGAAUUGGGGGAAUUUAAAAUUUUGGGAGGGAAUUUAAAAUUUUGGGAGGGAAUUUAAAAUUUUGGAGGAAAUUUUGGGGGGAUUUUUACCCAUAUUAAUUCAUGGCGGAUAAUUACUGACGAAUAUUAUAAAGCUCAUGUCGGUUAUAACCAACAAUAAUGAAAAUGUUUAUGUCGAUUUUUAUUAAAAAAAUGUUUCUGUCAGUUUUAACCGACAUUAAUGAAAAUAUUCCACAGUAAAACCCCUACUUCUUCUCCUUGUGCUGGUGCCUUCUCCCUUCCCCCUUCUUUCCCCCUUUUCUCUUCUCCUCAUUUCCUUUUCCUUUGUAUUUUUGAUUUUGACAAGGUCUCUCCUUUAUUUGAUUCUUUGUUGUUCAUCUCUCACAAAUGUAGAGAGAGUAAAGGAGAUGCUUAGAGCGCUUUCUUUGUUCCUUUUUUUUUUCUUUUCAUUUUUUCCCUUUUCAAACUCCGACUAUGUCUUACAUGGCCGGUCCCAAGCCCGGAUAAAGGAGGAGGGGGAGGGCGUCAGGUAGUCGACAGCCGGCACUCCAUGAUCACGUCGAAUCCUUAUGAAAAUGAAUCCAGAACAAAAUCGCGCUAAAGCUAGGGCGCCACCCGUAAGUGGCGCGCUGUGUGGCCCGAGCACAGUGAUAAGUGAGCAAGGGUCGCUGUAUCUCCAUCGGCACUCGGAUGCAGUGUUAAAUGAGCAAGGGGGCCAUAGAAACUUCUUUUCGAACGACUCCACUCAAAGUUGUUUGGGAGCAUAUGCUCCUAUCAACUUUACCCGGGACACACAAAAGAAGUACUUUGAUCCUAUUAGACGGGGGAGGGUGAAGAAGCUAGGACAGAAGGGUAGAGUUCAAGAGAGCAAAAUGCGUUUAGGAACGUGGAAUAUAGGAACCUUAACGGGAAAAUCUAUGGAAGUAGUGGAAGUUAUGGUGAGGAGAAGGAUAAAUAUUAUGUGCCUACAAGAAACUAAGUGGGUUGGUAGUAAGGCAAAGGAUCUAGAAAACUCAGGGUUUAAACUUUGGUAUUCGGGCACAAAUAGAACGAGAAACGGUGUUGGCAUCAUCGUGGACAAGACCUUGGUACAAGAUGUUGUAGAUGUCAAGAGUGUAGGAGAUAGAAUCAUGGCAAUCAAGAUUGUAAUAGGACAAGAACUUAUCAAUGUGAUUAAUGCGUACGCACCUCAAGUAGGGUUGGAUACGAGUUCGAAGGAGAAAUUUUGGGAAGAUCUUGGAGACUUGGUGCAAGGAAUUGCUCAGACGGAGAAGUUAUUUAUAGGAGGAGAUUUAAAUGGACACGUGGGCAGGGAGACAGGCAACUAUGGAGGUUUUCAUGGUGGCCAUGGUUUUGGGGAGAGAAACGAGGAUGGGGAAGCUAUCUUGGAUUUUACAAUGGCAUAUGAUCUCUUCUUAGCCAACACCUUCUUUAAGAAGAGAGAAGAACAUGUGAUCACCUACAAGAGUGGGUCGUCAAAAACACAAAUAGAUUUUCUUCUAAUGAGGAAAGGGGAUCGUAUAACUUGUAAGGAUUGCAAAGUUAUACCAGGAGAGAGCGUGGCUAAUCAACAUCGCUUGUUGGUGAUGGAUGUACAUAUCAAAAGAGUAAGACAAAAGAACAAGACUUGGAAGUGCCCAAGGACUAGAUGGUGGAAUCUAAAAGAAGAAAAACAAGUCAUUUUCAAAGAGAAGGUAAUCACCCAAUGUGUGUGGGAUAGAGAGGGGGAAGCUAGCCAAAUGUGGGAUUUCAUGGCUAGUUGUAUCCGAAAAGUAGCAAAAGAGGUAUUAGGAGAGUCUAAGGGCUUUGCCCCACACUAAAAGGAAUCUUGGUGGUGGAAUGAGGAGGUACAAACAAAGGUGAAGGCUAAGAAGGAAUGUUGUAAAGCCUUAUACAAGGAGAGGACCGAUGAAAAUGGUGAAAGGUAUAGAAAAAAAGCGAAGCAAGAGGCGAAGAAAGCUGUCAGAGAAGCUAAGUUAGCGGCUUACGACGAUAUGUAUAAACGACUAGAUACCAAAGAAGGAGAGUUGGAUAUCUAUAAACUAUCUAGAGCAAAGGAAAAGAAGACAAGGGACCUAAACCAAGUGAGGUGCAUCAAGGAUGAGGAUGGAAAGGUUCUUGCUACAGAGAACGCGGUUAAAGACAGAUGGAGAGGUUAUUUUCAUAAUCUUUUCAAUGAAGGACAUGAAAUGAGUGCUUCUUUAGGGGAGUUGAGUAACUCAGAAGAGUGUAGAAACUACUCUUUUUAUCGUCGAAUCCGGAAGGAAGAAGUGGUUGUAGCUUUGAAGAAGAUGAAGCAUAAAAAAGCAAUAGGCCCAGACAAUAUACCAAUCGAAGUGUGGAAACUUUUGGGAGAGACAGGUAUAACAUGGCUCACUGACCUUUUCAAUAGGAUUUUGAAAACGAAAAAGAUGCCAAAUGAGUGGCGAACGAGCACUUUGGUGCCUAUCUACAAGAAUAAGGGCGACGUACAAAAUUGCAUGAACUAUAGGGGUAUUAAGCUAAUGAGUCAUACAAUGAAGCUCUGGGAGAGAGUCAUUGAGCAUAGAUUGAGGCAAGAGACACGGGUUUCGGACAACCAAUUCGGGUUCAUGCCAGGGCGCUCAACCAUGGAGGCAAUCUAUCUCUUACGAAGAUUGAUGGAAAGAUAUAGAGAUGGGAAAAAUGAUUUACACAUGGUCUUUAUAGAUUUGGAAAAAGCGUAUGAUAGGGUCCCAAGAGACAUUCUUUGGAGGAUUUUAAAGAAGAAAGGAGUACGAGUAGCAUAUAUCCAAGCUAUAAAGGACAUGUAUGAAGAAGCAAAGACUGCCGUAAGAACUCAUGAAGGACAAACCGAAAGCUUUCCCAUAACUGUAGGAUUACAUCAAGGCUCAUCCUUAAGUCCUUACCUUUUUGCGUUGGUAAUGGAUGAGUUAACAGGACAUAUUCAAGAUGAUAUUCCUUGGUGUAUGCUUUUCGCAGACGAUAUAGUGUUGAUAGAUGAAACUCAGGAAGGGGUAAAUGCAAAGCUUAACCUUUGGAGAGAAGUGUUGGAAUCUAAAGGUCUUCGCCUAAGCCGAUCAAAGACAGAAUAUAUGGAGUGCAAGUUCAGUGCAAAUGGAGGCCAAAACGAGUUAGGGGUGAGGAUCGGAGAUCAAGAAAUACCAAAGAGUGACCGUUUUCGUUACCUAGGAUCUAUCUUGCAAAAGAACGGAGAAUUAGAUGGAGAUCUCAACCAUAGAAUACAAGCUGGAUGGAUGAAGUGGAAGAGUGCAUCUGACGUGUUGUGUGACCGUCGUAUGCCACUGAAGCUCAAAGGAAAAUUUUAUAGGACGGCAAUAAGGUCGGCGAUGAUUCAACUUGGCGGGUUCGAGCAAAUAGGCGUUGGGCCAUAUUAGACACAGAACCUGCACACUGAACACUGAGAGCUAGCGAAUCCUUAACAGCUAACUCAUCAGACCGUUUGGAAAGUAGUCUGUUAUCUUUGGGAGUGAGAAGGUUCCUGGCCACCACCGCAGCGGUCAUAUCAUUCUUCAUCACGGAAUCCCCAACGGUAAGAGGACCAGUAGGGGAGACAAAGGAUGGGCGCCAUAUGUUGUCUGGAGAAGGCGGGGCUGCCUCUUCAACAAGGUUCAAGUCAAAAAACGACGGUCGGAGGGCCAGACAUUUUCAAAGGUGUUGAAGAGAGAAGAGGUCGGACACAAAUCAAGAUCUUAGAAGUGCAAGAAUGAAGCUUCUACUGGUGGAGAUUCAAGUGUGCUUUGGAACUUAAUGCCAGCCCCUAUAAAAAUCUGCACUCGACGGAGCUUCAGAAAUCGAAGAGGCGUUUGCUUUCUCAAAAGCUGGGCUGCUUAGAGAUCACGAGGGUUGAUCUCAGGAAUCGAAGAGGCGUUUGCUUUCUCAAAAGUUGGGCUGCUCAAAGACCACGAAGGCCGAUCUCAGAAAUCGAAGAGGCGCUCACUUUCUCAAAAACUGGGCUCCCCAGAGACCACGAGGGCCGAUCUCAAAAAUCGAAGAGGCACCUACUUUUCCAGCCUUGUCAGCACCUGUCACACGCACACUCAGCUUUGCGGAAAUUAUGGGCAUUCUGUCGAAGACUUCUGGGGAAGUAGAAAACACAUGAAUCUUACUGUUCAAUCACCCACUUCCCACACGCAAUAAUAGCUCAUGGGUACCACAGAUAACUUUGCCAAAGUUCUCUGCCAAAGUUGAGCACGUGAAGCUUGCAGCUCCCACUACAUCGCUCUGACCAAGAAGGGUAAAAAGAAUAGCAAAGAAACAGCACUAACAAAGUUUAGACCCAUAAAUUUUGAAGGUCUAGCUACCAUAUUAUUACCCACAAGGGUAAAGGAACAGUACCACUGCUGGAUAAUUGGAAAGUCCCUAUGUGUCAACCUCUGUGCUUCGUGGCAAGGUAGACUAGCAAACAUGCCCAACCUUUACUCACAUUCGAGAAAACACUCCCAAUAAGAUUGCUUGCUCCAAAAUCGAAGAGGCACCGUCCUCCGAAUCUCGAGAGCCAGACUCCCAACAUGACUACUUUCUUAAAAAUCGAAGAGAGGGUAAAGGAACAGUACCAUUGCUGGAUAAUUGGAAAGUCCAUGUGUGUCAACCUCUGUGCUUCGUGGCAAGGUAGACUAGCAAACAUGCCCAACCUUUACUCACAUUCGAGAAAACACUCCCAACAAGAUUGCUUGCUCCAAAAUCGAAGAGGCACCGCCCUCCGAAUCUCGAGAGCCAGACUCCCAACAUGAUUACUUUCUCAAAAAUCGAAAGAGACACUGCUCCCCGAAUCUUCGAGAGCCAGACCCCCAGCAUGAUUGCUUUCUCAAAAAUCGAUGAGGCAUCGUUCUCCGAAUCAAUCGAAGAGGCGCUCGCUUUCUCAAAAGCUGGGCUGCUCAGAGACCACGAGGGCCGAUCUCAGAAAUCGAAGAGGCACUUACUUUUCUAGCCUUGUCAGCACCUGUCACACGCACACUCAGCUUUGCAGAAAUUAUGGGCAUUCUGUCGAAGACUUCUGGUGAAGUAGAAAGCACAUUAAUCCUACUGUUCAAUCACCCACUUCCCACACGCAACAAUAGCUCAUGGGUACCACAGAUAACUUUGCCAAAGUUCUCUGCCAAAGUUGAGCACGUGAAGCUUGCAGCUCCCACUACAUCGCUCUGACCAAGAAAGGUAAAAGAAUAGCAAAGAAACAGCACUAACAAAGUUUAGACACAUAAAUUUUGAAGGUCUAGCUACCAUAUUAUUACCCACAAGGGUAAAGGAACAGUACCACUGCUGGAUAAUUGGAAAGUCCCUGUGUGUCAACCUAUGUGCUUCGUGGCAAGGUAGACUAGCAAACAUGCCCAACCUUUACUCACAUUCGAGAAAACACUCCCAACAAGAUUGCUUGCUCCAAAAUCGAAGAGGCACUGUCCUCCGAAUCUCGAGAGCCAGACUCCCAACAUGACUACUUUCUCAAAAGCGAAGAGAGGGUAAAGGAACAGUACCAUUGCUGGAUAAUUGGAAAGUCCCUGUGUGUCAACCUUUGUGCUUCAUGGCAAGGUAGACUAGCAAACAUGCCCAACCUUUACUCACAUUCGAGACAACACUCCCAACAGGAUUGCUUGCUCCAAAAUCAAGAGGCACCGCCCUCCGAAUCUCGAGAGCCAAACUCCCAACAUGAUUACUUCCUCAAAAAUCGAAGAGACACUGCUCUCCGAAUCUCGAGAGCCAGACCCCCAGCAUGAUUGCUUUCUCAAAAAUCGAAAAGGCAUCGUUCUCCGAAUCUCGAGAGCCAGAUACCACAGACCACUUUUUCAAAGUGCUCUGACAGAGUUAAAACAUGUGAAACUGGCAGCUCCCACUACCGUGCUAUGACCAAGCAGGGUAAAGGAAUAGCAUUACUACUUGUUGUUAGGGAGACUCCUAUAUAUGUCGACCUCCAUCCCCAACGGACAGGCAGACCUGCAAAAAUGCUCAACCCUUCAUCAUAUCUGAGUGGGCACUCCCAACGAAGCCUUUCGAAAUAUUCAGCUUUCUUUCCCCCCGAUAAUACCUCUGCAAACAAGCUAUACUAGAGCAAGAAUAUCUCAUAUCAUCAGGGUUAAAAGCAAGAGUAUCCCAUAUCAUGCUUUUUCCCUGUCUUUUCCUUUGGCCUUGUUUUUACCUGCAAGACAAGGAGAAAGAGAGCAAUCAGUCAGCACUUGGAAUCAAGCUUCCAACCAGGAAAUGACUGCCUGGAACCCCUUACUUGGCAUUGCUCUCGAGUACUCAUCUUCAACAUCUUAUGUUUCCAGGGAAGAUUCUGCAUCUGCUUGAGGAACAGAUAGGGCAAGUGCGAAGGAUACAAGGAAGCAUGCGGAGACAAGCGUAACAGCACACGUGCCGAUACAUCCAUUACUCUGUCAAAAGCAAAAGUAUCCCAUAUCAGCAGGGUGGAACGUACUCUAGAUUUGAUGGACUUGUUUUGACCCUCAAAUUCUUCAGUCGGCCUUAUAUUCUGGAGGAAACCAGAAAACCCUCCAGCUCAGUUCAAGAAUAAGCCUGUGGAAAGUUACUUCUUCAAAAGCAAAAGUAUCUCAUAUCAUCUCUUCUCAUUUUUCUUCUCUCUUUAUCCUUCAUGCUGCUGCAAGAUGGGGAGAAGGUGAACAAUCAGUCGGAGCUCUGAUUGCUUACCUUGUCUGUCACCUCUUUCAGCAGACCCCCUAGCUCGGCGACUUGGGGGACUCCUACUAAAUGGUUUGUAUCGCGCUUGACCAAGCCUGAAACUACAAGUAAGCUUCAAGUGAAAUUGAUACAUUACCUUGUGCAUCUCCACCAGUUAAAGAUACCACCCCUGGAUGGAGGAAGAGUACUUCCAGAGAAGAUGCCACAUCUACCUAUGAGACAGAUAAGGCAAGUCAAGACGACACCACACUCCGAUACUUAGAAGUUUCGUGAUUAUGAGAUCAUUCUCCCACAAUAUUUCCUAAUGUCAUUUGUACUAAAUCAUUCACUUGUACUCACUAAAGGAGAGCUUGAACCUAUGUACUUGUGUAAACCCUUCACAAUUAAUGAGAACUCUUCUAUUCCGUGGACGUAGCCAAUCUGGGUGAACCACGUACAUCUUGUGUUUGCUUUCCUAUCUCUAUCCAUUUAUAUACUUAUCCACACUAAUGACCGGAGCAAUCUAGCGAAGAUCACAAAAAGCGACCGUUUUCGCUACCUAGGAUCUAUCUUGCAAGAGAACGGAGAAUUAGAUGGAGAUCUCAACCAUAGAAUACGAGCUGGAUGGAUGAAGUGUAAGAGUGCAUCCGGCGUGUUGUGUGACUAUCGUAGGCCACUGAAGCUCAAAGGAAAAUUUUAUAGGACGGCAAUAAGGCCAGCGAUGUUGUAUGGCACAGAAUGUUGGGCGGUGAAGCAUCAACACGUACACAAAAUGGGUGUAGCGGAGAUGAGGAUGCUUCGUGGGAUGUGUGGGCACACGAGAAAGGAUAAGAUUGGGAAUGAGGAUAUCCGAGGUAAAGUAGGAGUAGCCGAAAUUGUAGGAAAGAUGAGAGAAAAUCGGCUCCGGUGAUUUGGACAUGUGCAAAGAAGGCCGACUGACGCUCCGAUUCGAAGAUGUGACUACGGGACAGAGGUUCAGGGCCGAAGGGGUAGAGGAAGACCUAGGAAAACUUUGGAAGAGACUCUAAGAAAAGACUUAGAGUACUUGGAUCUAACGGAGGACAUGACACAAAACCGAGCGCAAUGGCGUUCUAGGAUUCAUAUAGCCGACCCCACUUAGUGGGAAAAGGCUUUGUUGUUGUUGUUGUUGUUGUAUUUUUUCCCUUUUCAAAAUCGAAAUGUUCUAAAUUAUUUCACUAAUCCUUGCUAGUUUGAACUGCAGGAGUCUGUCUCUGGAUUUGAAAGAUUAUCUGGACUUACAGUUUUGAAGAAUUGGGAUUCUAGUGUUACACAUAUUAUUGCAUCGACAGAUGAAAAUGAAGCAUGCAGAAGAACCCUUAAAAUUUUGAUGGGUAUCUUGGAGGGGAAGUGGAUUCUGAGUGUGGAGUGAGUUUUACUGUUUUCGUUUUAAUUGUUCUUCCUCAAGUGCUUGGACUUUACAAUUGUAAUGAGUACAGAAGCCGAAAUGAGAUAUUGAUAUACAUGUUCACAUUGCUGAUAAUUCGUUAUCCGUCUGUUUGUGUAGGAAUUAAUGCUUGCACAUAAGUAAUGAAACUAGUUAAUGAGGAGCCUUAUGAAAUCAACGUUGACAUUUAUGGAAUCAGGGAUGGUCCUCGACUUGGUAGACUAAGGCUGCAGAACAAGGUUAGCUUUUCCUCGAGUUUAACUAUCAUCACGAAAACUUUAGAUUUUCAUGGAUUCACCAUAGGCAUUGUUAAUCUUGUUCAGUCCAUAAAUAGGUUACACACUUAUCUUAACAAAGGUGAGACCUUCUCAAUUCCUCAUCGAGAUGAAUCAAGAGCAUAAUUGUAGCAGUGAUCAAGAGCAAUUUUUUUAUGUUUCUUCCAAAUUGUUGAGAUGAAUCAUCUGUGUUUUGUUCUAAUAAUCUUACAAAUUUGUUGAGCAAUUUUUGUAAAGUCAGAAUCUUUGGUUUCGGUUGUGAGGUAUCUGAUUUGGGUAUAUGUGUUUUGCAGGGCACGGUGGUUGUGGCGGAGGAAGAUUAGGAUUGACGACAGAGCUCUGGCCAUGAACUAUCAGCUCUGUCUUUCUCUCUCUAACUAUGAAUUGAAUACAAAAGUCUGUGUUGAUAUGGAAAAUGUAGCUCAAAAUUAUUACACAAAUGGCAAAAAAAAAAAGUUCGAGUGUGGAGUUUCACUUACUGAUACAGGGCUUUUGAAACAGGGUUGUCUAGACUGUAGAAGAAAUCCAUGGCUUUUGGAAGAGGGGAUGUUCCAAAUCUAUCUUUUCUCCCUCUCUAAUGUUCUUCGAGGGGUUCUUGUGAUGCAAAAAGUGGUUUAUAUAUAUUUUUUAUUAUUAAUAAAUUUUCUGUCGGUUUUAUCAGACAAUAAUUCUUUUAUUUAUUCUUAUUAAUAAUUUCUCUGUCGGUUAUAUCUGACACAAUUUCUGUCGAUUUUAGAGUAUUUUCUAUCGAAAAUUUCAUUUCCUGACGCAUCAAUUAUGUCGCUUAUUAUAUCCGCCACUGCACUCAUUUCAUGUCGGAUUUUGCUUAAUUUCCAACAGUAUUAUACAUUUCUUGUCGGUUUUUAAACCGACACUAAUGGGUACUUUUGUAGUAAUGUUGGGGCGUCGGAGUUCGUUUAAGGUCGAAUUGAGCACACCCAAAUUCAAGGGUUCCGUACGGUUCAUGGUAAUUUGAGGUAUUUCUCAGCCAAAUUGUCCUUAGUCACAGAUAUGAAAGUUGCUCCACUCGUUGAGAUCUUCAUUUAUGUCAAAUUUGAGAAUUUUUAGAAAUAAUUGGAUUUUCCAGCGAAUCGGGGCGGCGGACCACCACCGGACAGCGCAUGGCUAGUGGGCCCCCAAUGUCAUUUUACGUUAAAUUGGUAUCUUGAUUUUAGGUUUGAUGUCUAUAUGUUAUGACUUGAUAUGUGAACCUAGUUUAAUUAAGGUGCGUUAAUUGGUAAAAAUAUGAAACGACGAUCCGACCGUGGGAUCGUCACCAAUCUUUAUUAUGUUAUAGUACAUUAUAUUUGAGAAUCAUAGGGACUGACGGAUAGGAAAUCCGAUAUACGGAUCUUCCUGAAAUGGAAUUGUAAGUUCGAAGAAUAAACGUUAACCGCCACUUUGUUUUGACUAUUGGUGAAGAUCCAACCGUUGGAUCAUAAUGAAAUUUUAGGAUGAUGUUUUAGAAGCAUAAUGUGGAUCUUUGGAAGUUAUUGAUUGGAAAUCCGAGGAGCGAAUCUUCCGGAUUGAAUUACGUAAGGUUGUGGACCCUACCGUCGAUCGUUGACUGACGAUCGACUUUUGGUCAAUGGGGCUUAAAUCACUCUAAAAUGUUUUUAGGGAUGUGUUUUACGUAAAUUACAUUAUCUAUGGAUAAGAAUUCUGAGAUGUGGUUUGAUAAUUGUCCUGGGCGCCGAUCGUUAGGAACGCUUCGAUGGUUGUGCUAGGAAAUUGUAGCAUAGACUCCAGGUGAGUGAAUCUUUUCCUUCUUAUAUAUAUAUAUAUAUAUAUAUGAUUGACAAUUCCACAAACGUUUAUAAAUUGAUUAUUGCAUAUAACUACUGUAAAUACUUUGAAGUACUUAUGCGAACUACGAAUGGCUUGAUCCCUAUUUAGGGUACGUAUGCAGUCUAACAAGACAUUAAAUGCAGUCAUACAAUAAUUGAGAUUAAACAAUUGAGACAAAGCCUUGUAUGGGGAACUGGGCAAGGUGAACGAAUUUGGUAAAAAUGUGAGAUUUAACCUUCUGAAUUGGUGAUUAAAUGUUGGUCAUAAAUCAAUGUGUAAAGAAUCAAGAAUUUGAAGUAAGGAAACGUAAGUAAUGAUAAUUAAUUAAACUAGUGUCUAGUUGGGCUUGUCACCUAUAAUUAUCCCCAAAAAUGAAUAAUUCGGGAGUAGGGCGUUAUAGCUUCUGCAUUUUUAUGCCACAUUAUAUAUAUAUAUAUAUGUGUGUGUGUGUGUGUGUGUGUGUGUGUGUGUAUAAUUGGAAAUGCUAUAACGUGGUUGAGUAUCAGAUUUCAUCAUGGUUUAUCUAUAUGUAUAUUACCUGCACACAAUUAUUAUGAACACUUUGAAGUGCAAAGGUGAACGCAAGACACCCAGGAAAGUUCAGGUGAGUUUAUGGUAUUAGUUGAAAUGAUGGGGUUAUGGUAACUACAUGUAUGUUUAGGUUGCAAUGAUAGGCAACUCCGACACUGUCGUACAAGUUGCCCAUGAAUUGUAUAUGUUACAAUAGAUAGAGUUAGAGGUCAUAAACCUGCACCCCGGUGUUAGUGCUCCCACCCGUGGCUAGGGCACAGUCUUUCACGAGAUGUUCACCUCUCGCAUCUUACGCUCACCUUGGAUCCAAGGUAGGUGCACAGUCAUGUCAUAAAGACCACUAUAGGUGGUUCCGACUAGUAGAUGACCCGUGAUUAUUCGCACAGUCUUCACGUGAUUGUAGCACUUGAGCGUAUUUAUUUACACCCAGUCCUGUCGUACAGACCACUUUAGGUGGUUCCGACUCGUAUGCAGGUAUACUUAUUGAGCUAUGGAUAAGUCGUACAGGUCACUAAAGGUGACUCCAACUUAUGAGCUAGCAUAUGUGAUGAAAUAUGUGAUGAGCUAGCAUAUGUAAUGAGAUAAGUGAUGAGCUAGCAUAUGUGAUGAGAUAUGUGAUGAGUUAGCAUACGUUAUGAGAUAUGUGAUGAGUGAUAUAAUCAUAAUUGCAUACAUUUUCAUGCCCUUUUAGUUUAGAUUUUUGUUAUCCUUUUGAGUGAAUUUAGUUUGUUUCACUUAGUUUUAUGUUUUUCUUAGAUUUGAAGUGUGAAGAUGAAGAAAGAAGAAAAAAGAGCAUUUUUAGCGAUUGAAAUGAGUUUGGCAUGCUGGAAGCAGAGGCUAUUUGUGCGGAUCAGCCAACUUUACGGAUUAAACUGUACUUCCUUAGAAUGCCAGCUGUUGAGUCUUAUACCAUUGGAAAGAUAUGAAAGUUAGCUUUCAGAGGAAUUUUACGAUUCGUGAUUCCGAGUUUCCUAGAAGACGUUAUAGUGGUUUUUCUACCAGAUGUCUGCCAGCAAGGUUUUACGCGGGAUUUGCAAAGAGAUUCCAGAUUUACAAAGUUUAAUUAAAGGAAACAAGCAGAGAAAAAAGAAGAGGAAGCUUUUAGAAAAGUUCAGGACUAUUCUAAACGGUGCAUAGUUAAUAUAUUUAAUAGUUUAGUGUGCCACAUCAUCAAUAAACUAAUCUAAGUCAGAAGAGAAAUUCAAGAGUCCCAUUCAAGUAAGUAUUCCAGCAGUUUUAUUCAGGAAUAAAGGAGGGCAGACCGUCGGACUUUAGGAGCGGACAGAGAGAGUUUUUGGGUUUUCGAAGGUGCAGAGAAGAGGUCGCAGCAAGGAGUGAAACAGAGUCGCCGAUCAUCUGGGCAAUCCAUCACCAUCGUGUGGAAGUAUUUUAUGUUUUUCAGAUUUUUAAUUAUGUUUUCAGAUUUUAUGAGUAACUAAACUCUUUUUCUAAGGUUAGGAUGAUGCCCUAGCAUGGAUGUUUAUGGUUUGUAAUGUUAUUCAUUGGAUUUCCAGUUUCUUUUAGAUGAAUGCUUAAUCACUGUUUGAAUUGUUACUGUUUGUUUGAGUUCUUUGAUUGAUCACCUUAGGACUUUGCAUCUAGUAAGAUUGGAAGAUGAAUUUGAGACUGAACUAACAAUAUAAUUCAAUUAGCUUCUUGUGGUUAAGUGUGGUAAAUUACAUUAUUGCUUGAAAAAGAAUAAUGGUUUGUUUGGGUCCCUUGUUUUCUAGAGGGUAAAGAGUCCUACUUGUUAAAUUUAUGCCUUAACUAGGAUAGACUGCUUGUUAGGAUAUACGACCUCUGCCUAAACUAGGAGAGAAUCAUUCACAUAAGGAAAACUAUGGUCUAAUAUGCCUGACAAGGACUUAGAUACGGGAAUUAUCAUCUAAAGAAUUGAAAGAUCCAUUGAAUGCAUUGAAACCUAAACUAGAUUGCUUGUGGUUGAUUCCGAAUCCCUAGAUUUUCAUCACUUGCCUUAAAACACAACCGUUUCUUUUCUUUAAUUUCAGUUUUUACUUAAGGUUCUGUUUUUGUUCAUUUAUAAAAUCAUCACAACAAAUUUUUUACAUCUUUGAUUGACUUAUUAAUUAAGAUCGAGUCUAGUUCGUUGUUUGGGUUUGUGUGUCUUUAAUAUAAUUAGAUUUGGUUUAGUUUAUCAAAUUGGAGAUUGAAUUAGAAUCCUCGUGGGAACGAUACUUGGACUUGCAAAACGUUAUAUUACGACUAUCUUGUGCACUUGUAAGUUUACACCAAGUUUUUGGCGCCGUUGCCGGGGACUCUAAUUGAGUCCCCCAAUUUGAUAUCAUAUUCCAUAUCUAAUAAGUAGUUUAUUGUAGAUUAUUCAAUUUGAUUUUGUUUUGUUCUCUAGUUUCGAGUAAGAGUCAUAACUAUUAAGAUAAGUAAAAGUAAUUUUCGUCACUGUUUUAUUUCAGUUUUGUAUCACUGUUUCGACACAGUUUUGGACUAAACUAUUCGAUUUUUUACCAGGAAUAUUGUGUAUCGUUGGAAAGCCCCAGAAGUCUAGUUUUCAACCCAAAAAACAGAUCAAUGAUUGGAUUUUUGAGCUGCAAGAAAUGUACAAAAUACUGAGCAGUGGUCAAACAAGGAGCACAGUCUGGUCGUAUAUGCAAGGUAGACGUUCGUUGCAAUUUGAGUUGAUUCAUAUAGACCAAGAACUUGUGCGUACUUUAAGAGAACAGUGGAGGCAGCGAGUGUGUCAAGAACCAGCCAUGGAGGAAGUAGUUAAUAAUGGUGGAAAUAAUCCUCCACCAUUGCUACCACCACAACCAAGGCUCAUGCGUGAUUAUACAAAGCCAACGGAGUACAACGCACCGUCAUGCAUUGUUUUGGCUCCAAUUGCGCAGCGAUUUGAGAUUCGUCCACAAAUCUUUCAGUUGCUGCCUAUAUUUCUUGGGAAGGAGGAAGAAAAUCCAUACCAUCAUAUCAAGGCGUUUUUCAAGCUAUGUUCCACAUUCACAUUCACCAAUGUUACUGAAGAGCAAAUUCGACUUCGGUUAUUCCCAUUCUCUUUGAGGGAUAAAGCAAGCAGUUGGUUGGAUUCUCUUCCCGAAGCAUCUAUCGACACAUGGACAAAAUUAUCGAAGAAGUUUUUGUCCAAGUUCUUCCCCGCUCGAAGAACCAAUGCUCUGAUCAAUGAAAUCAUGAGCUUUCGACAACAAGAAGGUGAACAGUUUCAUGAAAGUUGGGAGCGCUAUAAGGACUUGUUUCUUCAAUGUCCUCAUCAUGGUUUCAACACUUGGCAAAAGGUUCAUUAUUUUUACAAAGGUUUGAACUCUCAAUGUAGGAGUUUGGUUGAUUCAACGGUUGGUGGAACCUUGAUAGACAAAACUCCAGAAGAUGCCAUACAUGCCUUUGAAACUAUAUGUGAAAAUUCUGAGCAUUGGGAUUUUCCUACAAAAGAUUUGAGAGUUCCAACUGCAUCGUCAACAAAAAAAGGAGGCAUUUAUGAAGUUAAUACAAGGACGGGCUUAGAGGCACAAGUGGCAGCCCUCACCAAGCUUCUCACACCACUUGUAAGCAAGAUAGCCACGCAGCCAUGUACUUUAUGUGCGAGCAUCGCCCAUGACAUGGAAAAUUGUCCAACAAAUGCUAAUCUAGAAGGCAUCCAAGAGGUCAAUGCAUUUAGUGGGAGGCCCCGGAAUGAUCCAUAUUCUAAUAAUUAUAACCCGGGAUGGAGAGAACAUCCAAAUUUUUCUUAGAGAGAUUCACAAAAUAGCAUGGGAUCAUUCACUUCAACAAAGCAAUAUCAGCAACCUUAUCAAGCUCCUCCAAUUCAACAAAAAGACUCGUCUAUCAAGGAUAUGUUAUCUCAACUCUUAAAGAAAACUGAUCGGUAUGAACAUGAAGUUGUGUCGCUUAGACAAAGUCAGACGGUGUUGGAAAAGGCUCGAUCUAAUUUUGAGACUCAGUUGGGACAGAUAGCUACUACUUUGAACAAGCUGGAGUGAGCACAAGGGCAAUUUCCAAGCCAAACUGAAACAAAUCCUAGGAAUCAAAAGCAUGUUCAAGCUGUCACCACUUUGAGGAGUGGAAAGACGAUUGGUAAUAAUGUGGAAAGUUCAAAAAUUAAUAAGGAAGAAGAUGAAGGGGUCAGCACAUAUCGGGCAGCAGCUUGACAAGACAAGCUAAAAAAGAGAAGUAUAUGGGAGAUAUUUUAGAGCAAUUUAGAAAGGUGCAGAUUAAUAUUCCUUUUCUCGAUGCCAUCAAACAAAUUCAAUCAUAUGCGAAGUUUUUGAAGGAACUUUGUACUAACAAGAGACGGUAUGAAGAACAUGAGGAGGUGAAGUUAUCAGACACGGUUAGUGCGGUUCUUCAAAGAAAAUUGCCACCAAAACUUCAAGAUCCUGGUAGCUUUACAGUCCCAUGUGUCAUUGGAGAAAGAAAAUUCGAAAAAGCUUUGCUUGACUUGGGAGCCAGUGUGAAUUUGAUGCCCUAUUCUGCUUAUAAACACCUCAAAUUAGGCGAACUAAAGCACAUAUCCAUUUCUCUACAAUGCACUGAUCGUUCUGUGAAAUAUCCAAGAGGGAUUGUUGAAAAUGUACUUGUGUGUGUUGAUCAAUUUAUUCUUCCUGCUGACUUCAUCAUUUUGGACAUGGAAGAAGCCGAAAUUCCUGGUCGUGACUUGCCUCUCAUUCUUGGCAGACCUUUCAUGGCUACUGCAGGUACGAAGAUUGAUGUUAAAUCGGGAUUAUUAACUAUGACUGUGCAAGGUAUUACUGUAGAAUUUCAGGUCUUCGAAGCAUUGAAGAAGCCCAUGGAUCUUUAUGACUGCUUUCGUGUUGAGGUAGUGGAUCCAAUUAUAAAAAAAAACAUUCAUUGAAUCAAGCAUCUCAGAUCCUCUGGAAGUUUGUAUCUCUCAACAUGGGAUGAGUUUUGAAAAGGCUACCAUCAUUGAAGCAGAACGAGAUCUCAAUGCCGUAACGUCCUACUCUCUUAGAUGCCAGCCCAAAUUUGAAGCGUUGCCACUCACAAGCCAAAAUUGUACCAUCCAUUAUACAACCUCCAAAGCUUGAAUUGAAGCCUCUUCCAGAGACUUUAAAGUAUGCAUAUUUGGUGAUUCAGAGACUCUUCCUGUGAUUAUAGCUGCUGAUCUUAACCAAACAGAAGAGGAAAAGUUGAUGCAAAUGUUGAGGGAGCAUAAAACAGCAUUGGGAUGGAGUAUUGCAGACAUAAAAGGAAUUAGUCCUCAAUUUGCAUGCAUCGGAUAUAUCUUGAGGACAAGUCAAAGCCUUCUAGAGAGGCACAGCGACGUCUAAAUCCACAUAUGCAAGAAGUGGUUCGGGCAGAAGUUCUUAAAUUACUGAAUGUCGGCAUUAUUUAUCCUAUAUCUAACAGCAAAUGGGUAAGUCCACUGCAGGUUGUACCACAGAGAUCUGGAAUUACAGUUGUCAAGAAUGAAAAUAAUGAGCUUAUACCCCAGAGGACUGUCACGGGUUGGAGAAUGUGUACAGAUUACAGAAAGAUCAAUAAUUCAACUCGAAAAUAUCAUUUUCCACUCCCUUUCCUUGAUCUCAUGCUUGAGAGACUUGCAGGCCAUAGUUAUUAUUGUUUUCUUGAUGGCUAUUCCAGAUAUAAUCAAAUUCCCAUAGCUCCGGAAGAUCAAGAAAAGACUACUUUCACAUGUCCAUUUGGAACUUUUGCCUAUCGACGAAUGCCUUUUGGGUUAUGUAAUGCUCCCGCAACAUUCCAAAGAUGCAUGAUGAGCAUUUUCUCAAACUUGGUGGAAAGGUGUAUCGAAGUGUUCGUGGAUGAUUUUUCCGUGUUUGGGUCAUCGUUUGAUCAAUGUCUUCAUCAUCUUUCAUUGGUGCUCUAACGGUGUCAAGAAACCAACUUGAUUUUAAAUUGGGAAAAAUGUCAGUUUAUGGUGAAAAGUGGUAUUGUUCUUGGUCAUGUAAUUUUAGCUGACGGAAUUGAAGUUGAUAAAGCUAAGGUGGAGCUGAUUUCGAAGCUUCCUCCUCCCACUUCUGUAAAAGAAGUUCGAUCCUUUCUCGAGCAUCCAAGUUUUUAUCGCCGAUUUAUUAAAGAUUUCUCGAAAAUCACCAAGCCACUUUGUGAUCUGCUUGCUAAAGAUUCUGUGUUUAAUUUAAAUGGUGAGUGCUUACAAGCUUUUGAGACCCUCAAGAAAGAAUUAACACAAGCCCCAAUCAUAAAAGCUCCAGAGUGGUCUCUUCCUUUUGAAAUCAUGUGUGACGCCUCUGAGUAUGCAAUAGGUGUUGUGUUAGGGCAGCGAGUUAACAAACUUCCUCAUGUUAUAUUUUAUGCUAGCCGAAUUCUCACUUAACAACUUUCAUAUCCCUUAGUUUCCAAAAUUUAAUAUACAAAUUUAGUCUCCCAAGCAUUGCUAUAUUACUUAAGUAUUGAUUAAUAGACUUAUUUCUUAUGGUGACACAUUAUUUAGUUUACAAAUUUAGUCUAUCUAACAUUACUCUUUUGACAUUGUCUUGUCCACUGAUAUAAUUCUAUUUUUCUUGUGAUCAAAACUUCAAAUGUUAGCAAGUCGCACGUAAAGUCGCUUCUGAGAGAAUGUGCUCACAUUGUAGUUGAAAGAUUAUGUGGCUAGCAACAUUACAAAUUUAAUUUGGUAUAAUUUUAAAAUAUAGAUUGAGGAAAAAAAGGAUCACAUUAACUAGAAACUGAAAAGGUUUCGGCGCAAUAUGUUCAAGCAAGAAACUCAAUUUUGAUGCUACCGAUCUUAACAGCCUGAGCGCCGUACCUGGGCACUAAAGUCACCACCACACUCUCAUCAUCUUCAGCACCCAAAUCCUCCAACAGGUCCGUUAACCCCAACCUUAAACAACUCUUGCUCUUUUCCUUCUGCUUAUGUGGCACACUCACAAAACUCCCAGCAAACUCGCUCUUGUCGGGUCCACUCGGUGCCGCAUCCUCAUCAUCCACGUCAUUCACAUACACAUCAAACUUCACAGCCACAUCUUUGUCAAGCUCAAUCCCCCGAAUCACCAAUAUCUCCUCCUCAUCCUCUUUCUCCUUCUUGCUCCUCUUCUUCGGCUUCGGCCUUGACACCACCGUAGUUAUCUUCGUCUCCAAAUUUAUUGGAAAAUCUUUACCCGCCACCACCUUCCCCGAUGACGUCGUCUCAGCGGCCUUCGCCACUCCAGCCGCCUUUGCCUUUCUCGCAAGCUUUGUCCGACGUGGCGUCGGUCUAGAGUUGAGCCAUGGAAUCUCAACAUCUUCAUACGUAUACCCUAGCUUUUUAUUAUCAAGAGUGUCCCUCACCGUGACCCUAACAAGCUCAGCAUUCUCGUCAUAAAACAAAAACCCCGUAUCCAACCAAUCCUUAUCGUUAAUAUCUUUAUUUUUAGUCCCUAUACUUUUCCAAAUAUUCCACAUUCGAUCCAGAUUCAAAUGGUGCGCAAAAAAUAUCGGAUCCCUUGCAGUGGAGUAAAAAUUCCCCAUGUCUUCAUAAUUAGGUUGCGUGUUAUCUCCGGUCCAUGUAUGAACCGGACCAUGUGGGGUCUGUUCGAUUGCACCGGCCCCUGGAUCUGGUUCAGUGCCAGCCCUGUAGGGCGAACCAAAGAACAACAGCGGUUUCUUGGAGUUGGAAACCAUCUGCCUAUACAUGAUUUUGAGGUUGGCUUCGAUUUGAGCAUCCUUGGACAUUGUUUCAUCCGUGCCGUUGAAGUCAAGAUCGAUGAGAGUUGGCGGCUGAUGGCUGGCAGCGCGGAGCUCGUCGUAAAGCGGAGAGUCAGGGUUAGCGUACAAGGCAGGGAGUUGCAUGCCAGCUGGCGCGUCCCAGUUCCAAAACGGCAACGCGAAG